This 106769-nucleotide long non-coding RNA is filed under the name Hordeum vulgare. Its description in RNAcentral is "long non-coding RNA (HVUL_LNC010922)". The record is from RNAcentral. Lineage: Eukaryota; Viridiplantae; Streptophyta; Magnoliopsida; Poales; Poaceae.
CGCCGCGCCGACGCGUGCCCGUCCGCGCCCGCGCUGAUCGACGCCGCCACGGGCCGCGCGCUCUCCUUCGCCGGCCUCCGCUCCGCGGUGCUCACCACGGCCGUCGCGCUCGCCUCCCGCGCGGGCGUCCGCCCCGGCGACGCCGUGCUCCUCCUCGCGCCCAACUGCGUCCUCUACCCGGUCUGCUUCUUCGCGGUCACCGCCGUCGGCGCCGUCGCCAGCACCGCCAACCCGCUCUACACCCCGCGGGAGAUCGCCAAGCAGGCGUCCGACGCCCGCGUCAAGCUCGUCGUCACCGUGGCGGAGCUGCUCCCCAAGGUCGCCGCCCUCGGCCUGCCCGUCAUCCUCCUCGACGACGCCGCGUCCGCCACCCCAUCGGCGACGGCCAACGUGACGCUCUACUCGGACCUCGUGUCCGGCGCGGACGAGUCCCAGUACCGCCGCCCGCCGACAAAGCAGGGCGACACGGCCGGGUUGCUCUACUCCUCCGGCACGACGGGGGAGAGCAAGGGCGUGGUCCUGACGCACCGCAACUUCAUCGCGGCGGCGACGAUGGUGACGUCGGACCAGGACGAGCGGGGGGAGCCGCCCAACGUGUUCCUCUGCUUCCUGCCCAUGUUCCACAUCUUCGGCCUCUCCGUCAUCACCUUCGCGCAGCUGCAGCGCGGCAACGCCGUGGUCGUCAUGUCGGGCUUCGCCAUGGACUCGGUGAUGAGGGCCGUGCAGCAGCACCGGGUGACGCACGUCUUCUGCGUGCCGCCGGUGAUGAUCGCGCUCGCCAAGCACGGGCGGGUCGGCAAGUACGACCUCAGCUCGCUCAAGUUCAUCGGCUCCGGCGCCGCGCCGCUCGGCAGGGACGUCAUGGAGGUGGUGGCCAAGAACUUCCCCGACGCCGAGAUCGUUCAGGUAACCAACCAGUCAGAAUCAGAAUCAUCCAGCCAGCUGCUCUGCACUUUUUAUCUGCUGUUUUGGAAGGACCAGAUCGACUUUUCAGCGUCUUUUUGUUGUGCUUUUGUGGGGACUGAAUAUCUGUACUCUUGUCGCUUCCCUGAAAAGGUUAAUCAGGUGAUUAAGACAGAGUUUCUGCUUAUAUGAUUCCCGCCUUUAUGGCAAUCAGAGCUUGCGAGUAUACAGCAAUAUGCAAACAGCUAAGAUUUGCUGCUUGAUUUUGACGGUGGAUCCUAAUAUUUUGUCCUGCGAAUACAACCUGAACUACUGCACCACACAGUAAAAGAAUCUUGUAAUGUCUGCAUAAUGUCUACACGGUGCUGCUACAGUGCCACUCUUAAGAAUCAGCUGUGGGAAUACUUGCCGCGUAUGAGUAUUCAGACUUUUUUCGACAGAGGACAUUUCAUUCCGUUGGUAUAUCGGGGUGAUACAACUGCAUCGAUGGAAUUUUGGGCCUCUGCAUAGCAUGAUGCACAUAGCCAACAUGUCCAACACACUCAAAAAUUAAAAAAAGUCUUAUCGUGUUACAACAUUUUUGUCUCAGGUUACUCGUCAUUAAUUUGUAACAAUUAUGUGCUGUUGCAACUGUGAUGCCAAAGUCUACUAUGCAUUCUUAAAACGAAAAAAACGACAAAGUCAACUAUUCUUGUAUCAGUUACACGUUAGUGCCUCUCUGAAUCAUAUUAUUCUAUAAUGCACAUAUCUGUUAUUUAUUUAUUUAUCUGAACUAUUACUUUUAUCAGUUGCAUAGUAGUAGCUGUUUGCUUUCAGUAUCAUGCAUUAUGUAAUGUCUAUCUAAGUAUUUAUUCAUUUAUCUGAACCAUCAAUCUGGGAAUAGAAAUAUGCGCCCUGCCAUCCCGUAAAUAAGAUGUACUCCCUCGUUCCUAAAUAUAUGACGUNNNNNNNNNNNNNNNNNNNNNNNNNNNNNNNNNNNNNNNNNNNNNNNNNNNNNNNNNNNNNNNNNNNNNNNNNNNNNNNNNNNNNNNNNNNNNNNNNNNNNNNNNNNNNNNNNNNNNNNNNNNNNNNNNNNNNNNNNNNNNNNNNNNNNNNNNNNNNNNNNNNNNNNNNNNNNNNNNNNNNNNNNNNNNNNNNNNNNNNNNNNNNNNNNNNNNNNNNNNNNNNNNNNNNNNNNNNNNNNNNNNNNNNNNNNNNNNNNNNNNNNNNNNNNNNNNNNNNNNNNNNNNNNNNACGUCAUAUAUUUAGGAAUGUAGGGAGUAUCUUCUAUAAAUCUACAGGAAGAUGUUUAUUUUCAGAUAACUGUGUAGAAUCUCAUGCUAGCAAGCUCCGAGCCAAUUUCAAAACUAUGAUGAAGUGGUUUAGCGGUUUGGUAUAAAACACUCCUUACUGUAUGUGUAGUAUUGUGGCUUUAUUUUCUCAUUGUGAUACCUGAUACCUGUAAACAGGCUUAAGUAGUUCAUAUCUCAAGUCCUAUUGCGUGUUGUGCUCCUCUGGCAGGGCUAUGGUAUGACUGAGACUUGUGGGAUCAUAUCGCUUGAAUACCCAGAAAAGGGACAGGCUCGUCAAUUUGGGUCAACCGGAACGCUUGUUGUUGGAGUUGAAGCAAAAGUUAUCGACGUAGAAACGCAAAAACAUCUACCGCCAAGUCAACUAGGAGAAAUCUGUAUCCGAGGACCACACAUAAUGCAAGGUAAAAAAAUCGAACAUGUUCGUUGCGUUUUGUUCUUCCCUGCCUUACCAAACAAGCCUUGCAAUUACAGUGUAAAUGAUAUUAGUUAUUGCAAUGGAAUUAUAGGUAUUGAUUAUAUUGCUCUGUUACAAAAUGUGGACAUGUGGUAAAAUUUGAUAUUAACAUUUCUUUCACUUGUUAUUAACAUUGCGCGGUUUAUCAAGGCUGGUGAUUUUUUCGUAAUGUGAAACCGGGUGACUAUCAGGCAGCUACUAUUUCUGUAUAAAUUUUCACCGACAAGAACUCCACUAAAUUUCCACGUGUUCUGUCAUGAACGGAUUGUAAAGGCCAGAAAUUCUCCUUAUAUGAGUUCAUUAUUUGUAGGGUAUUUCAACAAUGUAGAGGCUACUGAAUUUACAAUCAGGCAAGGAUGGUUGCAUACUGGUGAUCUUGGAUACUUUGAUGAAGAAGGCCAGCUUUUUGUCGUCGAUAGACUAAAAGAGCUGAUUAAGUACAAAGGUUUCCAGGUAAUUUUGUUUUUUGCAAACUGCUAAUGAUUGCUAGAAUCUUCUACUUGUGAAUGCAGAGCGCUUUCCCAGGGUCCUUUCUUCUACUUAUGUUCGUUCCAUAUGUAGCCAAACAAACAUUACGCUGAUAGAGGGUUUGUGUAAGCAUUGUCCAAUGACAUAUCGGAGUUAUCCAGAGUUCACCACAAGCAUAUUCAUACUUCUAGUUAGGAUAACACCACACUUUAUCCAGUGGGAGGAAUAUUGUGUGACAUUAUUCAUUAUAUAACUUAACAAUAUUUGUGUUGCAAACUGUAGCCUCCCAUUUUUUUGUUAAAAAUUCUUCUUUGCCUAGCGAGCCUUAAAGUUCACUAAAUGCCUUCUUUUAUUAUUAUCAUCUUACCAAAAGCCAAUUCAUGCUAACUUAAGCAGUUGGGUUCUUGAUUUCUGUCUGAAUAGAAGCCUUGCUUUGCUAGUAUCCAAUCUAAGAAUCAUGGUAGGAACCCGUCCUUUUGUACUUGUUUUCUUGCUCGAACAUACGUCAUAUUUGUUCUCUGUACAUACACCCCUGUGAUCUUUUGUUUGUUUAUAACUGGUAGAUUGCACCUGCUGAGCUUGAAGGAUUACUUCUAUCUCAUCCAGAGAUUCUAGACGCCGUCGUUAUCCCGUAAGUUGCCUCCUAAACGUCAAGUGAUUCUAGCGGCUUUUGAAUAUACAAAAUAAUUGUUGCAGCCUUCUUGGUUUGGACUUGUUUUGUUUGUUGUUCUGUAUCUCUUGGUUGACUGGGAGCUCUGCUUGUUUCCAAGGUUCCCUGAUGAUGAAGCUGGGGAAGUUCCUAUUGCCUAUGUGGUGAGGUCACCUGCCAGUUCAUUAACCGAAGUGGACGUCCAAAAAUUUAUCGCCAAACAGGUGAGGCUGACUUUGAACCUUGCUAAAUCGUGACAUCAGAGCACCUCUAUCUUAAAUUCCAAAACUCAAAUAGCACCAGAACUUGUGGCCGAGUCACCAUCACCAGCAUGAAAAGAUACACUUGAACAAGCAAUGUUUUUUUCUUUUACUUUCUCACAGCUGCAUUCUAAUCCAGUUGUAACUCUGACCUACAUUUCAGGUCACGUACUACAAAAGACUGAGGCGGGUUACCUUCGUGGAGAGCGUGCCAAAAUCAGCCGCAGGCAAGAUCUUGAGAAGAGAGCUCAUUGCGCAGGUCAGGUCGUCCAAGUUAUAGGAAAAUCUGCUUCGAUAUCGUCGUGCUACAUUUCCAAAAAUCUACCGUUGGGCAAUGCUGAGGUUUAUAAAUCCUUUUGCUAGGGCAGCAUUUUCGUUUAUAUGAUGCAACAUAACUCUCAAUCUCAACAUUGUACAAAAGAUCGUAUGUGACGAAACCAUUGUUUUAAAUUGACCCUGUAUGAUAUCGGUACAACAAAUGAAGAUGAUGAAUAUGAAUGAAUAACAGGUAUCUAUACAAGGAAUGAACAUGUGCUAAUUGAGUCUGAGUCCUACAACUGGGUGCCCCUGUGCUCAUGACGCGUCGGAGAAUCAGCCCCUGCGGACCAUACAAAAACCGUGCGUUACUUCAGGUUCAGAUGAUGAAGGGCAGGAGCAAAACUGCUCCGAGACGCUCUCUGAUCACUUGGGAGUCUCGGAGAACGACCAGAAUUUUAGUUGUUUACCAGUGUUUGCUGAGCCUGCCAUCAUGAUGAGCGCCGCCCCACCGAGGAAUGGCGGGGAAGGGAACGGCAGCGACGAUUUGUUGGGCGUUUGUUGCAUGGGCUUCUUGUUCCUCCUGUCCGGGAAAGCGCGACGGCAGUAGAAGCAGCGAAGGGUCGGCGUACAUCAUUUUGCCGUAGGCCCUCUCCAGCGUCCCCUUGUCAAACCAGAGGAAAAAGGUCCUGAAGAUCCAACAAUGGUUCAGGCGAAGCAUCAGUACAGUAGCCACCUUGCGUCUGCAUGGUAGCUAGAGAUCGAAACCUAAGAUGGAGGCAUGGCCUAUUAUUACCUUGGCUGAACAUCGUCGCACCGCUGCCAUCGGAGAUGCAUUCUUGCAGCUGUAGGUUGAGUGGCAGUGUACCGCUCGGACGGGCAUUUCACCUGCACGUACAAAUACAAUACAAACACCGGUCGGUUCGUUGCACGCACGUGAAUCGUUUGUGUUAAUUCUACAUCCUCAUGAUGAUCUUCUUUUCAAAGGGGGGCGCUGAGGUUGCAAGAACUCGUGUUACGGAUGCAUACAUUGAUCCUCAGCGUGUCGAAUCUCGGGUCGUCGAAGCGCGCCGACAUGGCCAGUAUGUUGGACCAGAGGAUGUCGACCUUGACGAAGGCGUUGUCCCGGUGCACCUGGAGCACGAUCUUCUUGGGCUUCUUGUACUGGAACUUGGCCGCUAUUUCGACCACGUCCGUUCUAGCGAUCUAGAUAUGACCAUGAGUGAGCACAUAGAAGAUAACAAUCAACGAAACAAGAUAAUAACCAAGAAAGAAAGGAACACAAAGAAACCAAGAGCAUGCGAUCCUAUCUGUCGAUGUGCAUAGAUAGUAUGUGCUCAAAUCUGAUGAAGAGGCCCGGGGUAAUCAUACUUUUUCUUAGAAGAAAAGGAGUAUGUACUCUCAAAUCGGAGUAGUUGAGUAGGAACCUUGUUCUGGCCGAAUUGGAGCGCCCGCAGUCCCACCCGCGUCAGCCGUCUCCGGCCCUGAUUCUUCCCCGCUGGCGCCUCCUCCCCCUCCGGGCCGGCGCCGCCGUCGGCGGCCGCGGGGUUGAGCGCGGCUCGCAUGGACGCGAUCAGAUGCAGGAAGGGCUCCCGGAUCUCGAGCCCCAGCCGCGGCGCCCUGGCGGGGCCGCCGUGCUGGUACUGGCACAGCUCGCCUGCUCCGUCGCCGUAGUGAUCGCCCGCGCCGGCGGCCGCGUGCUCCGACGGCGUGAGGAUGGAGUCCGUCAUCUCGUCUGGCCGGCGGGGGGCGGUGCGGCGCCCGCGCAUGGGAGGAGCGGGCGGGGGGAGGAGAGAAAAGGUGGAGGCCCGCGUCGGCACGCGGGCGUGGCCGUACGACGCGUUUGUAGCUAGCUUGGCCGGUGAGACGCGGCCGGUUUCCGGCGGGCGCACGAGUCGCCGACUUGUCGUGCUGCCGGCGCCGCGCUCGUGCGUGCGGGCCGUUGCGAAUUGGGAUUGCGGUUGGGGCACCUGCACUUUAGUGGGGCCGGGGUAGAUAGAUAUAUAGGUGCCGCGUGACGUCACGUCCUGUGAAGCUAAGGGUGUGUUUGGUUGCUGUCAUGGGCUGGAAUGUCACGGAUCGGACUCGUUCCUAGUCCUCGUUUCUGUGUUUGGUUUACCAACUGGAACAGAACCCACUCAUUCCACUUUAGAGAAUAUUCCACUCAGAUCCGGAACGUGCUAGUACCACGAAAUUGACGGAAUCACACGGAACGACUCGUCUCGCGCAACUCGUCUCCUCCUUCCCUAACUGCGCCGCCGGCCCCCUCCCUCUCUGCUGCCGCGCUGCGCCGCCGGUGGCCCUCUCCCUCUCUGCUGCCGCGCUGCCGGCCCCCUCCCUCUCUACUGCCGCGCUGCGCCGCCGCCGCCCGUCUCCCUCUCUGUUGUCGCGCUGCGCCGCCGCCGGCCCUCUCCCUCUCUGCCGCCCCUCCGCGUCGCCGGCCCUCUCCCUCUCUGCUACCCCUCCGUGCCGCCGGCCCUCUCCCUCUCUGCUGCCGCGCUGCGCCGCCGCCGGCCCUCUCCCUCUCUGCCGCCCCUCCGCGCCGCCGGCCCUCUCCCUCUCUGCCGCCCCUCCGCGCCGCCGGCCCUCUCCCUCUCUGCUGCCGCGCUGCGCCGCCGCCGGCCCUCUCCCUCUCUGCCGCCCCUCUGCGCCACCGGCCCUCUCCNCUCCCUCUCUGCCGCCCCUCCGCGCCGCCGCCCCCCUCCCUCUCUGCCGCCCCUCCGCGCCGCCGGCCCUCUCCCUUCCUCUGUUGCGUCGUCGCCGGCCCUCUCCCUUCCAUUUUUCAUUCCAUGCCUCCCAAUCAAACACUCGAACGGAACCAUCCCGUUCCACUUUUUUGCUCGUAUCAAACACAGGAACGUAACCGAUCCGUUCCUCUGGAAUGGAACCAUUCCAUUCCAUGACAGUUGGUUCUCCAACCAAACACACCCUAAAGCAACUCCAGCCGUUUGCCCUCGGCGCAUCUAGCGAAUGCUUUUCGACGUUUACUAGAGGUAGGGGCACGCCCUAGGCGUGCCUCUUGCGCGAUCCUGUGCGCACUUGCCUUAGUGGUGUAGUUGUUCACGUGCAUAUGCGUUUUAGAGUACCUUAAUUGUUAAAAUAUGAAUACAAUUACCACAAGCUUUGUAGAGAAGUGUUGGAUCAUCAAACAUAGCAAGAUAGUAGGUGCAUAUUAUAUGAUAGGUCAGAGUCUUAAAAGAUGGAUGAUAGAGCACAACAUUAAGAUAUGCUAAAGACGAUAGAUAGUUCAUAUAUAUCCUAUUGAUGAUGUGACAAUGGUGAGGGAGAGGGUGCCCUUCCUUGCGCUUGAAAUGGAAGGCACAUGUGUCGCCCUCCUGGAUGUUAAGAGUGGUGGUGAAACCAUGACAAGUUCGUCGUGAUGUUGGCCCUCUCGUGUCAGUUUCAAGCGAUUGUCGCAGCUCACGGUGCCGUAUGCGAUCUUCAGCGGAAGGGUGUAAGUGUCUUUGUAAAUGUACUUCUUUCCUCUGUGUACUUCACCUGAAAGUACUAUCAAGACAAAAAGAAGCACUUACUCAUGGCAAGACUUCUCAAACAUUAAACUUGUACUAUCAGGAAGAUAUAAGAAUUGUGUGGUAUUUGCUCAGUUAGCACACAAAGUUAAAACUUUGCAACAACAAAGAAAAGUAAUUAGUUCAUGGCAUGAUUUUUCUCAAACCUUACACUUAUACUAACAUAAGGUACAAGAACUAUGUAAUAUUUGCUUAGUUAGCACACAACGUUGAAACUUUGCAUCAACAAAGAAAAGUAAUUAGUUCAUGGCAAGAUUUUUCUCAAACCUUACACUUAUACUAACAAAAGAUACAAGAACUAUGUAAUAUCUGCUGAGUUACUACAUGGUUAAAACUUUGCAAAAAAAAACUACACCUCCAUAGGACCCAAAUUUAUGAUUGCUCAAGUAAAAUGGCUGGUGAAAGAGCAAAGAGAACUCAAUAUUUCUGAUGUUGAAUUCCCAAAUUUUGAGUUUCUACAACCUAGUGCAUGUGCAAAGAACAAACAAAUGAAAAUAUCUUGUAGCAAAGUUCAUAUAGUAAGCAAUCAGAUCUAAUAUUACAAAAGAGAGUUGAAUCAAUCUCAUUGAAUAUAUAAAAGUAUUAGAGUGAGAAAGAACGUCGACAAAAGAAAAUUAAGCUUACAGGUAGAUAUAGAAUAUCAAAUUUGUCAUUUUGACUUACAGUGUGGGCAUGGCACUAAAGCAUUAGUAGUGGUGUUCAAUAAAUAAAGUUAAAAGCACAAAUAUUCAGCGAGAACCAAUCAACAUGUUUCCUGUUAAAAAAUCAAUAAAAAGUGGGAGUCCAUACUACGAAGAUACAACUUGCUACAUCAUGAAGUGAGUAAACAUUGAACAGGCUCUGCAUUUGAGCAUACCAUGCACUGGCCUGGUUUGGCAAACAUCUUGUUGAUAUUGCAAUCAUAGUACUUCUUUGAGUUCUUGUGCCAAAAUAUUGUGAAGAGCUUAUCCACAUGAUUCGCAUACAACUUCAUAGUUUUUGCAUCUCUUUCUUUGGAUUGUAAUGAACAUUAUGGUUAACAAAUAAAGGUCCAUGUUUUCCUUAAAAACAUUAGUGCGUUGAAUAAAUCUAGGCAAGAGUAGCUAAUAUCUGGCUGCAAUUGGAGCAUCAGUAGUUCCCACUUGUUGUGCAGUGCCAAGCAGAGGCCUUUGAUCAGCCAUGGCCCAUGUGAUACAACUAAGUUUGGAAUACCUAGGAAAACAUAUUGAUUUCUGAGUGAUGUAAUGCUAUGUAAAUUUAGUAGGGCAAAGGCAGAGAAUAUAUGUUCUCGUGUGAAAUAGAAAUCAGCCUAUUAUAGAUGGUAUCAAAUUGGAAACAAGUAAUCUACAAAUUUUGAAGCAACAAGAAUUUCGGACCUGAACAAUAGACGAUAUAGAUGGCAUAUAAUGCAAACAUUUUCUUGACAUAACAUCUAGAGUUCCAUAAUAAACAGGAAAAAGAAACCCAUGAAAUUCAAAAUACGAUCGAAAAGCAUAGUGCAAAUAUAUGAAAUUCAGAUUGUGCACAUCAAGUUAGGUUAAAUACCCACAAUUAUGUGCAAAUAUAUCACUUCUAAAUUUCACUAGUAAGUCAUGACUACACUUUGGAAUUAACAAUAUUGUAAAAAAAAUAUCAGAAAACAUACUUAGGCGACAUCCAAUCACGUGAAAGGGAGCUCUCCACAUGUGUUUUUGAGAAUAUCCAAGAAAAUACAAUUGAAGCUGGCAGUAAUCUAAAAAACGGACCGACAUCCAUACUCGGUUGUAGAAAAAUACUUCAUUAGCACAUAAUUUUUGUAGUAUAUUGGAUUUUAUAACCUAGAUACGUAGCUACAAAUUUGGAUCCUCACCUCCCUCGAAUUACCAUCUCUUAUUAUAUCAUACCAAGGCUUCCUCGCAUGGCAUCACAUAUGAAGUGCCCAUUACUAACUUGUAAAGUUUGUCCUAUUUAUACAUCUCCAGUAAAUAAAAAUGAGGAAGCCACAUAUUACAAUGUUUUAUUGCACCAAGCCUUCCUCAUACAGUAUCAAGAAUAUCAAACCCCGAAAAGUCAAGAUAAACGUGCAUGUAUUCCGGUUUUCACUAAUCAUAUUUAAGAUCAUGUCGCAUGUCUCACCAUCAAGCUCGGAAGCUUGAGACACGAUGAGAUACAUUAUAUAGUAAGACAUGAUCCAUCAAGCUAUGUGAUGAGAAUAACCACUUAAAAAUGUAGGAAUCUGUUUGAAAAACUUCUAAUUUGAUUUGGUGGCAACUCAUGCUGCAGCGACAAGUGCCUGUGCACUUGAUAAAAUAUAAAUCUUCUAAUUAAUUUACACGAAAAUAUGAAAGGAAGCAAAGAGAAAUUAAGAAGUAUAAUAAGGGCUGCAACAAAACACCACACACCUCACAGUUAGAUAUGAACAUAGUGCCAAGACAACUAAGUUUUCAGUCUUGUGAGGUAAAAUACUUGCUAACUAAAAAAUUCUGCAAUGCACAAGCUGCAUGGAAUAUGCAAACACAAUUAAGCAUAGCUGAUAGUUGUGUAUGGAAAGCAUUGCAGCACAAAACCUACAUAUCCAGUGGUAAAAAAUAAACCUCGAAUGAUGAAUUAAUUAGUGACCAAACUACAUGAUGUAUCAUAUCCUGUGCUCUCAAAAUAUAUGGGUACGACAAGCACUGAAGAGUUGUAACGUGUUCCACACCUAUAAUAAAAUUAGUAGCUCUCCUUUGCAAUUUCUAACUCAUGCCCACCAUGACAUGCAAAUUAUCCAACAAUAGCUCAUCUUUGGCAAAGAAGCAAAUUGUCUUGUGAAAUAUCAAUUGAACCAUAUGAUCUAAUAUAAGCAGGCGAAGAAUCUAUGUAAAACAAAAUUUAUGAUACAUGGUCUGUAGAUAACAAUAUAUAUAGCUUCAACUACACUAUAUACGAGUAGAGAUGACCACGAGGACAGAUUCAAAGCCAGAUGGCAUGGAAAGGAGUCAAAUAUAUAACAUUUAACUCGGAAUGUGAAAAGGACGUAAACAGAAUAUACAGAUAUAGCGGCACGGUAAGAUAAAUAACGUGAUGUAAUAGUGGCUAUGAUUUGUUUCUGGUAAAACCAUCACAAAGAAAUAAAAUUGUUGGACAAACAACCCUUUGUUUUUUUAUGUGUGGCUCGAAAAAUAACCAUAUGUUUUCAUGUGUAAAAAUAACACUAAAUUUAACUCAAACGUUGGAAAUUCAGAUCAUGGCGCCCUUUCAUGCACAAAAGAAGGAGACCACCAACAUUUCCAUGCACAAAGGAACAAUAAUUGUAGGCCCUACCUAGAUCCAAACAAAGAACAAAAGGCAUAAAUUCAGUUUAACACCUCCGUUAAAAACAAGGCAACAUGAAAACAAGGGAGCUACGAAAAUCCAAAGCACAAAUAAUUGUGCUUUUGGCCUUUACCGAAAAAGAAAGCCCUCAAUGGGGAACCUGCGUAUCAACACAUGUUACACACACAACAACCAGGACAAGGAGAACAUAGCGAAUCCCAGAAACAAAUUGCCAUACAACCGCACACCUAGGCGUGGAAAAGAAUAUGAGUGCAAAGAAGGAGAAUAAGAGGGGUUGACCUGCAGAUCCAUGAAAGGAAACGUGGGAGGAUGCUUAUAAGGGAUGUACAUGCAGAUAUCAAAGGAGGAACAUCCAGGGGACUGACCAACCAAAAUGAAGAGAAUCUAUGGAGCAAUCUGCAGGGAAAAUGAAGAAAAAAUCGCAUAUGAGCAGCAACUAAUGAACACAUCCAAGCACAACUUGGUUCAACCAUGGCAGUUGAGGGGAAGACCAACUUCAGGAACGAGGGGGGAUAGUGGUGUCCUCUUGCUCCUCUCUCCCACGACCUCCAUGGCUUCUUCUUCCUCCGGCUUGACCUUCAUGCCCUCUUCCCCACCUUAUCUCCUUCUUGUAAGAGUCUAGGGUUAGUUGUGCGGGCGCAACUAGGGCGUAGAGCAACGGCUAGGGCGGCGAAUCAGUAGAGUAAGGCGAGGUGGAGCCUUGCCUAUUGAUGCCGGCGCCGGAGUUGGCCGUGCACAGGAGGAACGGCGGCGGCGGCGAUUUGUGGAGAGAGGGAGUGAGGAGAGCGCAGGAAAAAGGGGAUCGAGGGAGCUAUGCGGGAGAUAGUGUGCGAUCUUUUUCUCUCUAUUUAUUUCUCCCUCCGUUACAGUAAAAAGGCAGCCAAUUCGCCAUCGCGUGCACUAACAAGCAAAGCCAUCCAUAACAGUACCAUAGAGAUGAUGUGGCACCCGCGAGAUGGUGCCCAGCAUUCCCCUCUUGAAGAGUGUAAUGUCGACGCUUUUUUUCCUAGGUUAAACGAGUUUCCAGCAGUGCCUUCAGGUUUCGGCUUUCAAAUGCCAACUAAUUUAAACUUGUUUUUCCCGCUGCCAAAAAAACCAAUAGUUCGAUGAUCAUCAUGUCACAUGUCGACGAUCAACAUGCCACAGUUUGCCGAUCAAUCACACUCAGUAGUUCGACGAUUAAAAGGAAGGAAUCGUAGACAUGGAACGAAUCAAACGGCCAGCUCCUUUGCCGCGGGACUGGUCGGCGUGAGCGUAGUCAGGCUCGGGCUCGGCAUCGGCAUAGUCGGGCUCGACGUCGACGUGGUUUCUGUGCUCGGGCUGGGCGUCAUUGUUGGUGUUGCCGUCAUGGUCGCUGCCAGCGCGGGCAUCUGGUUUAAGAUGAGGCUGCGCUCCGCAAGGUACCACGCCUUCACCUGCUCGUCCAUCGUCGACAUGUAUGCCGCCAUCAAGAAUGUCAGGGCGGUGUUCCUCUUCUUCGCGGCGACGUUGGUCCUGAGAAGGUCGAGCUUGACGUCAUGCUUCAUCAUCAACGCCGACCACCGCGCGUCGGAUUUCUCCUUCCUCUUGGGAGGUUGUUCUUGGCGUCGGUGAUGCAUUGCUUGAUCGAAGAUUGCAGUCGUUUGGCAGUGGGCGUCGCGUCCCUCACCGCCUUGGCUUUUUUGGUGCCAUCGGAGCGCCCUUUUGUUGCAUCCGGGGCAGGCGCGUCUGGAUUGUAGGUCUCUGAUACGUCUCCAACGUAUCUAUAAUUUUUGAUAGUUCCAUGCUAUUAUCUUGUCAAACUUUGGAUGUUUUGUAUGUCUUUUAUAUCUUUUCUGGGACUAACUUAUUAACUCAGUGCCAAGUGUCAGUUCCUGUUUUUUUCCAUGUUUUUGACCCUUUUCAGAGGAGGAUUUUAAACGGUGUCUAAAUGGAAUAAAACUUCCGAAAAGAUUUUUUCCAGAACAGAAGAUACGCGCUACACUUGAGAAUCAAGGCAUGGGCCAGCAGGGGACCCCACAAGCCCCUAGGCGCGGCCAGGGGGCCCGCGCCUAGCAGGCUUGUGGGCCCCGUUGGCACGUCUGCCCUACCUCUUCCGCCUAUAAAUUCAGAAAAAUUGCAAAACUGCGUGAGAGAUCCACGAAAAUACUUUUCCGCCGCCGCAAGCUUCUAUCUCCGCAAGAUCCCAUCUUGGUCACAUUUUGGUGCCCUGCCGGAGGGGGAUUCGGAUACGAAGGGCUUAUUCAUCAACACCAUGACCUCUCCGAUGAUGCGUGAGUAGUUCACGAUAGACCUUCGGGUCCAUAGCUAGUAGCUAGAUGACUUCUUCUCUCUCUUGGAUCUUCAAUACAAAGUUCUCCAUGAUCUUCAUGGAUAUCUAUCUGAUGUAAUCUUCUUUUGCGGUGUGUUUGUCGAGAUCCAAUGAAUUGUGGAUUUAUGAUCAGAUUAUCUAUGAAUCUUAUUUGAGUUUCUUCUGAUCUCUCGUAUGCAUGAUUUCAUAUCCUUGUAAUUCUCUUCGAGUUGUGGGUUUUGUUUGGCCAACUUGAUCUAUGAUUCUUGCAAUGGGAGAAGUGCUUGGUUUUGGGUUCAUACCGUGCGGUGACCUCACCCAGUGACAGAAUGGGUAGCGAGGCACGCAUCGUGUUGUUGCCAUCAAGGGUAAAAAGAUGGGGUUUUCAUCAUUGGUUUGAGUUUAUCCCUCUACAUCAUGUCAUCUUGCUUAAAGCGUUACUCUGUUUGUCAUGAACUCAAUACACUAGAUGCAUGCUGGAUAGCGGUCGAUGUGUGGAGUAAUAGUAGUAGAUGCAGAAAGUAUCGGUCUACUUGUCUCGGACGUGAUGCCUAUAUGUAUGAUCAUUGCCUUAGAUAUCGUCAUGACUUUACGCGGUUCUAUCAAUUGCUCGAUAGUAAUUUGUUCACCCACCGUAAUAUUUGCUAUUUUGAGAGAAGCCUCUAGUGAACACUAUGGCCCGCGGGUCUACUUCACACCAUAUUUUCAGCCGUACUCUUUUACUUCGUUGCACUUUCCGCCUUCAGAUCUCACUUUGCAAUCAAUCUUGAAGGGAUUGACAACCCCUUUAUAGCGUUGGGUGCAAGCUCUUUUGUGUUUGCGCAGGUACUCUAGACUUGACGCGGUUCUCCUACUGGAUUGAUACCUUGGUUCUCAAACUGAGGGAAAUACUUACUGCUCCUGUGCUGCAUCACCCUUUCCUCUUCAAUGGAAAAACCAACGCAAGCUCAAGAGGCAGCAGUCUCCUUGGCCUUGGCGAGAGCGAGCCGAACGUCCCUCCACUUCUCGCAUGAACUCUUGGUCACUGUUGUCUUGGCGAUACAUGCUGAACAUCCGAACCAUCUGCACAGUCGCGGACAAAAUGUGUCGGCAAAGUACACGACAACGCGACGAAAUGGGGUCGGCGAACUAUGUCCUUACGUGGCCCUCGACGUUGGCGCCGCUUUCGGGUGAGCAGCGACCUCCUCGAUGAUCGCAUGCCACUUGUUGCAGGUCAUCUGGAUCGUCGCACAAUGGUUCGCCAUGGCCUUGUCGUCGCAGUCCAUGUGGAUGUUGGCGAAGUCGGGGUCAACCAGCUUGCGUUCGUCGAACAUUGUCUUGAUUGUCCCCCAGUAUGUAUCGAUGUUCUCAUUUGCGCCGGUAAUCAGGUUGAUGCUUACGGUCUGCCAUGCUUCGGCAAAGCACUCGUCUUCCUUGGACAUCCACUUAAAGCGAGGUUCGGCCCGCCUCGCGUUCGGCGCAUGCUUCUUCUUUCUCGCUUUCAGCGCUGGUUCUGGUUCCGCCUCUGCCUUCUCUUCCUCCCUCUCCUCCUCCUCCUCAGCGUUGUCGAGCUCAUUGUCCAUGUCGACGAUGGCGUCCAUCGUUUCAUCUUGCACACCAAACCCCAGGCAGGAUGCGGUGGCGACAGAGUCGUUCGUGAUGAUCUCGUCCAUGUUGGCGUCGGUGUGGCUAAAUUGUAGCGUCGAGCCGGGUACGAAGGGUAGGGCACCUCGACGCAGAGGCGACACAGGCGAGCUGAUGAGUAUGCUGAUGGUGAGUAGCUAUACUGGGUGUUGAGACCGACGUUGAAUGCGGGGGAGGGAGUGUGCGGGUAAUGGUUGAAGUUGGUGGAGGAGGAACGUUGCGGCGCGCCAUAAGGGAAGGUGAUGUUGGGGUUGAAACCGCCAUGUGCGUCGCCGUCGGAGUAGGUAGGGAGGGUGCAUACCCCUAGGGCGGCAGCGGCGGAGAGAGAUUGGCCGGUGACGCUACGCUCUGUCGACUCCUCCACGCGGCUGGCGGGUUGUGGUCGGGUGAAUUCAUCAUCUCCGCGCAAGACGCCUAUCCUACUUGGCCACCGCCGCUGCCACUUCUAUGGCCCUCUUGCCGUCGAGCCUUUUCCACCGGUAGGUUGUGAUUGCCUCCCGGCACUGGACAUUCUACCUCCACUCGGCGUCCGACACGCCCGGCUGUCUUGCCAUUGGCGCCCUCGGCUUCCUCUGCUUGGGUCGGUCGGAAUCGGCAACGACAGCGGGGCGAGGGGCGGAAUAAUUCUUUGGUGUCAUGAUGGCAUGGUGGCCGGAUGGCGGGAAAGGGAGAAGAAUGGCGGGAACGGCGGGGGAGAAGGGGAAGCAAUGUGGAAAUGGAGGGAAAGGGGGAGAAAACGGCAGGAAUAGGCCCGUCUAUCGUCGACAGCAUGGGCCCACUCGACUUUUUUGCUUUGGCCGACGCCCCCAAGCGCUCCCGAGGGGCUAGGUUCGGUUCAGGCUCGCUGGUUGUUAUUUUAUGCCAAACCGAUGCUAAACAAGAAGUUGGGGCGCGGAUGGACCGAUGUUACGCCGCCGACGCUAAAAAGGCGCCUUGGGGGCCUGUUGGGGGGGGGGAGUGGAGAUGAUCUAAGCUCGACUGGUCGAACAGCUGGAGGUUGAUAGGCUCAUCGUGGACAUUGCCAACAGAAUUGAUAUUGAACUCCAAGACUUGAAGCUAAGCUUCUUCACCAACUGAGCACCCAGACAGCCGUCCCGACCAAUGUGAGUCAUCUCUUUUGCGCGGCCAUGAGUCCAGAACUGAUUGGAUAAACAUGUAGUACCCCCACCUUAACGCCUAGAUGUGUCCACAAGUGGGUUGCACGACCCGAUCAGGCAUGGGGAAGAGGCCAUGGAAGAAACGUCGGGGCUAUUAUACAUUGUGCCUCGGAUUCCCACAUCAUGAGAAACCGCAAGCACAACUUUCAACUCUCCAAUUCCAAACCAGGGACACCGCGAGCAACUAAGGCAACACAUUCAUGGACACGCAUGGCAACACGGAUUGAUCACGAGGUCAGACCACCUUGUGCUAAAAAAGAGCGUCAUCGCUAUGAGACCUAUCCACCACCUCUUGGUAUUGGAAACCCUUAUUCGAGUCUUCGAGGAAAUUAACAAACGGAUGAGAUCUUUCUUCUCGGAGGGUCAAAUAAAGUUCAUGGAGGCCAAUGCAUCGUAGCUCCUCGCAGGCAACCCGAGGGCGACUAGGUUUUCCGCUGCACCGCCACUCCCCAUCCACUUCCCCUCUCGUCGUCGUCGGAGGCAGCCGUCGGGCCAGACCAUGCGGACGGUGGUGGGGUCUCGGCUGCUUCGUCGCUUGGGCGGAGGGCCUUGGGUGCGCCGAGGCGGCGGGCUCGGGUGGUGAAGAGGCGACAUUAGAGGGGGCAGCCACACAUGUUCAGAGUCGUUGACUAUAAACCUCUCUCACAAGCAAGACAUGAUCGAACCUCAGAACUGUAUGAAUGUUAGAUUCAUUGCAAUCACAUCGUGAUGUGAACUAGAUUAUUGGCUCUAGUGCAAGUGGGAGACUGUUGGAAAUAUGCCCUAGAAGCAAUAAUAAAUUGGUUAUUAUUAUAUUUCAUUGUUCAUGAUAAUUGUCUAUUAUUCAUGCUAUAAUUGUAUUAACCGAAAACCGUAAUACGUGUGUGAAUAUAUAGAUCACAAUGUGUCCCUAGUGAGCCUCUAGUUGGCUAGCUCGUUGAUCAAUAGAUGAUCAUGGUUUCCUGAUCAUGGACAUUGGAUGUCAUUGAUAACGGGAUCACAUCAUUGGGGACUGAUGUCAUGGACAAGACCCAAUCCUAAGCAUAGCACUAGAUCGUAUUGUUCGUCUGCUAGAGCUUUUCUAAUGUCAAGUAUCAUUUCCUUAGACCAUGAAAUUGUGCAACUCCCGGAUACUGUAGGAGUGCUUUGGGUGUAUCAAAUGUCACAAGUAACUGGGUGAUCAUAAAGGUGCACUACAGGUAUCUCCGAAAGUGUCUGUUGGGUUGUACGAAUCGAGACUCAGAUUUGUCACUUCGUGUGACGGAGAGGUAUCUCUGGGCCCACUCGAUAAUCCAUCAUCCUAUUGAGCUCAGUGUGACUAAGGAGUUAGCCAUGGAAUGAUGCGUUACGGAACGAGUAAAUAGACUUGCCGGUAACAAGAUUGAAUAAGAUAUAGGGAUACCGACGAUCAAAUCUCGGGCAAGUAUCAUACCGAUAGACAAAGGGAAUUUCAUACGAGAUUGAUCGAAUCCCCGACAUCGUGGUUCAACCGCUGAGAUCAUCGUGGAACAUGUGGGAACCAACAUGGAUAUCCAGACCCCGCUGUUGGUUAUUUACCAGAGAAGUUACUCGGUCAUGUCUGCAUGUCUCCCGAACCCGUAGGGUCUACACACUUAAGGUUCGAUGACGCUAGGGUUAUAUGGGAAAAGUGUACAUGGUUACCGAAGGUUGUUAGGAGUCCCGGAUGAGAUCCCGGACGUCACGAGGAGUUCCGAAAUGGUCCGAAGGUAAACAUUCAUAUAUAGGAAGUGAGGAUUUGGUCGCCGGGAGUGUUUCGAGCGACACCGGUAAUGUACCGGGACCACCUGAAGGGUUCCGGGGGUCCACCGGGAAGGGCCACCAGCCCCAGUGUGCUACUUGGGCCAAAAGUGGAUGGGAACCAGCCCUAGGUGGGCUAGUCACCACCACUAAGGGCCCAAGGCGCAGCAAGGGGUGGAGGAGGCAAAACCCUAGGCGGGUGGAGAGGCCACCUUGGGCCUCAAGGCCCACCCUAGGGUGCCUCCACAUUUGGCCGCCGCCCCACACCCAUCUAGGGCUGCCGCACCCCUUAGGGUGGGAAACACUAAGGGUGGUCACCCUCCUCCCUCUCCUCCUAUAUAUAGUGGAGGGUUUGGGGCAGUUUAGAGACACAAUCUCUCUCUCUCUCUCUCUCUCGGCGCAGCCCUACUCCUCCUUCUCCUCGUCCUACAUAGUGCUUGGCGAAGCCCUGUCGGAGUGCCACGUAGCUCCACCGUCACCACGCCGUCGUGCUGCCGGAUCUCUCCCUCAACCUCUCCUCCCUCCUUGCUGGAUCAAGGUGUUGGAGACGUCACCAGGCUGCACGUGUGUUGAACGUAGAGGCGUUGUUGUUCGGCGCAUAGAUCGGAAUCCACCGCGAUCUGAAUCGCUGCGAGUACGACUCCAUCAACCGCGUUCUAGCAACACUUCCGCUUAGCGAUCUUCAAAGGUAUCAAGAUGCUCUACAACCUCUCUCGUUGCUGGUUUCUCCAUAGAUAGAUCCUUGCAUGAUGUAGGAUUUUUUUUGAAAUUACUACGUUCCCCAACAUGUGUCUCCCCAACACUCUCUGUUAUCUCCGGGGGGAAUCCUAGAUCAGUCGAUCGGAUGACGGCGGCUCUCUUGUGUCGUUCCCCCCUUAGGGGCGUCAUUCUUGGAGGUACACACGAGCUCGAGGGACCGGAGGACGGCUUCUUUGGUGGAGCGGUGCUUCAUCUUACACAUUCAUGGCGAUGGAUCUCAGCGGCAUGGCAUUGUGGAGACUUGACGUCCGAUAUGCGGAUAUUGACUCGCGCACGAGGAGGAUGUUGUCUAGCGUCAUGGUGGCGUCGAUGGCAGAGAAGCCUGGCAAGGUCAGUUCGUUAGUUUGCUCUAAAGAUGGAUUGGUGGAUGAUGGCGGCGAUGACACAUGAGAGUGUCUCAGACCGGAUUGUGUCCUAAACCCAGUAUGUGGCUUUGUUGGGUUUUCUAGCUUUAGAUGUUACGCUUUUGUGCGAUGUCUAUCUGGAAUUAGGCUCGGACUAUCGGCACCCCUUCAUCAUGUGGUAUGGAGUAAACACAGAUGUUGCUAACAUGAUGACUUCAGACUACCUGAUGUACUACUUUGUAAGGUCUUUAUGAAUAAUAAAUAAAAUGGUUGCAUGUAUCGCUCAGAGGCCGGAGGUAAUCCUCCUUUUUUAAAUGCCUCGUGGCAUGCAUCAUUGUUUGUUGUCCGACCGAGUUUGAAGGGCCGGGCGUAAAAAACUUGAAACUUCAAGCGUUGAGUGAUGAUUUGGCCGGGAGCAUUUUUGAUAGGUAAACAUUUAUACACGGCGCGCCGGCCGAACCGUUUUGGCCAGACGCAUCGCGUUCGUCCGAUCUGCGCGGAUCGCGCGUUCCCCUUUGCGCAGGCUGCUGUCGCCCCCUCGCGUACUUCCCCCCACGAGCGCAUCCCCUGUUGGAUCUCGUCCCGCCGGCCGUCAUGGAGUUGCAUCGUAUGCCACCAGUGUUGGAGAAGAAAAGCUAUGAAAGAGAUGACGAUGUUGCAACCGGCGAUGAAAAAAGCUUCAAACCGGCGAUACAAAAUGCUACAACCGGCAUUGUCGAAAGCUUCAACCAGAGACGAGGGGAAUCGAGGGCCACCCACCAUACAAACCGAGAAUGUUGCAACCGGUGAUGAAAAAAGUUUCAACCGGCUAGAAAAAAGCUUCAACCGACGAUAUAAAAAGCUUCAACCGGCGACAGCGAAACACAAAAAGCUACAAUCGUUGACACAAAAGCUACAACCAUAUGUUUGAAAAGCUUCAACCACAAACCAACGACGAAAGCUUGUCAUUUUUGCUACAACCAGCAAAACGCUUCAAGCGACAUGGAAAAAGCUUCAACCAUUGUGAAAAAGCUUCAACCGUUGUGGAAAAAGCUUCAAGCGACAUGGUAAAAGUUUCAACCAAAGUGAAAUAAGCUUCAAACCGGCGGCGUCGACGGCGACGAGCGGUGAGCGACGGGGGGGGAGGGCGUGAGGAUGCUGCGACGAGCGGCGAUGACGGGGGGAGAGGGAUGGGGGUGCUCAUGCGGCAGGAGGUCGGAGGCGCGCGGGGUUGUGCGCCAGCGCAGAGCGGGGACGAGAUGCCAGAUCUGACAUCUACCGAAGUUAGAUCGAACGACUGUCACCCGAUCGGCGGGAGCGCUUGCUCCGGUGCGUCGGCGCAGAGCAGUGCCCUUUUUGAUAGCCUUAUGCACAUCCAGCUAGGAUAGAUUAAAGCCCUCGUAUUAUGAAGAGACCGCUGGAUCUACGGUACAAUAGUUAUGGACAUAGUGUUAAAUUACAUACCUUGUAUAGCUAUAGCCUACCGAGCACGCUGUUGCACAGACCGGGCUCCAGUGAGGCCGAUAUAUAUAAAAAAUCAAUAUAUAUUUAAAAAAUUCAAAAAAUACCAGUUUUUUUUAUACAAAUACAUAUAUAUAUAUAGUGGUCAAGCUGCGACCAGGAGGUAGGUUCUGGGUGCUCGCCGACGAUGGAGAGGAGGAGGAGGACAGGGAGGAGACUCCACCGGUGGCUUCCCCGGUAUCUUCGGACGUUCUGGACUCUAUGACUGUCGGAUGUUCGUACAAGAUCUCAAAGAAGGAUACUCGGAACCGACGAACGGCGGCAGAAUGCCACGAAGCUUCACGACGGCGGAGGACUACGACGAUGUAGGUCCGGCCGUGGCACGGACCUCUACCUAAGCUAUGUCUCAAGGGUUUAACGAUUUCAGACUGCAUUCAUCCGUCGGCAUGGAAAAUUGUUCAGAAAAAGAAGAAGAAACGUCUGCAGCAGGUGGAGGCCGCUCCGGCGCUCGCGAUCUCGAUCUCAGAGAUCAGAUCACGACGUUUGAACGUGUUGCUGGGCCCAAUUGGGCUGCCAAACGCUGACUCAGCCGUGGGACUCGAAGUGGAUGGGUAUGAGGCCCAUCACGAGUCACAAACUGGUCGCGACGGCGUCAUAUCAUGCAUAACCGAAGUCUCUGCACCAGUUCACACUGCUUUUCUUCCGCCUCAUCUAGGGCUAGCCACCAAAACAAGCCGGGCUACCCUAGACAGGGAUGCGGCAGGGCAGCUCGGAUUCCACCGUUGCUGCGGUCCGUGAUGACGGGAAGAGGUGGCUCGCAGCAGCCCCCCAAAGCUCCGGCGGGGCAAGGCACCUAUGGUGGUCAGGGGCGGGGUGAUGUGGAGCCCGCUUCUCGAGGACGUGGGAGCUACGGCGGAGGUCGUGGCCAUCACUAGACUGACGGAAGGGGCUUCGCCGUAGGCAGGUGGGGAGAAGAUGGUUAUAAUGUAUGCGGUAAUGGGAUCCACCGAGGUUCGUCUUCGAACGGUGGAGGACGAUGUGAUGGCGCCAACUGGGGGUUCAAUGGUUCCCCUGGCCCGUUUGUCGAAGGAGCAUCGGGUCCGAUUAAUAGGAACCGACAAACAUACCGCGGCAACCACGGGGUGCAGGGAGGAGGACGUCGGUCGCGAGGGCCUAAACCGCCACGAGACGAUCCACCAGCUCUCCCUACAGAGGAGGUGGGCCAUGUGCAAGACAAGAACACUGCGGAUGCCACGAGCAAGGGGGCGCUUUCUGUUGCUGCAUUGGAGACGGUACGUGCCCUCGCUGUGGUCGACGUGCCAUCCGCGCCCGUGGUUGCUCCUCGAGGUGCUGCGACAGAUAAAGCCAGCGACAAGUUAGAAGGUGAGAGAGUCACCAAGUGGGCUCGGAAGAAGGAAAAAAUGACAAUGCUACCGGUGCGGUGGACAUGGACACUUUGUGGUAGAAUGCACGGUGGAGCUGUGUGAUAUUUUCCGCAAGCCCAAGCAUGAGAGUGGCGAUUGCCCCCUACUCUCAAAGUCGAAGCCGGUUGUUACUAUGUAUGGGGCAUGUUGCCCAAAGCUAACAUUUUUCGAGUCACCUAAGACAGCUACACAAGUACCGGAAAGUGCCAAGACGGGAGUCGUUAAGGUUACUCGUCGUACGAUGACCAUUGAGCAGAUUGUACACCGUUUGCGUGAGCUGGUUUCUGCUUCUUUCCAAUGGGAUCCCAUCAAACUUGACGAACAAAUGUUCAGAGUCAAGUUUCCGAGUAAGGAGGAUCUUGCCAGGUUGCUUAAGCUAGGGAUGAGCCGUGUUCCAAACAACACAUGUGUCCUCGAGUUUGAUGCUUGGACACAGAAGGAUCCUGAAGGCACUCUGCUUUCGCAACUUUGGGUACGGUUUAAUGGAGCACCUCGUCGGGCUAUAGAGGAUUUCUUGGUCACAUGGAGCCUUGGAUCGUUGAUUGGUAAGACGGAGAAGGUAGACAUGCCUUUCACUCGAGCAUAGGGAAUCGCUCGCCUCCUUGUUUCUGUGAUAAACGUUGAGCAUAUUCCUGACACAAUCAGAUGGACGUAUGAUGGCAAGGGUUUUGACCUUGAUAUUGAGCUAGAGGAAAGUGAGGAUUUUCACGAGCUGGGAAAGGAGAUUGACAUGGACACGGACGAGGGACAUGGAGAUGAAGGAAACUUAGCCAAGGGCAUGGAGCCGAGGGAGGGCGCUGAUAGAGGCUCUUUAUCUUCUAACAAACCAACAGUCUCUUGGUUCGUCAUUUAGCAUCAAUUGAGAUUUGUAUCCUUUGGGUCUUCAUCAGCGCCUUCUAAGUUGUGGGGUGCCAGGGUUGACAGUGACGAUCCGGCGGAGCAUGAGUUGUCGUCGUUAUCACCGGUGGAGUCACCGAGAGGUGGUACCACGCCUAUGUCGUGGGCACAUGACACUACCGGAAUACUUGGCAGUCCCAGGAUGGAGUCGCAUGCAGACCAGGGAGCUGCUGCUGAGGCCGAGACACACCAGCUCACCCCGGCUGUCUCUGGAGCCGACGAAGCUAGAGGAGAUUCGGCGGGUGCACUGCUCCCCGGCUCACUGCAUGCUGCCAGGGACGGCAGCACUAGCACUACUGCUGCUAGGCUACUCGGGUCGAGUAUCUCGAGCAGAGGCAGUCACAGGACCUUCGACGGGUGCGCUGCUCCCGAGCUCAUUGCAUGCUGCCAGGGAUGGCAGCAACAGCACUCCGGCUGCUAUGCUACUCAGCUCGGUCACCCCGCUACAGGCGCCGGCUGGGGUUGAGUUGUGUGCUUUUGGAGUUAUGACUCGGAGUGGGUCAGUUAAACAGACUGGCCACCCUAUGACAACGAUUGAUGGUGGCGGUUCGGAUGGCCAGACUAGUUGUGUGACAGGCGGUCAUACUAUGUCGUCGAGGCCCUCCACUGAAGAGGUGAUCGAGUUUGGAGGCAUCCCAGACCCGGCAACAGAGGCUAGGCGAUCGAGUGCUUGCCUGCAAGCCCAACCUGAUGUUGACGAGCUACAGUUGGGCCGUGCUAUGCGCGCGGCUAAGCUUCGCGACAUUGAGACCUCUUCAGGUAUGUCUAUCGAUACGAGUUGUUCUAUUUUGCAUUUAUCUGAAGAUGAUAUAAUUAGAAACGCUACCGAACUUGGAAUUUCAUUGGGUAGCAAUGGGUAGGAGAUAUCUACUUCGAUGAAUUACUUGCUAGACUUAGAGGCAGAGAGGGCAAUUGAGAUGGUGAGAAACAUUGCAGCCAUCAAACCAAUGAAUGAUAAGGAUAUAAAUGCACUGGGGUUGGGAGCUUUAGAGCGUUUAUGUGAGGAUCUUGUGUCAUCCUCCAUUUUGCCUGAAGAAACAAAUGAUAUCGUUGAGGAGGGGUAUGAGUCCCCUUCACAAAUGACUACUACCACGCAACAGCAGACCGGAUAUGUGGACCGGUCGGAUGUUCGGGAUAGGCCAAAAAGGACCUGGAAGAGAAAGGUAUAUCCUGUUUCAGUUGUGCGCCGUAGUGCUAGAUUUAAAACAGCUAAGAAAUUUCAUGAUGAGGGAUGAAAGGAAUAUUCUAAAAUAGCAGAGGUCUAGUAGACUUGGCUAAAACAAGAUUUCUAGCUGAAACAACUAUUGAGCAAAAAUUAGAUUUCAUUGCAUUGAUGGAAACUCGGAGGGAUAACUAUACAACUCAAUUUCUAAAUACGCUAUUUGGAGGGUCUGAAUUUGACUGGCACUGUUUACCUCCAAGAGGAAGAUCCGGUGGGAUCUUGCUUGGGGUCCGGUGCGACACACUCGAAGUCCGAAAUGUGUUGUAUGGGGACUUUGCCGUUAAGUUUAGAGUUUGCUCCAAAGUGGAUGGGUUCCAAUGGGCCCUCGUAGCAGUGUACGGGGUGGCCCAACCUGAGCUCAAGAGAGACUUCUUGGCUGACCUUGUCCAAAUUUGUGGGGACGAGAGACUACCGAUUUUAGUGGGGGUGACUUUAAUAUAAUCCGGAGGCGAGAUGAAAAACAAUAAUAACUUUGAUGGCAGAUGGUCAUUUAUGUUUAAUUCUAUCAUCAAAAGCCUUAAUCUACGAGAGAUAGAGCUAUCAGGAAGAAAGUUUACUUGGGCGAACUCCUUACCUAACCCAACUUUUGAGAAGUUGGAUCGGGUUCUCACGAGUGUGGAAUGGGAGAAGAAAUUCCUCCACAUCACAGUUCACGCAUUACCAAGAGCUAUCUCUGAUCAUACACCAUUGUUUGUAAACUCAGGGGAAGCAACUCACGUGGGGAAUAAAAACCUUUUUUCUUUUGAAUUGGGAUGGUUUGAAAGAGAGGGGUUUGUCGACCUCGUAGCCAGAUAAUGGGAUAUGGUCACGGAAGGUGAUACCAAUGUUGACAGGUGGCAAAAAAAGAUAAGGCACCUGAGGCAAUUCUUACGGGGAUGUGCAAAGCAUGAGAGUGGAAUAUAUAAGAAAGAGAAGCAAAGACUUCUCGAACUUAUAAAUACGCUAGACAUAAAGGCCGAAGAAACGUUAUUAGAUGAUGAUGAGAGGUCAUUGAAAACAGAGGCCGACCUAAAGCUCAAACAACUGCUCAGAGAGGAGGAGUUGAAGUGGGCACUUAGAGCGAAAGUCCGCCACGUGAUACAAGGAGAUGACAACACACAAUAUUUCCAUCUGAUAGCCAACGGAAAGCAUAAAAAGAAAAAAAUAUCCAGCUGGAGCAAGAUGAGGGUACAAUUGUGGGACACGAGAAUCUGAAAUUGUAUAUCUAGGAGUACUAUAAAAAUUUGUUUGGGCCUCCAGAGGAAAAUUUUGUAUCCAUGAAUGAGCAUAUAGUCGGUGACAUACCUCAGCUCGGGACAGACGAGAAUGAGGUACUAUCCGCGCCUUUUACGGAGAAAGAGGUGUUUGAAGCGAUAUCAAAAAUGAAAAAUAAUAAGGCACCAGGCCUAGACAGGUUUUUGGCUGAGUUUUACAAGAGAUGUUGACACAUUAUCAAAGGUGAUUUGUUACCUAUGUUCCAAGAUUUGUUUAACGAAACCUGCAGCUAUUCCAUCUUAAUUAUGGGACUGUGACACUAUUGUCAAAGAAGGAAGGAGCGGUGUGUAUAGAACAGUUUAGACCUAUCUGCCUGCUGAAUGUCAACUUCAAGAUUUUCACUAAGGUAGGUACGAAUAGGUUUACGAAGAUUGCACAUGAGGUGGUGCAACCUAGUCAAACAGAUUUCAUGUCGGGCAGGAACAUACCGGAGGGUGUGGUAGUCAUUCAUGAAAUGCUGUAUGAAAUUCACUCGAAGAAACUAGAUGGGGUAUUCUUCAAGGUGGAUUUCGAGAAGGCCUAUGAUAAGGUCGAGUGGCCUUUCCUACAAUAGGCACUACGUAUGAAGGGUUUUGAUGAAAUAUAGAGAAGACAUAUUGAAUCCUUUGUACAAAAAGGGAGUGUUGGAAUUAAAAUCAAUGAUGACAUGGGCCAUUUUUUCCAAACACUCAAAGGUCUCAGGCAGGGAGAUCCAAUGUCACCUAUCCUAUUUAACAUAGUUGUUGAUAUGUUGGGAAUUCUAAUAGGAAGGGCUAAACAGGAAGGCCAAGUAGGUGGACUCGUGCCGCAUCUGGUGGAUGGUGGUGUCUCCAUUCUAGAAUAUGUUGAUGAUACUAUCCUGUUCUUGGAACAUGAUAUAGAAAAAGCUAGAAAUAUGAAAGUCAUACUCUGCCUAUUUGAACAAUUGUCAGGCUUGAAAAUCAAUUUUCAUAAGAGUGAGCUGUUUUGCUUUGGGAAAGCCAAGGACGAAUAAAACGCUUAUAAACAAUUAUUCGGAUGUGAAUUGGGAAGCCUACCAUUGAGUUAUUUAGGCAUACCAUUCACCAACGGGAACUUUCCAACAGUGCGUGGAAAUGCAUCGAAGAUCGGUUUGAGAAAAAGUUAAGCUGCUGGAAGGGCAAGUUGUUAUCUUAUGGGGGGAGAUUGAUUCUCGUAAACUCGGUACUGACGAGUAUGCCAAUGUUCCUUCUACCCUUCUUUGAAAUGCCAGUAGGGGUACACAAAAGGUUGGAUUUUUAUCGAUCAAGAUUCUUUUGGCGGAGUGAUGAGGAUAGAAAGAAAUACAAAUUAUCUAAAUGGGAUAUUAUUUGUAAGCCUAAAGACCUCGGAGGUCUGGGGAUUGAGAAUUUAGAGCUAAAGAAUAGAUGUUUGCUGAGCAAGUGGCUGUUCAGACAUUCUGUAGAGACAAAGGGCAUGGGGGUACAAAUUCUACGUACUAAGUACCUACAAUCUAAUACCUUAGCUCAGGUAAAUGUCAGAUCCAAUGACUCACCAUUCUGGAAAGGGCUGAUGAAAGUAAGGUCGGCCUUUUUUCAGAGGACUAUAUUUAUUAUCGGAAAUGGUGAGGGGACAAGAUUCUGGAGGAUACGUGGUUGGGGGACAUGCCUCUAGUUAUCCAGUAUCCAGCCUUAUACAAUAUAGUGCAACGUAAGGAUGCAUAUGUUGCCACAGUUCUACAGUCAAAUCCUCUAAAUAUCCAAUUCCGUAGAGCUUUGAUUGGGCACCGUUGGGAGGACUGGCUCCACUUGGUGAGGAGACUCCUGGAUGUCCAUGUUGGAAAUAUGCCCUAGAGGCAAUAAUAAAAUGGUUAUUAUCAUAUUUCCUUGUUCAUGAUAAUCGUCUAUUGUUCAUGCUAUAAUUGUAUUAACAGGAAACAGUAAUACAUGUGUGAAUAAAUAGAUCACAAUGUGUCCCUAGCAAGCCUCUAGUUGGCUAGCUCGUUAGUCAAUACAUGAUCAUGGUUUCCUGAUCAUGGGCAUUAGAUGUCAUUGAUAACGGGAUCACAUCAUUGGGAGAAUGAUGUGAUGGACAAGACCCAAUCCUAAGCAUAGCACUAGAUCGUAUUGUUCGUAUGCUAAAGCUUUUCUAGUGUCAAGUAUCUUUUCCUUCGACCGUGAGAUUGUGCAACUCCCGGAUACCGUAGGAGUGCUUUGGGUGUAUCAAACGUCACAACGUAACUGGGUGACUAUAAAGGUGCACUACGGGUACCUCCGAAAGUGUCUAUUGGGUUGGUACGAAUCGAGAUCGGGAUUUGUCACUCCGUGUGACGGAGAGGUAUCUCUGGGCCCACUCGGUAGAACAUCAUCAUGAGCUCAAUGUGACUAAGGAGUUAGUCACACGAUGACGUGCUACGGAACGAGUAAAGAGACUUACCGGUAACGAGAUUGAACAAGGUAUAUGUAUACCGACGAUCGAAUCUCGGGCAAGUUCUAUACCGACAGACAAAGGGAAUCGUAUACGGGAUUGAUUGAAUCCUUGACAUCGUGGUUCAUCCGAUGAUAUCAUCGUGGAGCAAGUGAGAGAAACCAUGGGUAUCCAGACCCCGCUGAUGGUUAUUGGCCGGAGAGGCGUCUCGGUCAUGUCUGCUUGUCUCCCGAACCCGUAGGGUCUACACACUUAAGGUUCGAUGACGCUAGGGUUAUAGGGAAUUGUUAUACGAGGUUACAAAAAGUUGUUCGGAGUCCCGGAUGAGAUCCCGGACGUCACGAGGAGCUCUGGAAUGGUCCGGAGGUAAAUAUUGAUAUAUAGGACGGAUGGUUUCGGAUACCGGAAGUGUUUCGGGCAUCACCGGUAAUGUACCGGGACCAUCGGGACCACCGAAGGUGGCCCCGAGGGUCCACCGAAGGGGGCAACGACCCCGGGAGGUAAGGUGGGCCAAGUGGGGAAGGGAACCAGCCCCUGGGUGGGCUGGUGCGCCUCCCCACUCAGCCCAAUGCGUGGGGGAGAGAAAAGGGGGGGGCAAACCCUAAGCCAGGUGGGCCUAAGGCCCACCAGGGGUGCGCCACACCCCUCCUCCCCCCCUUGGCCGCAGCACCAGCCCCCAUCUAGGGCUGCCGCCCCCCCAGGAGAGGGAAACCCUCAAGGGGGCGCAGCCCCUCCCUCCCCCUAUAUAUAGUGGGCACUUUUGGCCAUUGGAGAUCAGACUUUUGCCUCUCUCUCGCCGCAGCCCUGCCCUUUUUCCUCCUCCUCUCUGCCGGUGCUUGGCGAAGCCCUGCCGGGAGACCUCGUCUCUCCAUCGACACCACACCAUCGUGCUGCUGGAGUUCUUCCCCAACCUCUCCCUCCUCCUUGCUGGAUCAAGGUGCGGGAGACGUCACCGGGCUGCACGUGUGUUGAACGCGGAGGUGCCGUAGUUCGGCACUAGAUCGGAAUCGCUGCGAGUACGACUCCAUCAAUUGCGUUCUAGCAACGCUUCUGCUUAGCGAUCUUCAAAGGUAUGAAGAUGCUCUUAACCCUCUCUCGUUGCUGGUCUCUCCAUAGGAAGACCUGAAUAAGCGUAGGAAUAUUUUGAAUUUAUGCUACGUAACCCAAAAGUGGCAUCCGAGCCAGGUUUUCUAUGCGUAGAUUCUAUGCACAAGUAGAACACAAAAGUUGUGGGCGAUGAUUUGUCAAUUUGCUUGCCGCUACUAGUCUUAUUCUUUCCCGGCGGUAUUGUGGGAUGAAGCGGCCCGGACCGACUUUACACGUACGCUUACGUGAGACUGGUUCCACCGACAGACAUGCACACCGUGCAUAAAGGUGGCUAGCGGGUGUCUGUCUCUCCUACUUUAGUCAGAUUGGAUUUGAUGAAAAGGGUCCUUAUGAAGGGUAAAUAGCUUUGGCAUAUCAUCGUUGUGGCUGUCACGUAGGUAAGAAUGCGUUCUUGCUAGAAACCCAAAUCAGCCAUGUAAAACUUGCAACAACAAUUAGAGGACGUCUAACUUGUUUUUGCAGGGUUUGACAUGUGAUGUGAUAUGGCCAAAGUUGUGAUGUUGCAUGUAUGAUGUAUGAGAUGAUCAUGUUAUUGUAAUAGGUUUCACGACUUGCAUGUCGAUGAGUAUGACAACCGGCAGGAGCCAUAGGAGUUGUCUUAAUUUAUUGUAUGAGAUGCAACGCCAUGUGCUUACUACUUUUACUUCAUUGCUAAUGGUUAGCUAUAGUAGUAGUGAUAGUAGUAGUUGGCGUGACGACUUCAUGGAGACACGAUGAUGGAGAUCAUGGUGUCACGCCGGUGACGAUGAUGAUCAUGCGAUGCGUGAAGAUGGAGAUCGAAAGGGCGAAGAUGAUAAUGGCCAUAUCAUGUCACUAUAUGAUUGCAUUGUGAUGUUUAUCAUGGUUUUCAUCUUAUUGCUUAGAACGACGGUAGCAUAAUAAGAUGAUCCCUCUUAAAAUUUUGAGAACGUAUUCCCCUAAGUGUUCACCGUUGCGAAGGUUCGUUGUCUCGAAGCACCACGUGAUGAUCGGGUGUGAUAGAUCCUAACGUUCGCAUACAACGGGUGUAAGCCAGAUUUACACACACGAAACACCUAGGUUGACUCGACGAGCUUAGCAUGUACAGACAUGACCUCGAAUACAAGAGACCGAAAGGUCGAACAUGAGUCGUAUGGUUGAAUACGAUCAGCAUGAAGUUGCUAACCAUGGUGACUAGUCCGUCUCACGCGAUGAUCGGACACGGGUUAGUCAACAUGGAUCAUGUAUCACUUAGAUGACUAGAGGGAUGUCGAUUUAAGUGGGAGUUCAUACUUAAUUUGAUUAAAUGAACUUAAUUGUCAUGAACUUAGUCUAAAAGGUUUGUCUUUAUAAAUAUUGUAGAUGGCCAACGCCAACCUCAAUUUCAACGCAUUCCUAGAGGAAAACAAGCUGAAAGAUGAUGGUAGCAACUAUGUGGACUGGGUUCGCAACUUGAAGCUCAUCCUUGAAGCAGCUAAAAAUGCUUAUGUCCUUGAUGCGCCACUAGGUGACCCUCCCUCUCCCGCAGCAGCCCAGGACAUUUUGAAUGUCUGGCAAACGCGAAGUGAUGACUACUCUCUGGUUAGGUGUGGCAUGUUAUACUGUUUAGAAACGGGGCUCCAAAGGCAUUUUGAGCAACAUGGAGCAUAUGAGAUGUUCCAAGAGCUGAAGCUUGUUUUUCAAGCUCAUGUGUGUGUCGAGAGAUAUGAAGUCUCCGACAAGUUCUUUAGUUGUAAGAUGGAGGAGAACAGUUCUGUCAGUGAGCACAUACUCAAAAUGUCUGGGUUACACGGUCGUCUGACUUCACUUGGAGUUGAACUUCCGGAUGAUGCUAUAAUUGACAGAAUCCUCCAGUCUCUCCCACCAAGCUACAAAGGCUUUGUGCUUAACUACAACAUGCAAGGGAUGAAGAAGACCAUUCCCGAGUUGUACUCGAUGCUCAAGUCUGCAGAAGUAGAAAUCAAGAAAGAGCAUCAAGUGUUGAUGGUCAACAAGACCACUAGUUUCAAGAAGGGCAAGGGUAAGAAGAACUUCAAGAAAGACGGCAAAGCUGUUGCCGCGCCCGGUAAGCCAGAUGCCGGGAAGAAGAAAAAUAAUGGACCCAAGCCUGAGACUGAGUGCUUCUAUUGCAAGGGAAAGGGUCACUGGAAGCGGAAUUGCCCCAAAUACUUAGCGGACAAGAAGGUCGGCAACGUUAAAGGUAUAUGUGAUAUACAUGUUAUUGAUGUGUACCUUACCAACGCUCGUAAUAGCUCCUGGGUAUUUGAUACCGGUGUUGUUGCUCACAUUUGCAACUCAAAGCAGGAACUGCGAAAUAAGCGGAGACUGGCCAAGGAUGAGGUGACGAUGCGCGUCGGGAAUGGUUCAAAGGUCGAUGUGAUCGCCGUCGGCACGCUACCUCUACAUCUACCGUCGGGAUUAGUCUUAAACAUUAAUAAUUGUUAUUUAGUACCAGCUUUAAGCAUGAACAUUGUAUCAGGGUCUUGCUUAAUGCGAGACGGCUACUCAUUUAAGUCAGAGAAUAAUGGUUGUUCUAUUAAUAUGAGUGAUAUGUUUUAUGGUCAUGCUCCAUUGGUGAAUGGUUUAUUCUUGAUGAAUCUCGAUCGUGAAGUUACACAUAUUCAUAGUGUGAGUACCAAAAGAUGUAAAGUUGAUAAUGAUAGUCCCACAUUCUUGUGGCACUGCCGCCUUGGUCAUAUCGGCGUUAAGCGCAUGAAGAAGCUCCAUACUGAUGGACUAUUAGAGUCUCUUGACUUUGAAUCAUUUGACACAUGCGAACCGUGCCUCAUGGGCAAGAUGACUAAGACUCCAUUCUCAGGAAUAAUGGAGAGAGCAACCGACUUAUUGGAAAUAAUACAUACUGAUGUGUGUGGUCCAAUGAACGUUGAAGCUCGCGGUGGCUAUCGUUAUGUUCUCACUCUCACUAAUGAUUUGAGUAGGUAUGGGUAUAUCUACUUGAUGAAGCACAAAUAUGAGACAUUUGAAAAGUUCAAGGAAUUUCAGAGUGAGGUCGAGAAUCAACGUGACAGAAAAAUUAAGUGUCUACGAUCUGAUUGUGGAGGAGAAUAUUUGAGUCACGAGUUUGGCACACACCUAAGGAAGUGUCGAAUCGUUUCACAACUGACGCCGCCUGGCACACCGCAAUGCAACGGAGUGUCUGAACGUCGUAAUCGCACUUUAUUAGAUAUGGUACGAUCUAUGAUGUCUCUUACCGACUUAUCGCUAUCAUUUUGGGGAUACGCAUUAGAAACUGCAGCAUUCACUUUAAAUAGGGCACCGUCUAAAUCCGUUGAGACGACACCGUAUGAACUAUGGUUUGGCAAGAAACCUAAGUUGUCGUUUCUUAAAGUUUGGGGCUGCGAUGCUUAUGUGAAGAAACUUCAACCAGAAAAGCUCGAACCCAAAGCGGAGAAAUGUGUAUUCAUAGGAUACCCUAAGGAAACUAUUGGGUAUACCUUCUAUCUUAGAUCCGAAGGUAAAACCUUUGUUGCCAAGAACGGAUCCUUUCUAGAGAAAGAGUUUCUCUCGAAAGAAGUAAGUGGGAGGAAGGUAGAACUUGAUGAGGUAAUUACACCCCCUCUCGAACAGGAUAGUAGCGCAGCGCGGGAAGUUGUUCCUGUGGCGCCUACACCGAUUGAAGAGGAAGUUAAUGAUGAUGAUCAUGAAGCUUCGGAUCAAGUUACUACUGAACUGCGAAGGUCCACAAGGGCACGCUCCGCACCAGAGUGGUACGACAACCCUGUGAUGGAAAUCAUGUUGUUAGACAACGGUGAACCUUCGAACUAUGAAGAAGCGAUGACGGGCCUGGAUUCCAACAAAUGGCUUGAGGCUAUGAAAUCCGAGAUAGGAUCCAUGUAUGAGAACAAAGUAUGGACUUUGGUGGACUUGCCCGAUGACCGGCGAGCCAUAGAAAAUAAAUGGAUCUUCAAGAAAAAGACUGAUGCAAACGGUAAUGUAACCGUUUACAAAGCUCGACUUGUCGCAAAGGGUUUUCGACAAAUUCAAGGAGUUGACUACGAAGAGACUUUCUCUCCCGUAGCAAAGCUGAAAUCAGUCUGAAUCAUGUUAGCAAUUGCCGCCUUUUAUGAUUAUGAAAUUUGGCAAAUGGACGUCAAAACAGCAUUCCUUAACGGGAACCUUAAGGAAGAGUUGUAUAUGAUGCAACCAGAAGGUUUUGUCGACCCUAAGGGUGCUAACAAAGUGUGCAAGCUCCAGCGCUCCAUCUAUGGGCUGGUGCAAGCAUCUCGGAGUUGGAACAUUCGCUUUAAUGAGGUGAUUAAAGCGUUUGGGUUCAUAUAGGUUUACGGAGAAGCCUGUCUGUACAAGAAAGUGAGUGGGAGCUCUGUAGCUUUCCUCAUACUGUAUGUGGAUGACAUAUUAUUGAUGGGGAAUAAUAUAGAGAUGUUGGAGAGCAUAAAGGCCUAUUUGAACAAAAGUUUUUCAAUGAAGGACCUUGGAGAAGCUGCAUACAUAUUAGGCAUCAAGAUCUAUAGAGAUAGAUCAAGACGCCUUAUAGGUCUUUCGCAAAGUACAUACCUUGACAAGAUAUUGAAGAUGUUCGAUAUGGAAAACUCAAAGAAAGGGUUCUUGCCAGUUUUGCAAGGUAUGAGAUUGAGUAAGACUCAGUCGCCGACCACGGCAGGAGAUAGAGAGAAGAUGAGUUCUGUCCCCUAUGCAUCAGCCGUGGGCUCUCUAAUAUAUGCCAUGCUGUGUACCAGACCUGAUAUAAACCUUGCCAUAAUCUUGGUAGGGAGGUACCAAAGUGAUCCCGGUAUGGAACACUGGACAGCGGUCAAGAAUAUCCUUAAGUACCUGAAAAGGACUAAGGAAAUGUUUCUCGUUUAUGGAGGCGACGAAGAGCUCGUCGUAAAGGGUUACGUCGACGCUAGCUUUGACACAGAUCCGGAUGACUCUAAGUCACAUACCGGAUACGUAUAUGUGUUGAAUGGUGGGGCAGUGAGCUGGUGCAGCAGCAAGCAAGAAGUUGUGGCAGCAUCUACAUGUGAAGCGGAGUACAUAGCUGCUUCAGAAGCAGCUCAUGAAGGAAUUUGGAUGAAGGAGCUCAUCACCGACCUUGGAGUGGUUCCAAGCGCGUCGGGUCCAAUGACACUCUUCUGUGAUAACACUCGGGCCAUUGCCAUAGCCAAGGAGCCCAGGUUUCACCGGAAGACGAAGCACAUCAAACGCCGCUACAACUCCAUCCAGGACCAUGUCCAGAGUGGAGUGAUAGAUAUUUGUAAAGUACACACGGAUCUGAAUAUUGCAGACCCGUUGACUAAACCUCUUCCACGAGCAAAACAUGAUCAACACCAUAAUGCUAUGGGUGUUCGAUACAUCACAAUGUAACUAGAUUAUUGACUCUAGUGCAAGUGGGAGACUGUUGGAAAUAUGCCCUAGAGGCAAUAAUAAAAUGGUUAUUAUCAUAUUUCCUUGUUCAUGAUAAUCGUCUAUUGUUCAUGCUAUAAUUGUAUUAACAGGAAACAGUAAUACAUGUGNNNNNNNNNNNNNNNNNNNNNNNNNNNNNNNNNNNNNNNNNNNNNNNNNNNNNNNNNNNNNNNNNNNNNNNNNNNNNNNNNNNNNNNNNNNNNNNNNNNNNNNNNNNNNNNNNNNNNNNNNNNNNNNNNNNNNNNNNNNNNNNNNNNNNNNNNNNNNNNNNNNNNNNNNNNNNNNNNNNNNNNNNNNNNNNNNNNNNNNNNNNNNNNNNNNNNNNNNNNNUACAUGUGUGAAUAAAUAUAUCACAAUGUGUCCCUAGCAAGCCUCUAGUUGGCUAGCUCAUAAGUCAAUAGAUGAUCAUAGUUUCCUGAUCAUGGGCAUUAGAUGUCAUUGAUAACGGGAUCACAUCAUUGGGAGAAUGAUGUGAUGGACAAGACCCAAUCCUAAGCAUAGCAAUAGAUCGUAUUGUUCGUAUGCUAAAGCUUUUCUAGUGUCAAGUAUCUUUUCCUUCGACCGUGAGAUUGUGCAAAUCUCGGAUACCGUAGGAGUGCUUUGGGUGCAUCAAACGUCACAACGUAACUGGGUGACUAUAAAGGUGCACUGCGGGUACCUCCGAAAGUGUCUGUUGGGUUGCUACGAAUCGAGAUUGGGAUUUGUCACUCCGUGUGACGGAGAGGUAUCUCUGGGCCCACUCGGUAGAACAUCAUCAUGAGCUCAAUGUGACUAAGGAGUUAGUCACACGAUGAUGUGCUAUGGAACGAGUAAAGAGACUUACCGGUAACAAGAUUGAACAAGGUAUAGGUAUACCGACGAUCUAAUCUCGGGCAAGUUCUAUACCGAGAGACAAAGGGAAUCGUAUACGGGAUUGAUUGAAUCCUUGACAUCGUGGUUCAUCCGAUGAGAUCAUCAUGGAGCAAGUGGGAGCCACCAUGGGUAUCCAGACCCGCUGAUGGUUAUUGGCCGGAGAGGCGUCUCGGUCAUGUCUGCGUGUCUCCCGAACCCGUAGGGUCUACACACUUAAGGUUCGAUGACGCUAGGAUUAUAGGGAAUUGUUAUACGAGGUUACGAAAGUUGUUCGGAGUCCCAGAUGAGAUCCCGGACGUCACGAGGAGCUCCGGAAUGGUACGGAGGUAAAGAUUGAUAUAUAGGACGGAUGGUUUCGGAUACCGGAAGUGUUUCGGGCAUCACCGGUAACGUACCGGGACCACCGGGACCACCGGAGGUGGCCCCGGGGGUCCACCGAAGGGGGGCAACGACCCCGGGAGGUAAGGUGGGCCAAGUGGGGAAGGGAACCAGCCCCUAGGUGGGCUGGUGCGCCUCCCCACUCAGCCCAAUGCGUGGGGGAGAGAAAAGGGGGGCAAACUCUAAGCCAGGUGGGCCUAAGGCCCACCAGGGGUGCGCCACACCCCUCCUCCCCCCUUGGCCGCCGCACCAGCCCCCAUCUAGGGCUGUCACCCCCCCCAGGAGAGGGAAACCCUCAAGGGGGCGCAGCCCCUCCGUCCCCCUAUAUAUAGUGGGCACUUUUGGCCAUUGGAGAUCAGACUUUUGCCUCUCUCUCGGCGCAGCCCUGCCCUUCUUCCUCCUCCUCUCUGCCGGUGCUUGGCGAAGCCCUGCCGGGAGACCUCGUCUCUCCAUCGACACCACGCCGUCGUGCUGCUGGAGUUCUUCCCCAACCUCUCCCUCUUUCUUGCUGGAUCAAGGUGCGGGAGACGUCACCGGGCUGCACGUGUGUUGAACGCGAAGGUGUCGUAGUUCGGCACUAGAUCGGAAUCGCUGCGAGUAUGACUCCAUCAAUCGCGUUCUAGGAACGCUUCCGCUUAGCAAUCUUCAAAGGUAUGAAGAUGCUCUUAACCCUCUCUCGUUGCUGGUCUCUCCAUAGGAAGAUCUGAAUAAGCGCAGGAAAAUUUUGAAUUUAUGCUACGUAACCCAACAGUCCAAUUAUCACAAGAAUCUGAUUGGGUGCAUUGAAGCUUACGAAUAGCGGAUUUUUUGGUCAAAUCAAUGUAUAUCAAUCUUAUUGAUACUAUUACCAUCCCCAAAUCUCUGAAUAUUUGGAGUGUCAAGGUACCCGUAAGGAUCAAAGUCUUCAUGUGGUUUGUACACAAGGGGGUGAUUCUGACUAAGGAUAAUUUGGCUAAAUAAAAUUGGGGGCAGUACUAAAUGUAGCUUUUGUGAUAAUGACGAGAACAUUAAACACCUAUUUCUCCAAUGUCCACUAGCCAGAAUCUUAUGGCACACAAUUCGUAUAGCCUUUAACAUUAUGCCUCCAGAUAGCAUCCACACGUUAUUUUGAACGUGGCUAGAUGGAGUAGACAUGACGAUUGCAAGACACAUCCGUAUAGGAGUUUGUGCACUUCUUUGGGCUAUAUGGAACUGCAGGAAUGAUGUGGUUUUUAACAGACGUAUCAAUAUACAAUUUUUGCAGGUACUACACAAAGCGGCAUCAUUGAUCCGUACGUGGUCAUUACUCACUCCUGCGGAAACCAGGGAGCCUUUGGUUACUGGGUCUACCCGAUGGGAGAUGGUAGCACUGGAUAUCUUCAACUAGUUUGGAUGGCAGUCCAGUAAUAGGAUAGAUGGUUAGGCAUCUAGGCCUAUUUUGCCGGUUGUGGCACUUUUUGGUUUACUCUUACAUAUUUAUUGUUUUAUCAGAGACUAUGUGGAACCGUGAUUUGUUCGAUUAUUUGCAAUAAAGGGGCCUUAUGCAUCGUGCUGAUGCAGAGGCCGGAGGUAACCCUCCUUUUCUAAAAAAACCUACAAGAUGUUGUGCGAGGGCAUGAUUUGCCUGCCCACGAGUCACUCAUAUGGAAGAGUUGAGCGCCACUCUUUUUUAAUAUAAACACACUUUAUUAAUGCUCAAUAAUUGAAGAUCGGGUGGGUUUAACAACCACACAUGGCGCCAAAAAUCUAAACCAAAAGCGUGUUUAGCGAGGCUAUGUGCCUCAAGAUUAAUAGCUCUACCAUCGAAGAUGAAGGUGCGGUCAUUGAAGGUUCUUGCGGUGUGAACAAUCUCCUUGACAAUUCUUGCAUACAUCCCCCAAUUUUCUUUUUAAUGUCCAAAACCAUAGCUUGGCAAUCAGAGGCGAUAAUGACAUGUGAUAACGCAUGGUCUGAAGCAAGAGCGAGCGCCUCACGGAAUGCUAGGGCUUCAGAGUUAUUUACGCAAAACCAUCACACUUGGGGCUAGGGUAACAGAUCAUUACCACAUUUGAGCCAGGUCACAGGUAAUAGAUCAGUGCCCGUUGUUUCGGUGGCCGACGCCCACAAUGCGACCCCGUUGGCAAGUUGAGCUCAACCUCGGCGCCCAACCCCGAUGGCCUCUCCGCCGACCUGGAUUCGAACUCGUCGGCGGGGGAACAAGUUUUCCUGUCACCGCCGUCCCCGUAUGUGGAGGAGGCAGACAAGGGUGUCGCGAAGCCAGAGAAGGCGGCGGUGCGGGCUCAUUCGAUGGGGGAGGAAGUAUCCCUCUUCGCUCCAUCUCCACCCAGGUAAUCUCACUGCCAAUACCAAAAACUUAGGGUUGGAAAUGCUGCAACUUAGCGUUAGAAAUUGUUGUGGGUUAGUUCUAGCUGCACUGUACUGAAAAUGCAAUUAUUCUGUUGGCCUGAGGAGCCAUGGUCAUUAUAUUUUUGGUUUCCUUCUAAAGAUGCUGCAAAAAAGUAUGGCCUUGUGAAGAUGUAUGAGAGGGACAUCAAUUAUGGCAGUUUGCUUAAUGUGAUGGUCAGAAAUGGAUAUGGAAGUGAUGACAGUACUUGCUACUUGAGGAAUGAAGGCAUAGGGAUGCAAGGCAUUUCUGUCAUAAAAACAACAUAGAAGUAGAUGAGUUGAUUAAUCAAUUUACAAGCAGUCAGACAUUGCCUUUGUAUGUUAAAGUGGGGAAGUUAAAUAUUAAGCAAUCCCCAGUUCACAAAAAUGCAGAAGAUGAAGCAUAGCGACCAGCUGAAACAAUUGUAUUUGAUGUUAAUGAGUCAGGUGUUGUGCACAAAACAACAAAUGAUUUUUUUGAUACACAAGAGAGAAUGAACUAUAAGCCAAUAAAAGCAGUUCCUCCACCAUGUCUGUUACUUCUGGGGACACAGAAUGACCCAACUGAGCCAGAGAUGGAAGAUGCAGAGCAGGAAAAUAAUCCAUUGCAGGUUAACACUCAAGUUAGUGUUAAUUAUCAAGAUUUCUAGUUUGAUACAAAUGAAGAGGAGGAUGCAACAAAUGAGAACACAUUUGAUGAUGAAGAUGAAUAGGAGGAUGCAGCAAAUGAGGGCACAUGUGAUGAUGAAGAUGAUGACUUAGUUCUUGAUGAUGAUUUUGUAGUUCAUGUGGAGCCAGAAGAAGAAGAAGAAUUAGACUCUGGCAUUAAGAGGAAGAGAGUUGAAUACAUUUGUAGUACACACUGUGAAGGAGACACACACCCUGAAGAUUUAUAUGACACAUACUUGGAGGAAGAUGGUGAUGACUAUCAAGAGAUUGUAGUUCCUCAGUCGGUUGAAAAGAAGGUAAAAAGACCUGGGCCUACAAGUAGGUCCCACUCUAGGGGUGCUAGAAGCAUGAAUAAGGACUAGUAUCCAUCUUCAGAAGAGGAUGACACAUGCUUUGAAGCUGAUGAUGAUGGAAAUGAACCAAUGUCAUUUGUAAUCCCCUCUGGUAGAAGGAGCAGAGCUAAGAGAAGACCACCCAGGGUCUGGUAUGAUGAAGACAUGCUACAUCCAAAGCAGCAAUUCCACCUUAUGCUUUGUUUCGGAGAUGUUUACCAAUUUAGAGAGGCUCUUGUGAAUUUGCAUGUCAAACAACUUAGAAGAUACACAUAUCACAGGAACGGUAGUGAUAGGAUUAUAGUGCGUUGUGAUGGAGAGGGUUAUCAGUUCCACAUGGUUGCAUCAAAGAUCAAUAAUGAGCCCACUUUCUGCAUUAAGAAGAUGAUAUUUGAGCACACAUGUCCCACCCAAUCUGAGAAGACAAGGAUUAGCUCAACAUGGCUUGGCAACAAAAUGCUUGAAACUAUCAGAUCAGACCCCAACACAACUAUACCUGCCAUAAUUGACAAGGCAAAGAGGCAGCUUGGUCUUGAGGUUCCCAAGAUGAUGGCAUGGAGAGCAAAGAGGAAAGCAAAGAAUAUUGUGCUUGGAGAUCACAAUAGGCAAUACAAGAGGCUGGGAGAUUAUUUGGAGACUGUGAAAGCUACAAAUCCUGGAUCAAGAUGCAUUGUCACAAGUGUGAGUGGAAAAACAAGAGAAAAUCCAACUGCAAGACCAAGGUUUCAUGGUCUUUUUUUCUGUUUGAAUGCAUGUGUUGAGGGAUUUCUGAAUGGAUACAGGCCAUUCACAGGCCUAGAUGGUUGUUUCAUUAAGUUGACUAAUGGGGCACAAAUACUAGCUUCUAUCGAAAGGGAUGCAAAAAAACAUUAUGUACCCCAUAGCAUUUGGAGUGGUUGGAGUUGAAGACACACCAAAUUGGUCCUUGUUUUUGACUCAGUUGAAGUAUGCCCUAGGAGGGACUGAAGAGGGAAAAUUUGGGAAGUACACAUUCAUGUCUGAUAGACAGAAGGGUCUACUGAAUGGAUUCACAACAGUCUUUCCAAGCUGCCCUCAUAGGUACUGCUUGAGGCACAUUUAUGCCAACUUUCAGAGAGCAGGAUUCAGAGGAGAAGACUUGAAGAAAUGCAUAGAUGCAGCUGCAUAUGCUUACAGUGAACAUGACUUUCAAUUGGCAAUGGAGAGCAUGAAGGAUGCUUGGGAGUGGAUGUCAACGAUUUCUCCUCAAGCUUGGUCAGGACAUGCAAUGGAUACUAACUGCAAAACUGAUCUCGUGCUCAAUAAUUUAAGUGAAGUUUUUAAUAAGUACAUACUUGAUGUGAGAAACAAGCCAAAUUUCACUAUGAUCAAUGAGAUCAAAGACAAAUUUCUCGUGAGGUGUGAACAAAAGAGAGAGGGUGGACAAUUUGCAAGAUGGGAAAUUGCACCAACCUAUGUUGAACCUAUGGAUAUUCUCCUUGUGAUCUUGAAACUAUGUUGAGCCUAUGGAUCUUCUCCAUAUAAUUACUGAUACAUAUAAAUUACUGAUACAUAAAAAGUAUUGAUCAUAUAGAUUAUGUUUAAAUUCUAGUCUUGCAGAUAAAUUGGAUAAUUCAGUACAAAUUCAACCAUUACAUCCAUUGCAACAAUGCACUUCUGAUUACAUACUUAUAAUUCAUCACAGAUCUCCUUCAACUUCUUGAUCUUGUCCUCAUAGCCAUGCUUCUGUUUCAUCAAAUCAGAAAUGAUGUACUCCAGAUUUUUCUUCUCUUACUUCACUUGGUCUCUCUCUAGCACAAGCUGGUCCCUCCCCUUCUCUACCUUUGCCCUAAGUACCUGAUGUAGAUUGGUGCAACCAUGGUCUGCCAACUUCUUCUUCUCAAUCUCCUCUUUCAGAUCACUAAGAGCCAACCUACCAUUGACAAGCUGAUUAAUAGCCUCCUCCUUGUCAGCCACCAUUUUUGCAAAAUCAAGUUUGAAAAAUCUAAGCUCUUCCUCCAUCUUCCUCUUUUCUCCAAUUACUCUGAAAUUUUCUUCGCCAAGCUUAAGAUUGUCUUUGAUUCUGUCCUCGUUUCCUUUGUCAUACAUACUCCACAAUUUAGCUACGCAAAACUGCAUAGCAACUGACCACUCGGGGGCUAUCCACUCCAGAUAGCUGCACUUCUGUUCUGCCUAAAAUUCAAAAAAUAUCAGUGAUUAUUGGCAAUUAUAAUAAAACAUGAAAUUGAGUGGAGUAGAAACCAACUAAGAUUAACUAAUGACAGUGCUAAGCAACAUACCUUCUCCUUUGCACAAGCAAGAAAACGCCAGCCAGUGUCCAUAGAUUGAAAUGCAACUUGCCUGAGGCAAGGCUCUAGAUGCAGACAGCGGGAAGAGAGUUCAUGAGCAAUACCGCUCCAUUCAUAGCAUGGGAUAGUCCUAGGAAGCUAAAAACAAAAGAAAUUGAAAAAAAAAUCACCGAGCUGUUAAGAAAUCCCCAAACGAAGAACCCUAAACCUAACCAUAAAUGCUGGAAUCCCAAAAUUAACGUACCUCGCUAUUCACACUCUUGUUAUCCGAAGAAGAGCUUGACCCCUCGCUCCAAGAAACCAUGGCGAGUCGACGGUGGCGACGGCAGCGGGCGUCGAGGUGGAGACAGAGUGACCGGUCAGUCUGAUGUGGUCUGGUGUGACAAGCCACCCGCGCGAGCGAGUCAUACACGGCCAGGAAACGGCCAUCUCCCGUCGUCUAACGGCGCCCGUCAGCCGCGCCACGUCGACCCGACAGGUCGGUCCCACCUGUCGGUUUGGCUAUUUUCGUGGCCAAAUUGGCUUGUCAUUGCUCUGCGUUACGCAUUAGGCAUAGAACCGGUGGUCCUCUGUGACCUAGCUCAAAUGUGGUACGGAUCUGUUACACUAGCCUCAAGUGUGGUGGUUUUACAUAAUUAACUCGGGGCUUCAAGAUAGAGUCCCGACGAGUCCCUACAGUCUGCACUGAAAGAGACUUCAUUGUGGUUUCUUGCAACAGCCCCAUCCACCCUAAUCUUAAAAAUCCAGGUGGUGGUGGAAUCCAUCGUAACGAACUAUAUCGUUGAACUGGCACAAAUCCUGAAGGAGCCUUCUUCGGUUUGCACUCUUCCAGUUCCCAUAUGUACUUUAGAAUGAAAUUAUGUGUGGAAAGUGGACUUUGGAAGAUGUUUUCAUGCAAAGCUUGUCUCCUUGAGUACCAAAGUGCCCAAAGAGUUACUUAAACUUGAACAAAUUCUGACGUGGAAAGCGUACCCAGCAGAGCAAACAACUAUCAUUUAGCAUCAUGUUCCCUUGUAGUGUUUGAAGUGUCGAAAAAAAUCUUAAUUCUGUAAUGCCCAGACGCAUCAGGUGACAGUACAAUGGAGCAAUGAAUGUUUCCAUGAGCCCUCAGAACCACAGAGACCACAACUUGUGCUGGUCAACAUAUUCCGGUGGUGACAAACAUCCGCUAUUGGGAUUGACUAAUGAGCAGUCUCCACAAAAAGAUCUUUACUUUGGACGGGAGCUCGACCUUCCAAAGUUUGCUCCAAAACUUGGACUCCCGCUCAUUGUUUGAAGAAGCUAGCCUCCCUUGAAGGGUCAGCGUGGUGGUCGACGAGGUGGACGAUCUGCUGGACGGUCUAACAAUUAGGCGAGGGAAGACACCAACGAUGACCUUGACAUGGAUUUAGAGAUGCAGCGGGCCAAAGAGAACAUGAAAUGGUCUUCUGAUAUGUCAAAUCCUUUGGGUGAAGCGGGAGCUGCAAUGCUCACAGGUAAUGCCCUUCUUGCGUUGCACCCACCGGGGGUGCCAGCUAUUCCAUCAUCAAAAUAGGACCUGAAUAGGAUGAGGACAAAUUCGGAGAAGAAUGCUGGGAAGAAAGGACAAGCAAAGGAAAAGCAGACUGGAGCAAAAUCAAUGACCUCCUGAGGGGAGGAUCACCGGACACAAUGAAUCUUCUAUGUUGGAAUUGUCGUGGUGCGGGCAAAGCCACGACAAUUCGUGAGCUUCACGAUCUAGCGAAGCAAUUUGCCCCGACCGUGUUAUGUAUAGUUGAAACUCAAAUUUCAAAAGCACGAGUCGAAAGUCUUGCUGGUACUUUAGGUUUUAACCACUCUUUUGUUGUUAGUAGUUCGGGUCGAAGCGGAGGUAUUGGUGUCUUUUGGAAUGAUGGAAUAAAACUUGAUGUUUUUGGGUACUCAGAAUAUUAGUUGAUGGAAUAGUGUCCAUACCAAACUGUGCAGAUUGGAGGCUCACUUGUGUGUAUGGUGAGGCACAAGUUGGAGAGAGAUAUAAAACCUGGGAUCUGCUCAAAUCCUUGGUUGCGGCAAGCAACUUACCCUGGUUGUGUAUUGGUGAUUUUAAUGAGUUUCUACACCAGCGUGAACAUGUUGGGACUCGCCAGCGCAGGACAACUCAGAUUCAGGGUUUUCGGGAAGCAAUGGAUGUUUGUGCUCUUGGGGAUCUAGGUUACCACCGGAAGGCUUGGACUUUUGAGAAGAAGACGAUAGGGGGAAGUUACUGUCGAGUUCACUCGACCGUGCUGUGGUAAGCACGGAAUGGACCUCCCUAUUUCCUCUUGCAUGUCUUCAACAUGAGAUGGCUGCUGCAUCAUAUCAUUGUCCUAUCAGACUGAUGUUUGAACCUGGCAACCCGGUGCAGAUUAAAAAAAACUGUUCAGAUACAAACUGUACUGGGAGAAACAUGCAGAGUUCGGCUCCUCCCCGAAAGGCAUGUGGACUGGGGCUCCGGAAGGGCAAACAGUGACACAAUUGAGCAAAAACUUGGGUGACCUAUCUGCAUCUUUGCAACAGUGGAGUGGUACUACCAUCGGCAACGUUGGUAGAGUAAUCAAAAAACUUAAGAAGGAGUUGGCUACUCUACAAAAUGACCCCAACCGAGUUUCACCUUCACAUGCAGAGAUAAAGUCACAGAUCGCCUUGUUGAGCUAUAUCACAUGGAAGAAAUAAAGCAGAUGCAGCGUUCUCGCAUCGACUGGCUUUCAGAGGGAGAUUGCAAUACUAAAUUCUUUCACAGAUGAGCUAGUAUGCAUCGGCGGAAGAAUAUCAUCAAUUGUUUGGACCGUGCUGAUGGCUCUCUCACUCAUGAUCCGAAGGAGAUGGCCUCUUUGACCAAUGCUUUUUACAAAAAUAUGUUUGCAUCUGAGGGUACUUCAAGCAUGGAUGUUGUGCUCAACGUUGUCCCGGUAAGGGUCACGGAAGAGAUGAACAAGGUCCUUACAGCUCCCUUCACAGCUGAAGAGGUGAAAAUUGCUCUUUUUCAGAUGUACCCCACUAUGGCUCCAUGGCCGGACGGAUAUCCAGCACAUUUCUUCCAGAGGCACUGGGAGCUUUGUGGCACCGAGGUCACGGUCGUGGUGAUGAUAAUUCUCCAUGGGGAGGAGAGCCCUAAGGUAAUCAAUGAAAUGAUCCUUGUAUUGAUUCAAAAAGUUAAAGAUCCCACAAACCUCUCUCAGUUCUGGCCUAUAAGUUUGUGUAAUGUAAUUUAUAAGAUUGCGUCAAAGGUGUUGUCUAAUAGAUUGAAGCACAUCUUGCCUGAGAUUAUCUCUAAAGAACAAUCUGCUUUCGUUCCUGGCCAGCUAAUCAUGAGCAACAUUAUUACUUCUUAUGAAUGAUUACACUUCAUGAAGAGGAACAAAGCUCAAAGGAACAUAUUUUGUGCUGUUAAAUUGGAUAUGAUGAAGGCAUAUGACCGUGUGGAAUGGGAGUAUCGUCAAGCUAUCAUGACUAAUAUGGGCUUUGCGCCGUCAUGGGUCAACACAAUAAUGAGAAUGGUAUCUUCUGUGAAAUUUUCAGUCAUGUUCAAUGGAUCUAAACUUGAUGAAUUCACUCCUUCAUGGGGUAUCCGCCAGGGGGACCCAAUUUCUCCAUACCUAUUUUUGCUUGCAGCAGAGGGCCUUUCGUGCCUCUUAAAAACCCAAGAUGAAUCAUCUCAACUGAAUGGUAUUCGAGCAGCUCCUUAGGCUCCGCCGGUAAGCCACUUGCCGUUCGCGGAUGAUAGCCUGUUGUUUGUGAAAGCUAGCGUUACUAGAGCAAAUGAGUUGUCUUCGCUGAUGGAAAGUUAUUGUAAUGCAUCGGUCAGAGAAUAAAUCAAGUCAAAUCAUGUGUGUUCUUCAGCAAGGGGUGCCCCAACACUCUUAGAGCUGAGGUAAAGGGGACUCUAAACAUUGAAAAUGAAUCUCUCAUAGAAAGAUACCUUGGAAUGCCUUCGGUUGUUGGAACAAGCAAGAAUGGAGCGUUCAAAUUUCUAAAAGACAGGGUAUGGGCCAAGAUCAACAGAUGGAUGGAGAAGUUUCUUUCGGCUGGGGGGAAAGAAGUGCUGAUUAAAUCGGUUGCUCAAGCCAUUUCCGUGUUCUUCAUGUCUUGCUUUAAGCUUCCCUCGUGGGCUAAGUGAACAUCUGAACUCAUUGAUUAGAAAGUUUUGGUGGGGCAGUAAAGAAGGACAAAGAAAGCCAAGUUGGAUAUCAUGGAGUACGAUGACCAGACCAAAAGAUUGUGGAGGUUUAGGCUUCCGAGAUGUUGAGCUCUUCAACCUAGCUUUGCUAGCUAGACAGGCUUACAUAAUUCUGAUGGAUCCAGGGGCGUUAAGCUCACGCGUUCUCAGGGCAAAAUACCACUAGGCUUCAGAUUUCUUGCAAGCGGACCAUGGCUCAAACCCACCCCAGAGUUGUAGGUCGCUACUGGAGGGGAGAGACGUCCUAAAGCAGGGGUUGAUUCGUCGCAUCGGAGACGGUCAAUCGAUGAACGUUUGGGACCAUUGCUGGAUCCCAAGGCCAUCAAAUAUGAGACCCAUAAUGUCCAGAAUAGCUAACGCACCCCAGAUGGUAGGCGAGUUGAUCCUACCAGGUGCAGAAUGGGAUAGAGGCACGAUAACUCAUGUAUUUAUACCAACAGAUGCAGAGGCCAUUAUGUCAAUACCGCCGUGCACAAGGCAGAUUGACGAUUUUUGUUCGUGGGUCCAUGAGAAGAAUGGUGUCUUCACUGUGAGGUCGGCCUAUCGUAUGCUCGUUGAAACAGAAAUGCAGAGAAGAGUUGGGCGCCACUCAAAUGCAAAAUAUUCAUAUGGCUUGCUCUCCAGUACCGUGUCUAGGCCAUUGACGAUUUCAAUAUGCACUACAAGACACCAAUGUAUCAUUCUUUACUUCCUACCAUGAGGAGGAUACUCUUGACCACAUCCCGAUGUAGUGUGUUUAUGCUAGACAGGCAUUUCACACAUGUUUCACUUCGCUGGUUGUUCCUAUCGCCAUCCCUUCCAUAGAGGACAACUUGGAGGAGUGAUGGCUAAGAUCACGCAACGAUGUGCCAAAGACAAGCAGAAAGAUUUUUUAUUCACUAGUCAUUCUCAUUGCUUGAAGCUUGUGGAAGCAAAAAAAAUACGAGGGUGUUUGGGAAUGUGGCGCUACAACGUAAUAUCCCCCAAUUUGUUUUUUGUUUUUUUGGAAAAGGAUCCCCCAAUUUGUUAACCCUAUUCUCAAUGAUAUACAUACUUGGAGAUCGUCCAGAGCUUGGGGUUUUCAAAUAUUUAUGAGAGAGUAGCAUGUAUUUGAGGGUGGGUGUGUUGAUGCUAGUUGGUAGCCUUAUUUAUUGGGCUUACAACACUUCUUGUAAAUUACUCUCUACCUUUUAUAAAAAAUAAGGUAUGCAAUUUGCGUCCUCCCUUGAAUAAAAAAGAUGUCGUACAUUGCAAUAUGUGCUGCUGUGUUCAAGUUGACCACAGAGAAGUUUUGUAGGUUUGAUAGUGUGCUUGAGCCAGGAUACUCUAUUGCCUGUAUUGGAUGGCUGGGAAACGUUUAGUUGGCCAUCUCACAUUCAUGUUGCAGCAAUUGGAUGUACGCCGUGAAAAGGUGCUAUCCUUUUUGACUAUGACUUUUCUAUAAAAAAACCAGUUAAAAGGUGCUAUCCUUUUUGUCCUAACAGAAAAUUCCGAAGACAGAAGAAUUCUAUAAGAUGGCAUGAACGUUCCUCGUGAUGAAAAAAACUGGCUGGCCUUCACCCAUGUUCAGGUAUCAUGGUUUCAUAAGAGGAUUUCUUUCACCAGGCUAAGCAUAUUAAAAAGAAUACAACAUGAAGUUAAGUCACAACUCACAACCAUAAAAAAUAAUAGUGUGAUUCAUGUGUGAUGUCAUCUUUCUGAAUAGGCCAUGCCAAUAUCUGAGACUGAAUUAGCACUAAUAUAGUGAAUUCAGAAGUUGCUCCAAUGGCAAAAACUGGAGGGACGAAAGCAAAACAAGAAAACUGAGGGCAAGAUGGUCUUUUCACUGCUCCAUUAAGCAUUGUCAAAAGCUAGAGCGGCAAAACUGAAAUGUCAAAUUUAAGAGUGGCAUAAGGACAAAUGAACAAAAGCUAGUGAUAAAAAAAAAAAGCUCACCGUCAAUAACCGACGCAGUGGCACAAGUGUCUAGAACCCUGAAUUAUUAAUCAACACGUACAUGCGUACGGUAAUAAGAACAAGCAAGGUUAGUCGGUCGAUGCAAAGCAUUGGUAGUAAGUAAUUCAUGAUAUUAUGAUAUAAUUAUCAUUCAAUGUUGCAUAACGUGGUGUAGUUGUAUAAAAAUAGAUAAAAAUAAAUAAACAAACUAGUAGGUUGAAGGCAUGCCCAAAACCCUACUUUCGAAAACACUCAUCUAUUUCCUUAGGCUCGGUUUAGUGUUGCUACAUUACAUUGUGCUGAAUUUAUAUUAUAAUCUAUUGUAAAUAAAUAGUCUCGAACGGAAAGUAGAGAAAUGUUGGGUGAAAAUACCAGAUUAUCAUAAUUCACAUCGGUAUCAAACCAGCCUGUGAGGAAGGCUUUAGCAAUUCUAAAAUAUACCUGGAUAAUUACAUUAUCUUACAUGACUAAACUACAUAAAUACUCAACUAGAGAGAAAAGGAGCAUGCAAAAAAUAGGACAAAUCGUGGAAUCAGCUCUAGGCAUGACAUUGCACAAAUCAAGGGACACGACUAUUGGAAAACAGAAUACACGAUUUACGUACAAGACAUAUUUGAUUCUUGCUGGCAAUUUAUCAAGAUUGUUGUUAAAAAAUGAAGUUGCAAUUCAUAAGAAGUGGAAGAGAGAAAUAUGUAUUUCUGCAAAUAUUAUUGACAUGGAACUCUAGUUAUGUAUGAAGAACCAUGUAUUACAAUGCCUUCGUCAUCUUUUGCCACAUACCAAGUCCCUUGUCAACAACUUACAACUCUAAAUAAAAAUAAUAUCAACAAUUAUUUACUGAAGAUGUAAAUAUUGGGGACGAUCAUUUUCUAUAUUUUGAUACAAGUGCUAAAUAUCUGAUAAGUUUUCAGAGUUAAAUAAUAAGCAAUUUACAGGGGGCAAGUAGUUCACUAAAAAAAUGCCAAAUAAGUUUUUGCAUUGUGCAUUUCGACCACAAGUAAUCUAUAAUUUUACAUGCCUACAUUUCUAUCAGCUUCUGAAAGUAAAAUACAUGAGAAGUCUAGCUGCACAAAUGUGCAAUAUGCCCUUGCUCAUAGUAAGGAGAAAGGAAGCAAUGCAUGAUCCUGAUGAGGAUGCUGCCUACAAUGUGACCCACAAUGUAAUAAGCCCAAAUGCAUUUACUUUUCACUUGAAAGAAGAAUCAUAGAUUAGCAACAUAACAACCAUCGUGAGAUUUCAUUGUCAGUAUCCUUUUCACAGUCUAUGGAUCAUGGCACACAAGCAGCAACACUGCAAGGCAUAUUUCUGCAUCUACCAUUCCUUCAGCACAAUUUGAUCAGAAAACAGUAGAUCAAUGCAACCCAAUAAGACAGGAACCAUUCAUCACACUAUGAUUUCGUCUGAUCUCAUAAUUAUCACUACAACCUCAGCCUUACUCUGUGCACACAUCUACAAAGGAACAUGCAUUUGAUCGAACACCUACAGUGCAGACCGAAAACACCAAACAGGCCCGUACCACAAUUGAGAUGCCAGCUUCCUUCCUCAGCUGAAGAACAACAGAGUCAACUUACGGCACACGGAAGGGGGGAAUUAACACGGAGGCCUUUGGUUCGGCCGGCGCGGAAUCCCAUGACGUCGUCGGCAGUCGGCACGCGGGUCAAGCGACCCCUUCCGCGCCAGCCUCCGCCAGCGCCGCCGCUAGAAGCGCGACGAAGAGGAUGAGGAGUGGAGCCAGAGCAACGAGGAAGAGAAUCUCGGCGGCAGAUGUCCGCGCGCUUCUGGCAACCGCGCGCCGCGCCGCCGCGAGCUCGGCGCCGAGGAGGCGCGCGUUCCGGAGCUCGAACUCCUGCAGCGAGAGAAAGCGCGACGGUAAGACAGACGCGUCCGAGCCAAGCGUCGCACAUGCUAAGGGGAGGCGGAAGAGGCGUGGCAUUCCGGGUUACCACGGGGGACGAGGUCCGGCGGGUCGCCGUCGUCGAGGGAGGUGGCUGGCGGAGGGAGGAGAGGAGGAGAGACGCCCGGGAGCAGCGCAGCGCGAGGAGGAGGGCGGCGUCGGCCCCCUGCUUCUGCUUCUCCUUCUCCAUGGGGGCUCCGCGCGGGCGGUUUCUCGAAGCUUCCUGAAGUUUCCGGUGUUCAGUGUGGCGGAUUGCAGAGGAAGGACGAUGGCGUUGGUGAUGACUUUGAAAUUUGAAUGGAGAAUUUGGGGGAGACAGCUUGAUUUCUAGAGGCCUUCUUUAGGGGUCGUCCAGGGGAGCGGCUAUGUGGCGCCCAGUGCGAACGGUACACUCGGGUUGCUCACGCGCGCACUCAUGGGCCGGCACAAGUAGCGCAGUUUCUUCUUUUUCCCAUUUUUUUUCUAGUUUUUCCUUCGUUUUUCGUUGAAACAAACUAAUAAUUUUAAGAGAUAGAUGAAACUUUUUCAAUCUAGUUAUACAGAAUCAACUUAUCUAACUAAUUUAUAUGUAAUCUUUUAAAAUUCUAAAAUACGCAUGUGUUGCAAAAAUAUUCACACAUAUAGAAAACUAUUCAUGUAUUUUUAUUUAAAAAAUAAUAAAUUUGAAAAAUGUUCAUAGUAUAUUAUAAAAAAGGGGAAUGUAUUUACGAAACAUCCAUUGUGUAUUUAUAAUUAUUUAACAACGUUUCAAAAUUGAUUGUGAUGCAUUUAAAAACUAUUCAACAUGUAUUAAUAAAAUGUUCAUUGUGUAUUUCAAAAGUGUUUGACAUAUAUUUUUAAUAAAUGGUUCAUAUAUAAAAUUAUUUACAUUUACUUUUUGCAAGAAAUAGAAAAGGAGGUGGCAAUGGGUAGAACCAAAGUUGAAGUGUCGUCUCGAAGAACGUCUAGAACAUAUGCUUGAUGAACUCAACAUCUUAUUAAAGCUGCGUUAGCUGAUCUUAAAAAUUUCCCACCGAACGAACCACCACACACCAGGCAAAUCGUUCCAAGGAAUUUGGCAAGCUUCAGGUGCCAACAAUGGCUCAAGGCCCACACGGCGGAGAUCUCUACAAGCGUCUGUUGUAGGCUCAAUGUGCUUCUCCGGUUGGCGAAUGUGAAAAGCACACUACUAUACUAUUGAUUAACACUGGCCCACCCAAAUCCAUGAUAUCUAACCGUAUAGUUGCCCAUUAGUGGUUUCUUGUUAGUGAUGAAUAACAUCGAUGAUCGGCCAGGCUUGAAUCCAACCGGAAGGUUAUUACUAACUAUCAAAUGUAUAUCAAAUUGUUUUUUAGUUGUUUAUGAGAGAUGGCCAUGGGUGGAUAGUAUUAAGGACAGUAAAACUGAACUCCUUUCCUGCCCUCUUAUGCCAUCAGUGCUCAUGACCGUUCGUUUUUUGUGAUCGGGAUGUGUUGGCCGUCCGAUCUAUGUCUAAUUACAGUCUCCUUUCCGCCUGGGCUGUGAAGCUUUUCUGUACGAACGGAUGAGUUAUGUUGGGGCGCUGUCCUUGAGGGCCGCUACUCCCGUGGCCGAAUCCGAGUAAUCUGGUUGCUCGGGACUUUUUUUUGGCACAAAGGGCUUGAUGCGCGUGGGUGAUCGAUGCUUUGGACUGAGAGGACGAAUGGAUCGUUCGCUGACAGGGAGGAGGCGAGUCGAUGCAGACGAAGAGGCGACACUACCGCGGACCAGCUUUGUGCGGUAGGUCUGGUCAGGACCUCCGGACCACGUGCCGUUGCACAUCCACACGAACCAUUGCCUGGCUGUUCCCCUGUUCCCACAGCGAAACUGCUUUGCUAGGGUUUGAUGGCAACAAUCACAUUCAGUUUCUAUUCAGGCAUUCAUGGCGGAUGAUGUGCGCCGCUUGCCAACGGUGAUUAAUGGAUGUCUUUUUGUUUUCUCGUUGCUCUGCUGCUUCAGUACAGGUACGUGUAUAUAUACUUCUUCCACUACAUCUCUCAACUCACCCUUUACACUAUAGCGAUAGGACAUCCAUGAGCAUGGUGCUUUGCUAGGUUCCCUUUAUAUCUUCCUUUUUUCCCAUCCAUAUACUAUUCCUUCUUCCACCCACCGAUUAUGCUGUGCUAAUAUUCUCCCGAUCAAAAUUUUGUACAGGUAUUGUUCAUAUUGAAAUUGAGUCGGGCAAAUCUUGGAUAUUGAUUCUCACAGUUUUUUAUCUCUGGAAUUCUUGAGAUGAUAAUAUCCAAUGGUUCUUGGUCAGGUAAUAACAAUUAUUCCAUAAACGUUUCAAUCGAUCUCCGUACUCUGUCCGUUCGUCUACGUCCACCCCCAGCACCGUUAUUCUUGGAAAAUCCAACGGUGGCGGUGGUGCCUGUAUGCGCCCUUCAAUGUCUAUAAGCACAUCUGCGGCAUUGAGGACGACCGAUCCUUCUGUUGUGGUCGCUGCAAUGUGUACCACAAAAGUUAGGUGGUGCUGAAUUGGUUAAAUAAAUUGGCUCUGGCAUAGUGUAGCGAAAAGUUCUACACUUCAUAAAGCUAUAAAUGUUUUUCUUAAUAUGUACUGUUUAAUUCAUUAAAUUACCUUUCUCAUAGGGAUAUCAAAAAAGCAAUUAUAUUUGUAGAAAAUAAUGGUGAUAUCAAAGGAUCAAUUAUACUAUACCAUGUCAGCGAUAUGACAUUUCUUAUAUUUUUAUAGUCAUUAUUUUAUUUAAUAUGUAUGAUAUCAUGCAUAUGUCAUUUACUCAGCAUACAUAUCUAUCAACUCCUUUAGAGGUAGAUCCUAUGGGGUGGAGCAAGGCUACUGAUGGUUUUUCAUGUAUUCCCCCUUGUAAGUUGAAUAUAAAAUAAUGUCUAUUCAUUUUUCAGGUUAUCAAAUUAGAAAAAAAUGAUAUACCUAAUAGUCCGGAUAUUUUUUUUGUUUGUACGAAAACUCUGCUUGCAGCAUGAUCAUACUACGUGUCGAACUGCUCCUACAUUUAGAGCAUCCUUGGGUCAAAGAUCAUGCUUUAGUUAGGGACUUCAGGUCUGGUAUUAAUAGGGGUAUCUAUCAGUCUAAAACCGGUAGCAACAAAAAAAUGUGUUGGCGCUAUGGUUGUAUUUCAAGUAAAGACAAGUAUGGAGUUGUCAUCUUAUUGGAAACUGAUCACCUCUAUGGGUUACAAAUUGUAGGAUGAGAAACUUAGUAGCAGCAUCAACAUUUUUUAGCUUCGACUUGCAGGGACUCCUAUGUAUAUUCUCUUUUACUCCUUUUGCUAAAAAAAGUGAUAUACUACAUCCCUUCCAUUAUCUACAGAAUAUAUUAGUCUGGUUUGUUUGUAGCACAUCGAUUUCAAGUAUGAACAUGUCUCUACUCAUGUCGCCAUGUUCUAGCUUGUUGCUGUAGUACAUGCACUCAAACCGGUUUUUCUUGCCAUCACCUCAUCCGAUCCAGCAUAUUCGUCAGGAGCGGCCAACUACAGCCUGUAUCAUACACGACCAAGAAACUGUCUGACAGAUCCAUGGCUUGAAAUACCUCAGCAGAAAGAACAAAGAGUAUAAAUGGUUUCUAUGUUGAAAGAAAAGAUAUUUCAUAAUAAUGUUAUAACUAGAGGACAAUUAAUGAGUCUCUUUUCUGCAUCUUCGUCUUUGGAUGUAGCUACUUCGUCUUGUACAAUUUCACAGAAUGAGUUGUACUAUUUUUAACCAAUAAUACUCAUAUAUUUUGAGGCAUCUAAUUCACUUAUAUAUAUAUCCUUAAAAAAAUCAAUGUUUAUUUUUUUUAAAUAAACGGGCGCCGCAACGCGCGCCAUCAACGAUCUAGUAUGUCGAGAUUACAUGAGAGGGAAUAAGGUGAGUGGAGAAAGGAUUUAAUGAAAUUUACGAAAAAGGAGAGAGAGGAAUGGGAAAGGUAGGAAUGAUACAUACAAACAUAUUCAUAUCACAAUUCUAGCAAAAUACUACAAAAAUCAUAUCGAUAUUCUAUAAGAAGCAUAGAAAAUAUUAUAGCAUUCAUGGCAGAAUACUACAUGAUUCAUAUCUGUAUCCUAUCACAAGCAUAGCAAAUACUAUUUGUAACAUUCAUUGCAAACUCAUACAAGAUGCAUGGUGAAGUAUUACAAGAUGUGUAGAAAAAUACAAUAAUAGUCAUAAAAUAGUAUGACAAACAUGAAAAAUACUACAUAAUCCAUACACAAUACUAGAAGAUGCAUAUCAAAUUCUAACUAAUAUCAACAUUCAUGGUGAAAUCCACCACAUCGGUAUACAUGUGUUUAUAGCAACAAUGCUAAAAGAUUUAUACAAAGGAAAGGAGCUCGCUAUCAGGGCCACUCAUGUGGCCAAAGAACAUAGCGUUAGUGGGUCUAUGACUGCGCACGGUAGAGGGAGAGAUAAGACAAUCGGCAGAGCCACCACGACAACACUAGCAGGUCUAUGUCCGUGUAUGGCGGCGUGUGAGAUCAAAGGCCUUGUUUUGGGUGGACGAUGUUGCGGUAAUACAAAAGGCGGUACGGAAGGGACGCCCCAGUGCAUGCCAUGCGGAAAACGGUAGGGAGGGUUAGGAUUCGUACCAUCGAGAAGGGUAUUGCGACGUCGGCUUGGGCUUCAUGGAGAUAGUGAGAACACGCUCGAUGACACGGAGGACACAUGAUCGGCAGUGGGUAGGGCGUUGUGGCUUCGGCGAGGGUGCCAGGAUAUCAAAUCAACGAUGAGGCGAUUGUUUGAUGAGAUGAGUGAUGUGAGGGAGCACAUGAAGGCUUAUGCAUCAAGUAUCACUGUGAGAGUGGGAAAUACUAAAUACUAAAGUGGCUAUCAAUAUGAAAUGAAGUGGAAAUUGAAGAAGCUUCGAACUUGUUGUAAUCAUAAAGAACUCAAAAUACACAAUAGCAUUGUAGCAUCAUGUUCCAUAAGAUUCAGAGGCUACAUGCCCCAAGAGGGAGGCUGGUGGAAGAUAACCACCAUGUUGCCCUGACUAUAUCAAGAUUGUUGGACUCAACGACUAUGACCUCUACAACAUUCUUGCGCUACUCUAGCCAUCACUAAAAUCCACAACUUUUCUGUUUAGGUGAAAGAUUGUCUUUAACUCAACAAAAAUUCGCACAACAACUAUCCCUAGAUGGAGGUCCUCUAUAGCAGUGCGCAUUAACAGAUUUCUAAUUGUUUCAGAAUAAUUGCCAAGUAUAUAGUCAUAUAUGGUGUUGAUUAUAGUUUUUUCCAUAGUCAAGUUCUUAUUGUCAAUGCAAUUUUACAAUUUCAAUUUUAAUCUAUCAUCUAGUCUACCAUAGAUAUGACAACUACAUCAUUAAUUGACAAUCAUAUUAUACUCUCUAAUAGAUAUAAGUGACGCACGGGGAGUAAUAAUUCUUUAGAAAUUACUCUAAAUAUAUAAGUAAAGUGUGUAGAAUAAAUUUAUAAAGGCAUCCCCAAAAUUCAUAGGUCAUAGCACUACCAUAAAGUAUAAACUAUCCUCUAAGAAAACGGAAAUAGACACUCCAAGAACUUACACAUAUUAUAUGAACAUAUAAAAACAUAGGUCUAAAGAAGACGUGCUAAUAAUUGGUGAGACAACUUUUGGAAUAUAAUUAGAGAUGCAUGGAUUCCCCAAGCUUGAAUUCUUAUUUAUUUUUUCUUCACCUCUUGUUAUCGAUGUCUUCCCUAAAUCUUAAAAACAACAUACAUGUAAAACUUAAACAAGCUCGCAAUGUGGUUAGUCCAUAACACAUCACAAUAUAAACAUGAAUGUGUUGUAGAAAAAUCAUAAUGAAAUCAGUGAUGAAUAGCUAAGGUAUAUGGCAUCGUAUUUGAAUGCUCAAAGAAUCUUAGUGGUCCGAAAACUAUGCACAUAUAUCUCUUAAACAAAUAAAACACAAUUUCUUUUUUGUGGAUACACAAAGUUUGUGUAUGUUGUCAUUGAUAGAAGGAAUUAGAACGAGUACAGUGCAAAGUAUGACACAUAACAUGAACGCAAGAAUGUGUGACUAUGGUACCCAGAACAGCGAGACAAAUGAUGCUUAGACUGAACGAAGGAUACAACAACACAACUAAACCCAACAAGUAGUGGAGGAGGUAGGGGUGGCCACCAGGGGUCGAGGCCCUCACUGACAUUUUAAUUUCUUUGCAACUGUGCAUAUGAACAAUGGAAAUGUUGCAUUGUUACCUACAAUCGUCCCCUCAGCUGUAUACUUUAGACAUUCUUGCCUCCGCCACUACCAGGAAACCUAAAUCUAAAAGAGGCAGGCCGAGCCAACAUGAUGCCCAACAUCUGGGACACCGCGAGCAAGCAACGCUAGGAACUUCUAGAAGACUAUGUGUUGGUAUUGGAUGUGUGCAUCUUUUUUGAACACAAUACAUGCAUAGACGCUCAUACAUACACACGUACACCCACCCUUAUGAAUGCACAAAUACACAUUGUACCCCUAUGAGCACCUUCGAGAGACUGAUGCGGCAUAUCAUCUUGAGAUUGAGGAAGUCGCCACAAACAUCUUCAUAGUUGGCAGGAACGUCUCUAUCACUGAACGCACUUCUUCAGAAGGCCUGAAAAUAAUGUAGGAAAAAUGUGACCACCCGUGUAUAGUCUACGACUUGAACCUUGGUGGUAUGAGGAUAUCAUUGUCCUCCUAACCAUCCAACCAUAUGCAGAAGUCGGUGUGUGUGAUCAUUAUCUCUGUAUCCUCUUGAUGAUUACUUUUGAACCAAUAAAAUCCAUCCUUUGUCGAAAAACGAUUGCAUCUCAAGAGUACUAGAUUUUUCAAGAUUUUAUGUUGCUCCAGGCCAACCCUACGCAACAACACAUCACGGUUAGGAUGAGUAAAUAGCAUAAAACUACUACAGUUAGGGCUAUCGUUACAAAAAGAAACUACCAAUUUGUUUUUACGCUGAUAAGUACCAAGUCAGGGGUUGGCUAUUUCAAAAAACCCAAAACUCGCAGCACAAACGUUUUAACCCGUUUUCUAACCAAAUGGUCCUACUGGUCAGGCCACGUGGCCCAUCGCUCUCACGACGCGACCGUUAACGGCCAUUACAUUGAUCGAUGCGGUCGGAACUGGGUAAUAAACACCCAGGUACUCCUCGGUUGCUCCACUACCCGCCCACUCCCCUGCACCCACUCCCCUGCUCCAUUAUGAACACAUCGCCGCCGACGGUAGCCUAGGUCGCAGACCUCCCUGCCGUCAUGCCUUCCUGGAAUGAUAGUGAAACGAGCUCAGACAACGACUGCGGGGCCGUUGGCAUGGACAUGGGGCUUUUAGUCCUUUUUCCUUGCCAAACCUAGGGUUACGGACUGGUGCUAUCUACUGCCAUGGAUCUUGAUUAGUUAGGGAUAUUGUUGUGUCUCUGUUAUGGAUCUUGCUUAGGUAGGGUUAGGGUUGCUUGUGACCUACUCCCUAGGUCCCCAAAUAAGUGUCAUUGCUUUAGUACUAAAUUUGUACUAACUUAGUACUAAAUUUGCGACACUUAUUUUGGGGCGAAGGGAGUAGUAUUUAGGUAAAUUAGGGUUAAGGUUCUUUGUGAUUAGCGGAUUUAUGUAGGGUUAGGGGUAGUGUUCUUGCUGAUCUGGGAAUUUAUAUAGGGUUAGGGUUAGGAUUCUUGCUGAUUUAGGGAUUUAUGUAGGGUUAGGGUUCUAAUUGUUUGUGCUUUGAGUUGUUAUUUAAAAUAUUGUGGGUGAUUUUGUGGAUGUAGGAGAAACCUGAUACCAUUGUGGAGCCCCUUUUCUGUGGCCAACUUGAGCUUUCUGACACCAAAUGCAUUCUACACCACAUGAGGCCUAUGAAGUGUGUGGCUUUCGAAUGCACUUAGGCAUUUCUAUGGCUGCCCAGUGCAUGUUAUAUGUUAAUCUUAUCUUUUUUACUAUUGCAGGUCCAUAUUUGAUUGCACAAUUUUAUUGAUACAUAUGAAUGUUUAGUACCACAUUUGAUUUCACUUUAAUUGGAUGUUUAGUGCACCACAUGAGCCAACAUUUUCAGUAACUGAAUUUCUUCUUCAUAUUUCAGUAACUGAAUCUAUUUAGUGCACCAUAGAAGCAACAUUUUCAGUUAACUGAAUUUGUUCUUCAUAUUUGCAGCAAAUCUUUCAAUAGGCACAUGGCAGUGUAAUAAGUUAUCAUAUUUCAGUUAUCUUAACCAUUGCUACUUUACAAACUUUAUCAUGCUAGUGUAAUAAGUUUAUAAAUUCAUAAUCGUCAAAUGCAUGAAAAUGGUGUGAAUUGUGGGGUUGCAUAGUGGCUUGACAAGCCUUGGCCUCAUGUUCUUCAGAGAUGUUUGUCCAAGCUAUGGGAAAUGUUCCAUGAGCAGAACCGUGGAAGGUUACUUGACAUGCACAAGCUUCACGAGUGGUUGGCCAAGCUUAAGGUUGAAAAUGUCAAGCUUUGCAUUGAGUACAACAAUCUUGUUAAAGAUGUAGGCAAGAUGUAUGAAUGGCGGGAUGAGAGCGUGGGAAAAUGGAUUACAAGAAGGCAGUGGAGGAGGAAGAGUUUGAGAAGAAGAAUAAGGAGCUAGAGGAGAAAGCUAGGUUAAAGGUGCACAUGGGAAAGCUAAAACUUGCUUAGGAGCAAAGGUGCAUUUUGCAAACCCAAGUUGACAUUAUCUAAAACACCAGGAAGGCUCUGAAGGAAGUUGAAGUGUACAGAGAUCUUCUUCAAAAGGAGAAGACAAAGCUUGAGAAAGUUCUUUCCGAGUUGCUGAAAGAUGGUUAUGACAACAAUGAGAAAUUAGAGCAAAUCAAGUCCAUCCUUGAGUCUUGAAGUGAUGGUUAUGGUGCUAAUGUGUUGGAAAUAUGCCCUAGAGUCAAUAAUAAAUUAGUUAUUAUUAUAUUUCUUUGUUCGUGAUAAUCGUUUAUUACCCAUGCUAUAAUUGUAUUGAUUGGAAACAUAAAUACAUGUGUGGAUACAUGGACAAAACACAAUCCCUAGUAAGUCUCUAGUUGACUAGCUCGUUGAUCAAAGAUGGUUAAGGUUUCCUAACCAUAGACAAGUGUUGUCACUUGAUGACGGGAUCACAUCAUUAGGAGAAUGAUGUGAUGGACAAAGACCCAAACUAUAAACAUAGCGUAUGAUCGUGUUAGUUUAUUGCUAUUGUUUUCUGCAUGUCAAUCUAUCUCUUCCUAUGACCAUGAGAUCAUGCAACUCCCGGGCACCGGAGGAAUACCUUGUGGGUUAUCAAAUGUCGCAACGUAACUGGGUGACUAUAAAGGUGCUCUAAAGGUAUCUUCAAAGGUGUCUGUUGGGUUGGCAUAGAUCAAGAAUGUUAUUUGUCACUCUGUGUAACAGAGAGGUAUCUCGGGGCCCACUCGGUAUUACAACCUCACAACAAGCCUCGCAAGCAAUGCGACUAUGUAGUUAGUUACAGGAUCUUGUAUUACAGAACGAGUAAAGAGACUUGCCGGUAACGAGAUUGAACUAGGUAUGGAGAUACCGACGAUCGAAUCUCGGGCAAGUAACAUACCGAAGGACAAAGGGAAUAGUAUAUGGGAUUAUAUGAAUCCUUGACAUAGAGGUUCAACCGAUAGAGAUCUUCGUAUAAUAUGUAGGAGCCAAUAUGGACUUCUAGGUCCCGCUGUUUUUUAUUGACCGGAGAGUGUCUCAGGUCAUGUCUGCAUAGUUCUCGAACCCGUAAGGUCUGCACACUUAAGGUUCGGUGACGUUUCAGUAUAGUUGAGUUAUAUGUGUUGGUGACCGAAGGUUGUUCAGAGUCCCGGAUGAGAUCCCGGACGUCAGGAGGGUUUUCGGAAUGGUCCGGAAACAAAGAUUGAUAUAUAGGAAGUCCUGUUUUGGUCACCAAAAAAGUUUCGGGCUCAUCGGUAGUGUACGAGGAGUGCCGGGAGGGGUGCCCGGGACAUCGUGUUAGACAAUGUAAUUAUGGGUGCAUGUGUUUAAACUUCUAGGGAUAGAACGUUGGGAUUGAUCUUUUUAGUUAUUAUUCUCUUGUAGAUAAAGAUCAAUCCUAACCUCUUUCUAUCUCAUGUAAUCCUUGUGUAUUCGGUUGGCCUUUGAGCCUAUAUAACACGCAGCCGUCCCUGCCGACAAGGCAUACGAUUCUACCCCAUCUCUUCUCACAUGGUAUAGAGCCUUCCUCUUCCAUCUAUGUCCAACUCAUCUUCAUCUUCCGCCGCCGUCAUGUCCUCCUUCACCUCUCUCGCUGCCCUCGGUCACACCAUCACCGAGAAACUCUCUAGAGAUUUUUUUUUGGUGUGGAAGGCACAAGUCCUCCCCCACAUCAGGGCUGCCGGGCUGAUGGGAUUCCUUGAUGGAUCCUCGGCGGCGCCCCCUGCAGUUUUGCUCACGGAGACGGAGGUCUCAGGCAAGAAGGUGUCGGGACCCCGAUCCUAGGUCAUAAGAACCCAGCCUGUAACACAUCACAUCAUUUUGCGGCCUCACGCACGGUAAACUCCACGGCCGCCACCUUACCUUGGUCGGGACCGUUUGCGUCUUUUGGCUCACGUAUAUGAACGUGUCGCUAGCGUUCAAACGACAAGAACCCGGGUCGACAUGACUAGUUAUAAACCCAGGCGGUACAUCCAUACAGGGACAGGCAUACAUAACCCAGCAAAGCACGUGUCGGUCAUCAGCGUGUGUAGACGAGUCGUAGCAAGCUAAAAGGACUCCAUUACACUGCGUGACAUUUCCCCGAGGGAACAGACACAGCAGCAAAGAAGGAUACAUGCCGGUCAAUCAAUGUGUUCCGAGCAGUAGCAAGCUACCAAGGCCCGAUGGAAACACAAAGAGGCAUUUCCGUGUAAAGAGUACUACUAAAGGCAAACAACUAGGUGUCGAAUCCCAUACAUAUAAUGCAUUUCAAACAUACACACAUUAUGCACGAUAUGUGUAGAUACAACAUGGCAUCACAACAUAACCCUAUGACUCAAGCAUUUAAAGACUCAUAAGAGGCAACAUAGUAUAAUAUUACAAACAGGGGUCNUUUGACUCUUGGCUAACUUGUACUACGACUACAAUUUCUUUCUUUGAGGUGGGAUAGCGCACACGAGUCCACAUAUUCACCAAUUCAAUACACCACUAUGGAUCCACUCUCGUCUCCCUAAGAGAAGGCCUUCCAUAGCACUCACACUUAUCUUGCAUGUUUUAGAGUAUCCAUUUAAAUUUUCUAUGUACCACGUAAUGUUUCCAAGUAGUCCCUAUCCGAGGACGCGGCUAUUCGAACAGAUUGAAUCACCCUGCAGGGGUAUACUUCUUCACACAUGCUCCCACCACUUAGCACCAUAUGCACGUCAUGCAUCUCGGCAACCUUCAAGCGGAAGCACUGGCGUGGGUGCCGGCCACAACCGUUAACCACACAAGACCCUAGUCCAGGUUUAUCGCCUAUUUGAGACUGAACCCGCAAGGAAGUUCGACCGAGGUUUCCUCUAUGGCCCCAAACGAUGUGUGCAGGGUUCCCAAGCCCACCAUCCGGGUGCCACUUGGUACACCGUGCCACUGUGUAUCUACCUAGUGAAGCCUACCCCGUCGGGCAGAGCUAAACACGGCCGCCAACACUUUUCCUACAAACACCAGAAACUAAUUGCAACUCCUGGACAGGGAUCUAGGCCAUUAACAAGACAAGCGGGGUCAUAUUUCAGGGCCCAAUGCAUGGUAGUAUCUUGUCUUGGAUAACAUCCACAGAACUCAGUUCUUAAGGACGGUCUCAAUGAGACAACCCACCAUGUACUCCUGCAUGGCCUCUCAUCGCUACCUUUACCAAAUCUAAUUCACACUUUUACUCUCACACUGUAGAACAUGAUCACAACCAUUCCGGUUCAUCAUCCAGAUGGAUCAGACCCGACACGACUCUAAGCAUAGCAGGCGUUGUAAACAAGCAUGGAUGAGUAAGCACAACAAGGCUCAAGCAGUUGCUACUCAUGCUAAGUGAUUUCAACUAUUUACUGUGACAAAAUCAGGUCAUGCACAAGAAUGGGUUCAACUACCGAUAACAUGUACAGUUGAAUCGUGUUCGUCCUAAUGCAGUAAAAGAGAGCAGGAGCGAGAGAGUGGGUUUAUAUCAAUAUGCUCAAGGGGGGUUUGCUUGCGUAACACGUCUGAAGAUAGCAAUGAGUCUUUAUCAAUGUCAACGUUCACAUCAUCGGAAACAUCGUUUACCGAGAGGAAACAACACCGGCAAACAAGAAAGAACAACAAUUACUUCACGGAAAUGCAACACUAUGAUGCAUGUUCAAGACAUGAAAUGAAAGGUGGCAGGGCUAAUGUGGCUAUCAUUUCUUAAGUUGAAGUUGGUUUGAAUUAGGAUUCAAACAUCACUUCAAGCCGGGUAUCUUUCCAAGUACCCUUAUAAUUGAUUUGACCUGAUGCUCAUAACAAAUUGUUCCAACAUGCACGGAGUUAGUAUUUUGAGGUACUGAUUUGCAUUGACCAAUGUUUGGUCAUAACAAUUGAAGUGGAAUUCAAAUAAGUAUCAAAUUCCAUCUCCAAACUAAAUAUGAAAUUUAUCCUAUUCACCAUUUUGCCUAUUUGGUGAUGUUAACUUUUUCAAACAUGCAUGAAAAUGCCAUAAUCAGAUUCUUUGGAUUUUUCUGAUCCUUUUUCAUAUAUAAAUUAUUUUCAUCCGAGUUAUAUUUUAUUUUCUAUGACUUUUUGAAGUUUUAGGCAUUUUCUGGAAUUAUUUUAUAAUAGGAAAUUAAUUACUGUGUCAGCACUGCGUCAGCAGUCAACUGGCCCAGUCAGAGUCAAACCUGACGUGUGGGGUCUACACGUCAGUGACAGAGGUUAAUUAGGAGGGUUAUAUUAGUUUUAUUUCCUGUUUUAGAAUCGUAGGGCCCAAUGUGAGUGACUCUUUAGGUUAGUUAAUUUGGUUAGUUAAUUUUGUGACUGACUUAAGUUAAACAGGGAUAGGCCCCACCUGUCUGUGACUCAGGGGAGUCAACCCACCAUCACACGGGGUCGAUACCACCGGCGGCUCAACGCCGGCGACUACAGACGCGGCGGAGCUCAUCGGAAAAUCCCUACGGGCAUCCAUUUCGGUCGUGGUUUGGCUCUACGGCUAGCUGAUGAAGCGCAGCAUCCAUUCCGACCAAGCCACGGGUCAGGAGGUGGCUGGGGUGAGGCCGGCGACGACCUCGGGCGGUGGCCGGAGUCAGCCAUGGUGGGGGUUGGCGCUAGAGGGCAGGAACGGAGGGGGAGAGCAUAGGAGGAGGAGCAGGAGCUCACGGCGGCUCCAUUUCUGGCAUCGGCGAUGAAGGGGAGGCUCGGAGCAGGCCGAAUCGACGGCGGCGGAUCCGGUGACCGGAGGGAGAAACGGCGACGCUGCGGGGGCUCGGGAGCUCGGAGGAGUUGAUGGAGAGUAGCAGCUCAUCGAGGCGGAGGUUUGGAGCGCGUCAGGGAAGCGAGGGGUGGCUGGGGUCGACGGCGACGAACUUGAGCAGUGCUCGGCAACGACGGCGAGAGAAGAGAGGAAACAGAGAGAGGAGGAGGGGAAUGGAAUGGGGAGGAGAUAAGGAGGGCUUGACGUCGCGCUGGCAAGAGAGCAAGGGGGAGGCGACACGACGAGCAGGAGGUGGCAAGGCACGACGGCGAGCUUGCCACGGCUCUGCUCGUCCUCCUGGCAGAGGAGGAAGAUGACCUCCUCGCCCCUGGUGGACUGGGCCUGGAGGGGCGACAGGUAGGCUUUUCUGUUUUCUUCUCUUUAUUCUUUUCUGUUUUCUAUUUGCUAACAUUUGUGUUGAUUUGAAAAUAAAUCCAAAUCAUUUUGCAAAAUCCUUAUAAUUUUUUUAUGUGGCAUAAAUAUAAAUGUCCAAUACCACAUAAUAGAUUCAGCAUUUAAAAAGUUGUAUUUUAUAUAUAGAAAUUAUAAUUCCAUUUAAAAUAGUUGUUUGAUUAAUUUAAAAAAACCAAUAUAAAAAGUUUCUGUGAUCCAAAAUAUUGGUUGACAUUUUUAUUUCAGUCCAAUAUUUUAUUGGAAAAUCAGGAACAUUUCCUUGAAUCAAUUUGAAGCAUUAUUUAUGUUGCUUGUUUGGCAAAAAUUUAAAUGAUGAGGCUUGAUCACUCCUCAUUUCAUUUCCAAAAGAAAAAAAAUCGGAAUGCAUGCAUGAGAUGCAAAGACAAACAAUUCUAGGUCUGGGGCUGUGACAACUCACCCCCACUAAACAAGAAUCUCGUCUCGAGAUUCAAGCGUAGUCGGGAAGAGGAAGAGGGGACACUAAACUAUCACAAUCUUCACGAUCCAUUUGCUCCUCUCGAGGACGUUGAUUCAUCGCACCAUGUUGAUCUUGACAUCUUUGUCCUUGAGGUCUUAAUCUAGCUUGACGACAAAAGAACAGAGAGACGACAUAAGAUUCGAUCUCCUCUAAGAUCGAGCAACUCAAGAUCAACUCAUAGAAUGAGACGUAGGAACAUCCCUUGAGCUGAGACACAACACACAUAACACGGACGAGGAAAUGAGACAUAUGACAGAGGUUCGAUUGGUAGGCAACAAAUCCAGGCUUAAAACAGAUGCUGGCGAGGUUUCAAAGUAGCGAGGAUUAGGUUUCCCUUCAUACCACAACGGGGCACCUUAGGAAGGUGACUUUUAGAGUUAUUCCCCUCAAGUGGCAAAAGAAUUACUUUUGAUCCUAAGAUCAUUGAAACUCUUCAUACCAGGGUAAGGCAAUUCACAAAUGAUUGUUGGAGGAAUUUGAAAGAAUGGCAUACUCAGUUGGAAAGAAACUAGGGUUAUAGAACAACUCAGCGAACGGAAGGCACAUUCCAAUUAUUACCGAGGAUAUAACCUAGUGUCUGAGUGUGCUCUCAAGAACUUGAGCAUUUCCAUAUUCAUCAAAGUUUUACCAAUAUCUGUGCCAAGAUCUUGGUGACACAACCUACUACUAUGAUGAACAGAGAUGGAGGAUGCAGAUGCAAAAGAAGACAACACUUCCUCAGAUUUCACCUUAGCUGUGCCAAGGGAACGUAAUCUCGUUGAUCGACCGAGAGACAUUUAGCACUCCGCUUCUAAUGUUCUCCUUGAUGUACUAGCACAACCCAAUUAUAGAUCAUGCUUGAUAUUUAGCACAUCAAGUAUAGGUCAGACUUCGGGACUCAAAAGGUCCAUGAGGAACAACUUCUGAAAUAAGUUAUACAUAGUCCUCACGGGGGAUGGCUAAGAUUGCUGAUACAAGAUAUUAUAAUAUCAAGUCUUCCGGCUAGAUGUGUUAGCCAUUACAUCACUUUACCGCGUUACCUAGAGACCAAUAUUAUAAUUCUUGGGGAAAGUUCCAACCAUUCUAACUGCCUGAGAUUCAGCUCCGGUUGGUGCCAAGAUGCUUCAGACUCAGCAUGUCCAAAAAGAAAGUUUGCAACACAAAUCUACAAGAUAACGUUGCGUGAUUCUUAGGAAAUGAACUACGGAAGACAACUCCAAAACAUGAGCUGGAUCGCAAGACCCACGUGAACACACUGCCCAAGACAACUGUGAACACAUGAAAAGUCUUACAACAAAACAUUACCGAGUUCUGGAUGGGAACCAUCAUUGCGGAUAACGAAGCCAUGUGCAAGUCCGUCUGGGCCCUUCGGGAAUGACACCUAACUUCUUUUCCUUAAACAAAUCAAUCAAUGGCUUGGUGUGCUAGGAGAUACAUAUGGAGUGAAGAUGAUCAGUCUAUCAAACCAUAUAAUACUUCACACUUGCAUGAUUGACUUGGAAUGAUUCCGAAGAAACAAAUUAACUUUUCUCGAAUUCAAGGCAGCAACUUGCAUCAGGUGCUCAUGAAUUAGAGGAAGUCACUCCUUACACCUAACAUAUACCUCGUGCACAAGACACGAAGACAAUGUCUACAAAGUUUCCAGCACUAGCUUGAUGUCCAACAUAGAUCAUGGAACAAGUUAGAAUGUUGCCGAUGGGCUCAACAACAAUUCAUCAAGAUACCCAUAUAAAUGGACUUCCACAACUAUGUGAGCAAGAUAAUAGCAUUGGUCAGAUCAAGGAAUAUAAUGGUGUACGCUCAAGGAAAACCCUGAGUAAGACACUGUUAUGAAAAUCUUUGGCUCUGAGUUUGAUUUGACAAUAGCCCAUACUCAAAUCAAAAUUGGACAAGAUAAUAUAUGCAACAAUUGAUCGCAUGACUCAACUGAUGAAAAUAUCAUUUUUCUUCAAGACUCCCACAACAGGAAAGAUAUCCCUUUUAAACGAGCUAAGUUUAGGCGAAGCUUUUAUCUUCCAACUCUCCAAGUUGUUGUUUAGCUUAACCAACUAGCUCGGGGUAUCCAAUACGGAUUCUUGGAGAAGGGGUUGGUUUAUAAAAAAACCAACUUGAUCACGAGCUCUAUCAUAACAGUCAGGAAACAACCUGGUAAUACCUCCGAGAAGAUGUUCGGGAAAUCACGAACCACCGAUAUAUUAUUAAGCUCGGGAACAAUCUUGCUUUUCAGGGCAAGAUGAUGUGAUCAAUAUAGCGAGGGAUUGACACAAUCCUAACCCAUCGAUCGAAAAGUGCACCAUGAAACAUGGACUAGGUAGCACGGUCAAUCUUAGAAUGACGAUUCAAUCACCAUCACCAUAAGAGUGAAAUUAUUGUCCAUUAGCUACCAAGCAAUAACAUUGCUAGGAGUAUUCAUUUCACACGUCAUGGUUCACUUGUCGAUAUUCCGGUUUCAACCAACACGAAAACCGAGGAGGGAACACUGAUAGCGAGAAGUAUCACUACAUCAAGAGCUCAUAAGAGAUAGUGCAAUUCUCACGACAUUCUUGACAACAAGAGGGUAAUACUCCAAGAUAGAACAGAACAAAAGCUGGGUUAGCAUUUCGAUCUACGGAAUGCAACUACUUUGAGCCAAUCCAAGAAAUGGUUGAGGUACUGGAGUUUGCUUCUCCCAGUGAUUCGAGAAUAGAACAACUUGAUGGACCACGAAAUAAAAGACAUUGAUGACAUGAAUGCACAACUAUUCUUGACUAUCCUCUCAUGGAUGAAGGUCAGAAUACAACUAGAUAGGGCCAACUCAAGAGCACAUGGUUUCUUGAGUUGUGGAUGCAUGGAUUAGCAUGUCGAACGAGUUCAACAAAAUUCUUCCAGAUAAUCCGUGCAGAAGGGCGGAGUAGGCAGAAUCACAAUAUAGAGUAGAGAACUCAUCACGAGCACUCUUGUUAUGAUCUUUAAUUCACGGAGAACUUCUGCCAAAGAUGAUUCAUGGGGUUGGUAGAAUGAUAUACCAUGAACCUUGGGAACUACAACAAGGUUACUAAUCAUUCUAUAGGAACUAGCAACACUAUCAACGGAGAUGAGCAGAAUGAUCAUUGGAUUCAGAGACCCAGAAAUAGAGUACCUACAAGCUAUUUAACAUCACGAGAUGUUUUUUGAAAAUGAUGGCCAGAACUAUCACACUGGAAGACAUUCCACACAUCUGGACUAUUGGGUAGUUUUCGGAGUAACAUGUUUUCCUAAUACUUCAACAAAACAUCGAGGUAACAAAGUACCUAAACACAAUUAUUAGUGUGCUUUGUCCGGCCGAAAGACAUUGGGAAAAAGGAAGGAAUUUGCAAUCGCAUCAGACUAUUUGGGAACUUUGGAAAACUCGGAGAGCAUAACGGCUGUACGGGCAUGAAAUAUGAGGCAACCUGCAAGAAAACUAACAACAUAACAAUUGAAUUCUUAUGGAGACACUGAUCCAGGAAGACAACAACUUUUCUAUAAGUCUCCAGCAUGGUAACUCGUCAUCCUAAUGAAUAGAUCAGAAAGCCUAAUUCUUAAACCCCGUAGAAUAAAGAAGAGGGUGACUUAGAAUAAGAAUGACACAAGGAAAGGAGUAAAAGAGCCUUACGUUCCCAUCCACAAACAAUUCCCUUAUAUGACUAAAGAGUUGCUAGACUCAACAUCGACCAGUUUGGCUUGGCUAUCCUACAGGCAGUCAAGCUCUGAUACCAAAGCUGUCGGGACCUCGAUCCUAGGUCAUAAGAACCCAGCCUGUAACACAUCACAUCAUUUUGCGGCCUCACGCACGGUAAACUCCCCGGCCGCCACCUUACCUUGGCCGGGACCGUUUGCGUCUUUUGGCUCACGUAUAUGAAUGUGUCGCCAGCGUUCAAACGACAAGAACCCGGGUCGAAAUGACUAGUUAUAAACCCAGGCGGUACAUCCGUACAGGGACAUGCAUACAUAACCCAGCAAAGCACGUGUCGGUCAUCAGCGUGUGUAGACGAGUCGUAGCAAGCUACAAGGACUCCAUUACACCGCGUGACAUUUCCCCGAGGGGACAGACACAACAGCAAAGAAGGAUACAUGCCGGUCAAUCAAUGUGUUCCGAGCAGUAGCAAGCUACCAAGGCCCGAUGGAAACACAAAGAGGCAUUUCCCUGUAAAGAGUACUACUAAAGGCAAACAACUAGGUGUCGAAUCCCACACAUAUAAUGCAUUUCAAACAUACACACAUUAUGCACGAUAUGUGUAGAUACAACAUGGCAUCACAACAUAACCCUAUGACUCAAGCAUUUAUUAAAGACUCAUAAGAGUCAACAUAGUAUGAUAUUACAAACAGGGGUCNNNNNNNNNNNNNNNNNNNNNNNNNNNNNNNNNNNNNNNNNNNNNNNNNNNNNNNNNNNNNNNNNNNNNNNNNNNNNNNNNNNNNNNNNNNNNNNNNNNNNNNNNNNNNNNNNNNNNNNNNNNNNNNNNNNNNNNNNNNNNNNNNNNNNNNNNNNNNNNNNUUUGACUCUUGGCUAACUCGUACUACGACUACAGUUUCUUUCUUUGAGGUGGGAGAGCGCACACGAGUCCAUAUAUUCACCAAUUCAAUACACCACUAUGGAUCCACUCUCGUCUCCCUACGAGAAGGCCUUCCAUAGCACUCACACUUAUCUUGCAUGUUUUAGAGUAUCCAUUUAAAUUUUCUAUGUACCACUUAAUGUUUCCAAGUAGUCCAUAUCCGAGGACGCGGCUAUUCGAAUAGAUUGAAUCACCCUGCAGGGGUAUACUUCUUCACACAUGCUCCCACCACUUAGCACCAUAUGCACGUCAUGCAUCUCGGCAACCUUCGAGUGGAAGCAUUGGCUUGGGUGUCGGCCACGACCGUUAACCACACAAGACAGUCCAGGUUUAUCGCCUAUUUGAGACUGAACCCGCAAGGAAGUCCGGCCGAGGUUUCCUCUACGGCCCCAAACGAUGUGCGCAGGGUUCCCAAGCCCACCAUCCGGGUACCACUUGGUACACCGUGCCACUGUGUAUCUACCGUAGUGAAGCCUACCCCGUCGGGAGAGCUAAACACGACCGCCAACACUUUUCCUACAAACACCAGAAACUAAUUGCAACUCCUGGACAGGGAUCUAGGCCAUUAAUAAGCCGAGCGGGGUCAUAUUUCAGGGCCCAAUGCAUGGUAGUAUCUUGUCUUGGAUAACAUACACAGAACUCAGUUCUUAAGGACGGUCUCAAUGAGACAACCCACCAUGUACUCCUACAUGGCCUCUCAUCGCUACCUUUACCAAAUCGAAUUCACACUUUUACUCUGACACUGUAGAACAUGAUCACAACCAUUCCGAAUCAUCAUCCAGAUGGAUCAGACCCGACACAACUCUAAGCAUAGCAGGCGUUGUAAACAAGCAUGGAUGAGUAAGCACAACAAGGCUCAAGCAGUUGCUACUCAUGCUAAGUGGUUUCAACUAUUUACUAUGACAAAAUCAGGUCAUGCACAGGAAUGGGUUCAACUACCGAUAACAUGUACAGUUGAAUCGUGUUUGUCCUAAUGCAGUAAAAGAGAGCAGGAGCGAGAGAGUGGGUUUAUAUCAAUAUGCUCAAGGGGGGUUUGCUCUCCUGACACGUCUGAAGAUAGCAAUGAGUCUUCAUCAAUGUCAACAUCCACAUCGUCGGAAACAGCGUUUACCGAGAGGAAACAACACCGGCAAACAAGAAAGAACAACAAUUACUUCACGGAAAUGAAACACUAUGAUGCAUGCUCAAGACAUGAAAUGAAAGGUGGCAGGGCUAAUGUGGCUAUCAUUUCUUAAGUUGAAGUUAGUUUGAAUUAGGAUUCAAACAUCACUUCAAGCCGGGUAUCUUUCCAAGUACCCUUAUAAUUGAUUCGACCUGAUGCUCAUAACAAAUUGUUCCAACAUGCAUGGAGUUAGUAUUUUGAGGUACUGAUUUGCAUUGACCAAUGUUUGGUCAUAACAAUUGAAGUGGAAUUCAAAUAAGUAUCAAAUUCCAUCUCCAAACUAAAUAUGAAAUUUAUCCUAUUCACCAUUUUGCCUAUUUGGUGAUGUUAACUUUUUCAAACAUGCAUGAAAGUGCCAUAAUCAGAUUCUUUGGAUUUUUCUGAUCCUUUUUCAUAUAUAAAUUAUUUUCAUCCGAGUUAUAUUUUAUUUUCUAUGAAUUUUUGAAGUUUUAGGCAUUUUCUGGAAUUAUUUUAUAAUAGGAAAUUAAUUACUGUGUCAGCACUGCGUCAGCACUCAACUGGCCCAGUCAGAGUCAAACCUGACGUGUGGGGUCUACACGUCAGUGAUAGAGGUUAAUUAAGAGGGUUAGAUUAGUUUUAUUUCCUGUUUUAGAAUCGUAGGGCCCACUGUCAGUGAGUCUUUAGGUUAGUUAAUCUGGUUAGUUAAUUUUGUGAUUGACUUAAGUUAAACAGGGAUAGGCCCCACCUGUCUGUGACUCAGGGGAGUCAACCCACCAUCACACGGGGUCGAGACCACCGGCGGGUCAACGCCGGCGACUACAGACGCGGCGGAGCUCAUCGGAAAAUCCCUACGGGCAUCCAUUUCGGUCGCGGUUUGGCUCUACGGCUAGCUGAUGAAGCGCAGCAUCCGUUCGGACCAAGCCACGGGCCAGGAGGUGGCCGGAGCGAGGCCGACGACGACCUCGGGCGGUGGCCGGAGUCGUCCAUGGUGGGGGUUGGCGCUAGAGGGCAGGAAUGGAGGGGGAGAGCAUAGGAGGAGGAGCAGGUGCUCACGGCGGCUCCAUUUCUGGCAUCGGCGACGAAGGCGAGGCUCAGAGCAGGCCGAAUCGACGACGGCGAAUCCGGUGACCGGAGGGAGAAACGGCGACGAUGGCGAUGCUGCGGGGGCUCGGGAGCUCGGAGGAGUUGAUGGAGAGUAGCAGCUCAUUGAGGCGGAGGUGUGGAGCGCGUCAGGGAAGCGAGGAGUGGUCGGGGUCGACGGCGACGAACUUGAGCAGUGCUCGGCAACGGCGGCGAGAGAAGAGAGGAAACAGAGAGAGGAGGAGGGGAAUGGAACGGGGAGGAGAUAAGGAGGGCUUGACGUCGCGCUGGCGAGAGAGAGCAAGGGGGAGGCGACACGACCAGCAAGAGGUGGCAAGGCACGACGGCGAGCUUGCCACGGCUCUGCCCGUCCUCUUGGCAGAGGAGGAAGAUGACCUCCUCGCCCCUGGUGGACUGGGCCUGGAGGGGCGACAGGUAGGCUUUUCUGUUUUCUUCUCUUUAUUCUUUUCUGUUUUCUAUUUGCUAACAUUUGUGUUGAUUUGAAAAUAAAUCCAAAUCAUUUUGCAAAAUCCUUAUAAUAUUUUUAUGUGGCAUAAAUAUAAAUGUCCAAUACCACAUAAUAGUUUCAACAUUUAAAAACCUAUAUUUUAUAUAUAGAAAAUAUAAUUCCAUUUAAAAUAGUUGUUUGAUUAAUUUAAAAAAAACAAUAUAAAAAGUUUUUGUGAUCCAAAAUAUUGGUUGACAUUUUUAUUUCAGUCCAAUAUUUUAUUGGAAAAUCAGGGACAUUUCCUUGAAUCAAUUUGAAGCAUUAUUUAUGUUGCUUGUUUGACAAAAAUUUAAAUGAUGAGGCUUGAUAACUCCUCAUUUCAUUUCCAAAAUAAAAAAAUAGGAAUGCAUGCAUGAGAUGCAAAGACAAACAAUUCUAGGUCUGGGGCUGUGACAGAAGGAGUCCAGAUCGACUCCGAAUCCUGCCUACACCGUAUGGUAUAGUCAGGACCAGCAGGUUCUCACCUUCCUGCUGGCCUCUCUUUCGUGGGAUGUCCUGCUCCAAGUCCACGACGCACCACCUCCUUCGGCAUCUGGUAGAUGAUCCUCUUGCUCUUUGCCUCCCAGUCUCGGGCACGCAAGAUCCAACUCCGUGGUCAGCUCUCUACAACCAAAAAAGCUGAUCUCUCUGCUGCCGCAUAUUACACCAAGAUGAAAGGUUUUGCAGAUGAACUUGCGGCUGCUCGCACACCUGUUGACGAAGACAAGGUCGUCUCCCACAUCCUCCACGGGCUUGAUUCGGACUACAACUAGUUUGUGUCUGCUAUCUCCACCCGCGCUGCAGCAGACAACCCCAUCGGCCUUGGCGAAAUCUUCUCGCUCCUUCUCUCGGCUGAGACUAGGAUCGAGGCACAGAACAACACCGCCGCCCACUGAUACGUCCAUUUUGCAUCAUGCUUUCAUGUUGAUAUUUAUUGCUUUUGGGGCUGUUAUAUUACUUGUGGUACCAUAUUUAUGCCUUUUAUCUCUUAUUUUGCAAGGAUUAUUUGAAGAGGGAGAAUUCAAGAAGAUGGAAUUUUGGACUGGAAAAGGAGCAAAUCCUAGUCCACUAUUCUGCACAUCUCCAAAUGCCCUGAAAUUUUACGUGGGUUUUUUCUGGAAUAUAUUAAAAAUAGUGGGCGAAAGAACUACCGGAGGGGGGCCACCAGGGCCCCACAAGCUUGCCCACCGCCACCACCCCCCUGGUGGCGCACGGCAGGCUUGUGGGCUGCCUGAAGGCCCACUAGCCCCCCUCUUUUGCUAUAUGAAGCAUCCUGGUCUGGAAAAAAAAAUCAAUGGGGAGCUUUUUCAUGGUUUCGCCGCCGCCACGAGGCAGAACUUGAGCAGAUCCAAUCUAGAGCUCCGACAGGAUGAUCCUGCCGGGGAAAUUCCCCCCCCCCCUGGAGAGGGAAAUCGUCGCCAUCGUCAUCACCAACACUCCUCUCGCCGGAGGGGAGUCAUCUCCAUCAACAUCGUCAUCAGCACCAUCUCCUCUCCAAUCCCUAGUUCAUCUCUUGUAACCAAUCUUCAUCUCGCAACUCCGAUUGGUACUUGUAAGGUUGUUAGUAGUGUUGAUUACUCUGUGUAGUUGAUGCUAGUUGGAUUAUUUGGUGGAAGAGUUUAUGUUCAGAUCCUUGAUGCUAUUCAUUACACCUCUGAUCAUGAUUAUGCUUAUGUCUUGUGAGUAGUUACUUUUGUUCCUGAGGACAUGGGAUAAGUCAUGCUGAUAAUAGUCAUGUGAAUUUGAUAUUCGUUCGGUAUUUUGAUAUGAUGUAUGUUGUUUUUCCUCUAGUGGUGUUAUGUGAACGUCGACUACAUACCACUUCACCAUAUUUGGGCCUAGAGGAAGGCAUUGGGAAGUAGUAAGUAGAUGAUGGGUUGCUGGAGUGACAGAAGCUUAAACGCCAGUCUAUGCAUUGCUUCGUGAGGGGCUGAUUUGGAUCCACUAGUUUAAUGCUAUGGUUAGACUUUGUCUUAAUUCUUCUUUUGUAGUUGCAGAUGUUUGCGAGAGAGGUUAAUAAUAAGUGGGAUGCUUGUCCAAGUAAGGGCAGUAACCAAGCGUCGGUCCACCCACAUAUCAAAUUAUCAAAGUAACGAACGCGAAUCAUAUGAACAUGAUGAAACUAGCAUGACAGAAAUUCCCGUGUGUCCUCGGGAGCGUUUUUCCUCCUAUAAGACUUUGUUCAGGCUUGUCCCUUGCUACAAAAGGGAUUGGUCCACUUGCUGCACCGUUGCUACUACUUGUUACUUGUUACUCUUUGCUUGCUACGUUUCACCUCGCUACACAAUCACUUGUUACCGCUACUUUCAGUGCUUGCAGUUAUUACCUUGCUGAAAUCCGUUUAUCAGAGCCUUCUGCUCCUCGUUGGGUUCGACACUCUUACUUAUCGAAAGGACUACGAUUGAUCCCCUAUACUUGUGGGUCAUCAAGACUCUUUUCUGGCGCCGUUGCCUGGGAGUGAAGGGCCUUUGGUAAGUGGAAAUUGGUAAGGAAACAUUUAUAUACUGUGCUGAAAUUUAUUGUCACUUGUCACUAUGGAAACUCUUCCUUUGAGGAGUUUGUUCGGGGUAUCUUCACCACGAACAGAAGCACGAGGAGUUGCUCCUCAACCUGAGGUACCUACUGAAAAUAUCUUUUAUGAAAUUCCUUUGGGUAUGCUUGAGAAACUGCUCGCUAAUCCUUUUACAGGGGAUGGAUCUUCACAUCCAGACUUUCAUCUAAUCUAUGUAGAUGAAGUUUGUAGUUUAUUUAAGCUUGCAGGUUUGCCCGAGGAUGAGGUAAAGAAGAAAGUCUUUCCUUUAUCUUUGAAGGAUAAGGCGUUGACAUGGUAUAGGCUAUGUGAUGAUGCUGGAUCAUGGGGCUACAAUCGGUUGAAAUUGGAAUUUCAUCAAAAGUUCUAUCCUAUGCAUUUAGUACAUCGUAAUUGGAACUUUAUUUAUAAAUUUUGGCCUCGUGACAGGGAAAGCAUAGCUCAAGCUUGGGGAGUCUUAAAUCAAUGCUAUAUUCGUGCCCCAAUCAUGAGCUCUCGAGGGAAAUCAUCACUCAAAACUUUUAUGCUCGGCUUUCUCAUGAAGAUCGUACCAUGCUUGACACUUCUUGUGCCGGUUCUUUUAUGAAGAAGGAUAUUGAUCAGAAGUGGAAUUUAUUGGAGAGAAUCAAAUGCAACUCUGAAGAUUGGGAGCUGGAGGAAGGUAAGGAGUCAGGUAUGAAUUUCUAGUUUGAUUGCGUUAAAUCUUUUGUUGAGACAAACACUUCUAGAGAUUUUAGCGCUAAGUAUGGACUUGACUCUCAGAUAGUAGCUUCUCUAUGUGAAUCCUUUGCUGAUCAUGUUGAUCUUCCCAAAGAGAAGUGGUUUAAAUAUCAUCCUCCUGUAGAAAGCAACAUAGCCAAAACCAAUCUAGUUGAGGAGAAAAUCAUAGCUUUUAGUGAUCCUGUUGUUCCUUGUGCUUAAACUGAGAAACCACCAUACCCUGCUAGGAUGAAGGAUUAUUCUAAAGCUCCAACUGUGAUACGUAGGGGUUACAUUACACCACUUGCACCCCCUGAGGAGAUUAGAGUUGAACCUAGUGUUGCUAUUAUCAAAGAACUCUUAGCCGAAGACAUAGACGGGCAUGUUAUCAAAUUCUGUGAGGACUCCGCUAGAAUUGCUAAACCUCAUGCGAAAGACAAGCACGGACCUGUAGUUGGCCUGCCCGUUGUUUCUGUUAAGAUAGGAGAUCACUGUCACCAUGGUUUAUGUGAUAUGGGGGCUAGUGUUAGUGCAAUACCCCGUUCUCUAUAUGAUGAAAUCAAAGAUGAGAUUGCACCUACUGAGUUAGAACCCAUUGAUGUCACUAUUAUGCUAGCUAAUAGUGACACUAUCUGCCCUGUGGGAAUUGUGAGAGACGUAGAAGUCCUGUGUGGUAAGACGAAGUAUCCUACUGAUUUCCUCGUCCUUGGUACUGCACAAGAUAGCUUUUGUCCCAUCAUAUUUGGUAGACCCUUUCUCAACACUGUCAAUGCUCACAUUGAUUGCAUUAAGCAGACUGUCACAGUAAGUUUCGACGGUGUGUCUCAUGAAUUCAAUUUCUCCAAGUUUGGAAGACAACCCCAUGAAAGAGAGUCGUCGGGUAGAGAUCAAAUCACUGCUCUUGCCUCUAUUGCCGUACCUCAUACGUAUCCUUUAGAGCAAUAUCUGCUUGAGCAUGAAAAUGAUAUGCAUAUGGAGGAGAGAGAUGAGAUAGAUAGAAUUGUCUUAGAACAACAUCCUAUUCUCAAGAAUAAUCUGCAUGUUGAACUACUUGGGGAUCCUCCCCCACCAAAGGGUGAUCCUGUAUUCGAGCUUAAACAGAUGCCUGAUACUCUUAAGUAUGCCUAUCUUGAUGAGAAGGAGAUAUAUCCUGUCAUUAUUAGUGCUCUCCUCUCAGAGCGCAAAGAGAAGAAGUUACUAAAAACUCUGAGGAAGCACCGCGCUGCUAUUGGAUAUACUCUUGAUGAUCUUAAGGGUAUUAGUCCUACUCUAUGUCAGCACAAGAUUAAAACCGAUUCUGACUUUAAACCAGUUGCUGAUCAUCAAAGGAGAUUAAGUCCUAAGAUGAAAGAGGUCGUUAGAAAAGAAAUAUUAAAGCUUCUAGAAGCAGGAAUCAUUUAUCCUGUUGCUCAUAGUGAUUGGGUAAGUCCGGUACAUUGCAUACCUAAGAAGGGAGUUAUCACCGUUGUUCCUAAUGAUAAGGAUGACUAAUCCCACAAAGGAUUAUUACCGGCUAUAGAAUGGUGAUAGACUUCUGGAAACUGAACAAGGCAACCAGGAAAGAUCAUUAUCCUUUGUCGUCCAUCAACCAAAUGCUAGAAAGGCUAUCAAAGCACACACACUUCUGCUUUCUAGACGGUUAUUCAGGUUUCUCGCAAAUACCUAUGGCACAAUCUGAUCAAGAGAAAACCACUUUCACCUGCCCUUUCGGUACCUUUGCCUAUAGACGUAUGCCUUUUGGCUUAUGUAAUGCACCUGCCACCUUCCAAAGAUGUAUGAUGGCUAUAUUCUUUUACUUUUGUGAAAAGAUCGUCAAGGUUUUCAUGCAUGACUUCUCCGUUUACGGAUCUUCCUUUGAUGAUUGCCUCAGCAACCUUGAUCGAGUCUUACAGAGAUGCGAAGAAACCAACUUCGUCUUGAAUUGGAGAAGUGCCACUUUAUGGUUAAUGAAGGUAUCGUCUUAGGACACAAAAUCUCUGAAAGAGGCAUUGAAGUUGAUAAGGCUAAGGUUGAUGCAAUUGAGAAAAUGCCUUGCCCCACAGAUAUCAGAGGUAUACGAAGUUUCUUAGGUCAUGCUGGUUUCUAUAGAAGGUUCAUUAAAGACUUCUCUAAGAUUAUAGGCCUCUUACCAACCUCUUGCAGAAGGAUGUUCCUUUUGUUUUUGAUGAGGAUUGUGAGGAAGCCAUCGAAAUACUUAAGAAGGCUUUGAUAACCGCACCUAUUGUUCAACCACCUGACUGGAACUUGCCCUUUGAAAUCAUGUGUGACGCUAGUGAUUAUGCUGUUGGUGUUGUUCUAGGACAAAGAGUUGACAAGAAGUUGAAUGUCAUUCACUACGCUAGUAAAACUCUAGACAGUGCCCAAAGAAACUAUGCCACUACGGAGAACAAAUUUUUAGCAGUCGUGUUUGCAUGUGAAAAGUUCAGAUCUUACAUAGUUGACUCCAAAGUCACUAUUCACUCUGAUCAUGCUGCUAUUAAGUACCUUAUGCAGAAGAAGGACGCUAAGCCUAGGCUGAUCAGAUGGGUUCUCCUGCUACAGGAAUUUGAUUUGCACGUCGUUGACCGAAAGGGUGCUGAUAACCCUGUAGCAGAUAACUUGUCUAGGCUAGAGAAUGUCCUUGAUGACCCACUACCUAUUGAUGACAGCUUUCCUGAUGAGCAAUUAAAUGUCAUCCGCACUUCACAUAGUGCACCGUAGUAUGCCAAUUAUGCAAAAUAUAUCGUAGCCAAAUACAUACCACCCAGUUUCACCUAUCUGCAAAGGAAGAAAUUCUUCUUUGAUUUGAGACACUACUUUUGGGAUGAUCCUCACCUUUAUAAGGAAGGAGUAGAUGGUGUUAUUAGAUGUUGUGUGCCUGAACAUGAACAGGGACAGAUCCUGCAGAAGUGUCAUUCCGAAGCCUACGGAGGACACCAUGCUGGAGAUAGAACUGCCCAUAAGGUAUUACAAUCAGGUUUCUAUUGGCCCACUCUCUUCAAGGAUGCCCGUAAGUUUGUCUUGUCUUGUGACGAAUGCCAAAGGAUAGGGAACAUCAGUAAGCGUCAAGAGAUGCCUAUGAACUAUUCACUUGUCAUUGAACCAUUUGAUGUCUGGGGCUUUGAUUAUAUGGGACCCUUCCCGAGUUCCAAUGGGUAUACUCACAUCUUAGUUGUUGUGGAUUACGUUACUAAGUGCGUAGAAGCUAUCCCCACUAAAAAUGCUGAUCACCACACCUCUAUUAAGAUGCUUAAAGAAGUCAUAUUCCCAAGAUUUGGAGUCCCUAGAUACUUGAUGACUGAUGGCGGUUCACACUUCAUUCAUGGUGUUCUCCGCAAGAUGCUAGCUAAGUGAUGUCAACCAUAGAGUUGCAUCUCCUUAUCAUCCUCAGUCCAGUGGUCAAGUUGAGUUGAGUAAUAGGGAGAUCAAGUUGAUCCUACAAAAGACUGUCAGUAGAUCUUGAAAGAACUGGUCUAGCGAACUUGAUGAUGCACUAUGGGCUUAUAGGACUGCUUAUAAGAAUCCCAUGGGCAUGUCACCGUAUAAAAUGGUUUAUGGUAAGGCCUGCCAUUUACCUCUUGAGCUGGAACACAAAGCUUAUUGGGCAAUCAAAGAGCUCAACUUUGAUUUCAAACUUGCCGGUGAGAAGCGGUUGUUUGAUAUCAGCUCGUUAGAUGAAUGGAGAGCCCAUGCAUAUGAGAAUGCCAGGUUGUUCAAGGGAAAGGCUAAGAGAUGGCACGACAAACGAAUACAGAAACGAGAGUUCAAUGUAGGUGAUUAUGUCUUGCUAUACAAUUCUCCUUUGAGAUUCUUUGCAGGCAAGCUUCUCUCUAAAUGGGAAGGUCCCUAUGUUGUCGAGGAAGUAUAUCAUUCUGGUGCCAUCAAAAUCAAUAACACGGAAGGAAAUUUUCCUAGAGUGGUAAAUGGGCAAAGAAUCAAGCAUUAUAUCUCUGGUACUCCCAUAAAUGUUGAGACCAAUAUCAUCAAUGUCAUAACUCCAGAGGAGUACAUAAGGGAUGUUUAUCAGCCUGUUUCAGACCUUGAAAACGAAGAUGUAUCUGUUUCGGCAAAAAAUUGGACUCUGAUACUUUUCCAAUAGGAAAUUUCCUCAGUUUUGGAAUUUUUGGAAAAUUAGAAAAAUAAAAAGCAGUCCGGAGAGCAAACGAGGCAGCCACAAGGGCCCACUCCGCCACCACCCCCUGGUGGCGGUUGGCAAGCUUGUGGGCACCUCGUGUGCCUCUCGGACUCCGUUUUCUUGCGGAGGACUCCUUCUGGCCCAGAAAAAAAUCAAUAUAUAGUCGCCCGAAGGUUUUGAUCUCCGUAUCGCGUAGUCUUCCUCUGUUUUCGCUUUGAGCUUGUUUCUGCCGCAGAUCUAGAUCAUCAUGACUUCCCCAAACGCUCCUAAUGACAAGAUCUUCGAGAAGGUCAUCAAUCCCUACCUCACGGAGGUGCUGAAACACCCUCAAUCUAUCAAGAUGUGCGAGGGGAUGUUGCACAUCCGUGAUGUUGAGGGGCCUAAGAAGACCGGAAGCAUGGAGACGAGGCUCGUAGCAAUGGAGCAACAAGUCUUCAAGUGCCAAGGGAUGGUUGAGCGUGGACUCAACGCCAACCAUACGAUGAUCGCGGAGUUCACUAGCAAUCACAAGAUGGAUGUCAUUGAUAUUGGGAAACACCUCUCCAGACUUUACGAUAAGGUUGACCAACUUCAGGGCCAGAUCUAUGACCUGCAGAAUCAAAACUGUGAGUAUGAGUACAGAUUUAAAUCAAUAAGGUUGGUUGCAGAUUUGAGGAUUCCGGCGACUCGUUCAUCCUGCCACGAUGGAGCACCUAUGCCUUGGAAGACGGAGGAUCAUACUACUCCAACAACACCACCAUCACUGCCAAAGGAAGACAACUAAACAUUGGUAUGGGCAAUCCCCUUGGUUUUUGCCAAGCUUGGGGGAGUUGCCCUGGUAUAGUUCUUUCCUUUAUAUCUUUUGCUUUUACCUUUGUUUUAGUUCUUUCCUUUUCAGUUUUUAUUUCUUCUUUUAGAGGAAUAAGUCUUUAGUUUUUAGUUUGAGGCUUUUGCUUUUGUCUCUCCCCCGAUGUAUUCGAGCUUACGAGCUAUAUAAUAAAGAGUGUCUUAGUCAAGGGCUUUGCUUUGUGCCAUGAUCAAAGAGUAUGAAAGAACGAUAGCAUGAAAGAUCAUGAGACGAUCUUAUGGAAAGUGAUAACUUCACUUAUGACAAGUAUGAUGAUUGAAACUUGUUGAGAAUAAAUCAACAUAGACCUCAGUCAUUGUUGUAAUUAAUAAGAAGUAAUAAGGAAAGAGAGGUUCACAUAUAAAUAUAUCAUCUUAGACACUUUUUACAAUUGUGAGCACUCACCAAACUAUUACAUGCCUAGGAGUAGAUGUUGGACAAGGAAGACAACAUAAUGAAUUGUGUUUGCUUGGUUCCAAACAAUGUUAUAUGAUUAGAGAUCCCUUAGCACGUGACGAUUGUUUCCACCUCAUAUUAGCCAAAACUCCCGCACCAAGUAGAGAUACUACUUGUGCAUCCAUAAACCUCCAACCAGUUUUGCCAUGAGAGUCCACCAUACCUGCCUAUGGAUUGAAUAAGAUCCUUCUAGUAAGUUGUUAUCAGUGCAAGCAAUAAAAAUUGCUCUCUAAUAUGUAUGAUCUAUUAGUGUGUGAAAAUAAGCUUUGUACGAACCUGUGAUGAGGAAGACAUAAAAACGACAGACUGCAUAAUAAAGUUCUUUGUCAUAGGGGGCAAUAUAAAGUGAUGUUCCUCCGCACUAAGAGGACAAGCAUUCAUACCUCAAAAGCGCAUGACAACCUCUACUUCCCUCUGCGAAGGGCUUAUCUUGUACCUUUACUUUUUACCCUUGUAAGAGUCAUGGUGAUCAUCACCAAUUCCCUUUUUGCCUUUGUCCUGGCUACCUUCACAUGCUUGGGAAAGAUCUAUAUUCAUAUAUCAACUUGGAGUUGAGUACUCAUGCUUUAUUAUUGUUGACUUUACCCAUGAGGUAAACCGUUGGGAGGCAAAACUAUAAGCCCCUAUCUUCCUCUGUGUCCAGCUGAAACUUUGACACCAUGAGUACCACAUGAGUUGUAACAAUUGUGGAAAACAAAAGAGAUGAUUGAGUAUGUGGGUUUGCCUUACAAGCUCUUAUUUGACUCUUUCUGAUGUUGUGAUAAAUUGCAAUUGCUUCAAUGACUAUGGACUAUUGUUGGUUACUUCUCGGUAAGGUUUUUGCUUCAUGCUUUCCUUUGUGAAGGAAUUGUUACUUUCCCAAAAGAAUCUUUAUGAUUUAUUGCUGUUCUAUGUGUGAUCAUGAUGCCCUCAUGUCCGUAUUAUGUUUUAUUGACACCUUCGUCCCUCAACAUGUGGACAUGUUUAUGGAACUUGGUUUUCGCUUGAGGACAAGCGAGGUCUAAGCUUGGGGGAGUUGAUACGUCCAUUUUGCAUCAUGCUUUCAUGUUGAUAUUUAUUGCUUUUUGGGCUGUUAUAUUACUUGUGGUACCAUAUUUAUGCCUUUCCUCUCUUAUUUUGCAAGGAUUAUUUGAAGAUGGAUAAUUCAGGCAGCUGGAAUUCUGGACUGGAAAAGGAGCAAAUCCUAGUCCACUAUUCUGCACAUCUCCAAAUGCCUUGAAAAUUUACGUGGAUUUUUUCUACAAUAUAUUAAAAAUACUGGCCGAAAGAACUACCGGAGGGGGGCCACCAGGGCCCCGCAAGCUUGCCCACCACCACCACCACCCCUGGUGGCACAGGGCAGGCUUGUGGGCUGCCGAAGGCCCACUAGCCCCCGUCUUUUGCUAUAUGAAGCGUCCUGGUCUGGAAAAAAAAUCAAUGGGGAGCUUUUUCGUGGUUUCGCCGCCGCCACGAGGCGGAACUUGAGCAUAUCCAAUCUAGAGCUCCGGCAGGACGAUCCUGCCGGGGAGAUUUUCCUCCCGGAGGGGGAAAUCGUCUCCAUCGCCAUCACCAACACUCCUCUCGUCAGAGGGGAGGCAUGUCCAUCAACAUCUUCAUCAGCACCAUCUCCUCUCCAAUCCCUAGUUCAUCUCUUGUAACCAAUCUUCGUCUCGCAACUCCGAUUGGUACUUGUAAGGUUGCUAGUAGUGUUGAUUACUCUUUGUAGUUGAUGCUAGUUGGAUUAUUUGGUGGAAGAGUUUAUGUUCAGAUCCUUGAUGCUAUUCAUUACACCUCUGGUCAUGAUUAUGAUUAUGUCUUGUGAGUAGUUACUUUUGUUCCCGAGGACAUGGGAUAAGUCAUGCUGAUAAUAGUCAUGUGAAUUUGAUAUUCGUUCGGUAUUUUGAUAUGUUGUAUGUUGUUUUUCCUCUAGUGGUGUUAUGUGAACGUCGACUACAUAACAUUUCACCAUAUUUGGGCCUAGAGGAAGGCAUUGAGAAGUAGUAAGUAGAUGAUGGGUUGCUGGGGUGACAGAAGCUUAAACCCCAGUCUAUGUGUUGCUUCGUGAGGGGCUGAUUUGGAUCCACUAGUUUAAUGCUAUGGUUAGACUUUGUCUUAAUUCUUCUUUUGUAAUUGCGAAUGCUUGCGAGAGAGGUUAAUCAUAAGUGGGAUACUUGUCCAAGUAAGGGCAGUACCCAAGCGCCGGUCCACCCACAUAUCAAACUAUCAAAGUAACGAACGCGAAUCAUAUGAACAUGAUGAAACUAGCAUGACAGAAGUUCCCGUGUGUCCUCGGGAGCGUUUUUCCUCCUAUACGACUUUGUUCAGGCUUGUCCCUUGAUACAAAAGUGAUUGGGCCACUUGAUGCACCGCUGCUACUACUUGUUACUUGUUACUCUUUGCUUGCUACGUUUCACCUCGCUACACAAUCACUUGUUACCGCUACUUUCAGUGCUUGCAGUUAUUACCUUGCUGAAAUCCGUUUAUCAGAGCCUUCUGCUCCUCGUUGGGUUCGACACUCUUACUUAUCAAAAGGACUACGAUUGAUCCCCUAUACUUGUGGGUCAUUACCCACUCCCUUAAUCUGGUCUCCAAAGGGAGUGGCCGCGGCAAUCCGGCGCGCUUCUCUUCCGGCGGCGGCGCCCCUACACCAACCACUUUGGCGCUGCUACAUCGUCUCCUGGAGGAGGCGCUCCAUCACCACAAGGCCCACUUAUCUGCCAGAUUUGCAAGUUUGAUGGCCAUGGAGCAUGGUCUUGCAAGAAACGGUUCGACAAGUCCUUCAACAACAACCCCAAGCGCCAAGGCAAUCGUGCUAAAUCUGCAAACACGGCGGCUGCCUCCUAUGGUGUCGAUACCAACUGGUAUCUUGACACUGGCACGACAGAUCAUGUGACAGGUGAACCGGAGAAACUCACUGUCCGUGAUCGCUACACUGGCCCCGAACAAAUCCACAAUGCUAGUGGUCAAGGUAUGGAAAUUGCACAUGUUGGUCAUGCCCUCCUUCCUACUGCUCAUGAAUCUCUUAAGUUGAACAACAUCCUGCAUGUUCCUACCGCAUCUAAAAGCCUUCUUUCUGGUCAUCACCUAGCCAAAGGUAAUCAUGCCUAUCUUAUUGUUUACCCGGAGUUCUUUUCUGCGAACGAUCAGGAAACGGGGAUAACAAUCCUUCACGGACCAAGUAGUGGUGGUCUCUACCCUAUUGCUGCUCAGCCGGCUUCUCCUGGACAUCAACUCCUUGGAGUCAUCAAGCCCUCUACCUCUAGGUGGCAUAGGCGACUAGGACACCCAUCUCUUCUAGUGGUGCAACAAAUACUUCGUAAUCAUCAUCUACCCGUGUCAAAUAAAACAUAUCAUCACCUUGUUUGUGAUGCCUAUCAAAUAGCCAAGAGCCAUCAGUUACAUUACUCUCGUUCCACUAGUGUGUCCAAAGCUCCUUUAGAGCUCAUUUUUUCCGAUGUAUGGGGCCCUGGGCCUCUUUGUGUUGGUAGACAAAAAUACUAUGUCAGUUUCAUAGAUGAUUUUAGCAAGUUCAGUUGGAUUUAUCUCAUUAGAAAUAAAUCUGACGUGUUUCAAAAGUUUCUUAUCUUUCAAGCACUUGUUGAGCGUCUCUUUAAUUGCAAAAUCAUUGCUAUGCAAACUGAUUGGGGUGGCGAAUAUCAAAAGUUGAACCAAUUUUUUGAGCGCAUUGGUAUUACCCAUCAUGUGUCAUGCCCUCAUGCGCACCAACAAAAUGGUUCCGCCAAACGCAAACAUCGCCACAUUGUCGAGGUUGGUCUCUCUCUCUUUUAGCUCAUGCAUCCAUGCCACUCAAGUUUUGGGAUGAGGCAUUCCUCACGACUGCCCAUCUCAUCAACCGUGUUCCUAGCCGUGUCAUCCAAAAACAGACACCUCUUGAACGAUUGUUUCACAUCACACCAGAAUACUCCUCCCUUCGUAUCUUAGGAUGUGCGGUAUGGCCUAAUCUUCGCCCCUUCAACAAACACAAACUCGAAUAUCGUUCCAAACAAUCUGUUUUUAUUGGCUACAGUUCUCUACACAAAGGAUAUAAGUGUCUUGAUGUCUCCACAGGUCGAGUUUAUAUCUCUCGGGAUGUUAUUUUCGAUGAGCAUAUUUUUCCUUUUGCUGCAUACAUCCUAACGCCGACGCUCAACUACGUGCAGAACUUGUCCUUCUGCCAUCCUUUCUUCUUAAUUCCCCACCUACUGUUCCUCAGGAGGAAGUAUGUACUGAUAUUGUGUCAAUUUCCACUAACAGUAUGCCCAAUACUAAUGCAAAUCUCGAAGCAGAUCGUCAUGGUUUUAUGCAUGCAGAUCAUGCUACAGAAUCGGCGGCCAUAGCAGAUCGAGGCGUCGCGGCAUCCGGGGCUGAUUCGCCUGCACAAUCUGCCUCGGGAUCGCGCCCAGAUUCGCCUACCAGCGUGGCCUCGGGAUCUCAUGCGUCACGGGUGUCAACGGCUGGCUCCAACCGGCAGCAGAUGGCCCCACCAGAUCUGCCUCCUCUGCGCCUGCAUGCACGAGCCUUGGGCUCGGUGCCGCUACCCGCCACCGACCACACCUCGGGUCAUGCACCACCUGAUCCGGUCGCCUCUACCGACCGCGCAUCGGGACAGGGCGAACCUGGCGCUGUCUCCUCUCCGCCCGAUGCGUGCGCCAGCACUCGCCUGCCACCUUCUCCUCGGGAGUUGGAGUCGGAGGUGGCUCCCGCUUCCCCGACAUCCCCCGCGCCUGGUCGCCUGUCGGUUUCUAUCCUGCUGCAUGCGGCCGAUGCUGACGCUGCGACCAUGUCGUCGUCUGCGAUCUCCUUCGACGCCCCUCCUGCAAGCCAUCUUCGUCCACCACCGCCACCACCUCCUCCAACUCGCACACAUACGAGGUCAAAAAGUGGUAUCCUCAAACCUAAAGAGUAUAAAGAUGGUUGUAUCCGUUGGGGUUCUUUUUGUGCCACAGGUGAACCACAUAACUUGCAGGAGGCCCUGACUCAUCCUAAGUGGAAAGAUGCAAUGGAUGAAGAAUAUCGUGCACUUAUGGAUAACCGUAUUGGCACCUCGUGCCACCCCAGAAAGGUACAAAUAUUAUUGACUGCAAGUGGGUUUAUAAAGUAAAACGGAAAUCUGAUGGCAGCAUUGAUCGUUUUAAAGCACGUCUGGUAGCCAAAGGUUUUAAACAACGUUACGGUCUUGACUAUGAGGAUACUUUCAGCCCUGUUGUUAAAGCUGCUACUAUCAGAUUAAUUCUCUCUAUAGCUGUCUCCAGAAAUUGGUGCAUGCGGCAGUUGGACGUUAAGAACACGUUUUUACAUGAUGUUCUAGAAGAGGCUAUUUUCAUGAAACAACCACCUGGGUAUGUGGAUCACAUGUCACCUAACUUGGUCUGUAAGCUUGACAAAUCACUUUAUGGCUUGAAACAGGCACCUAGGGCAUGGUACUCUCGUUUAUCUAUCAAAUUGCAGUCUCUUGGUUUUGUACCUUCCAAGUGUGAUACGUCACUUUUUCUGUACUCUCGGGCUGGUGUCACUAUAUUUAUGCUCAUCUAUGUUGAUAAUAUCAUUGUUACUAGCUCCUCUCCUCAGGCAAUUGAAGCUCUCCUUAUUGAUCUUCGCAUGGACUUUGCUCUCAAAGAUUUGGGUCCUCUCCAUUAUUUCCUUAGAAUUGAGGUAACUACUAUUGGUAAUGACAUUAUUGUAUCUCAAGGAAAGUAUUUGCUUGAAGUACUUCAAUGAGUAGCCAUGCCAGGAUGUAAACCAGUUAGUACACCAUUGUCAACUCUGAGAAAUUGUCUUUAUUUGAUGGUCAUCCACUUGGAGAGGAGGAUUCCACUCAGUACAGAAGCAUUGUUGGUGCUCUCCAAUAUUUGACUUUAACUCGUCCUGAUAUCUCUUUUCAAGUUAACAAAGUUUGCCAGUUUUUACAUGCACCCACUUCCGCACAUUGGACUGUUGUAAAGCGCAUUCUUUGAUAUCUGCAAGGCACAUUAACUCAUGGACUUCGCAUUCGUAAGUCUGACUCUAUGUUGGUAAGUGCUUUCUCAGAUGCUGAUUGGGCAGGUUGUCCUGAUGACAGGAAAUCCACUGGAGGGCUUGCUGUUUUUGUUGGAGGUAACCUGGUAUCUUGGACUGCUCUUAAACAACCUACUGUCUCUCGUUCUAGUACUGAGGCAGUGUAGCGACCCGACUCAAAACGAGUCAAGCCUCUGUGUUUCUGUGCCAUCCCUGGAUCAGUAUGCUGGCACACACAGUACAUCAAUGUAUAUAUUAAAGUGCAAUCACAUGUAAAUAGCGUAAAACUGAUAUAUACCUUAAAUAUCUCAGCGGAAGCAGUCAAGGGAGUGGAGUCCCAAUAAACACCAACGACAAGUUGAGUGUAGACCGUAACCCUGAAUCGCACUCUUACUCGUCGAAGAAAAUAUCUGCAACAUAAGACGUUGCAGCCGUGUAGGUCAGCAUAUUGAAUAUGCCGGCAAGUCACAUAAGAGAGGGGUGAAAAGCAAUCAUCUAUACUAUAUGCAUAUAUGGCAGGUGGGGCUAUAAGUUUUUAGCGAAAAGCAAGUUUUCUCCUACAUCAAGAGAGGGCUAAAAGCAAAAUGUUACUACGUAGUUGGUUGUUAAUGAGAUGGUUCCGCCAACCAGUUCUCAUACCCGAGUUAUCAAUAUUACCCUCAUCAAAUAUAUAUAAUGGUGUUGAGAAUUUCAGAUAACUUCAGUUCCUUUGGCUCAAGUUGUCCAUGACCGUGGACACGGCUAAUCGAUUAGGUUUGAGUACUCUGCAGAGUUUUGCACACGUUCCCCACAAGAUUUGAUCACCUCCGUGUAUGUCCUCGCACUUCAGGGUGUUUGAAGACCGGAUGAUCAAAACAUGGUCUUUCAACGGUUCCCUCUGAAUCCCUGUCGGUGCCCAUCCAAUCCUACCGUUCUUCUACAUCUGCUAGCACCGCCUGUCCAGAGUCGCCGCGUUGUCCAACCAAGCCAGAGCCCAUAAUGACUUGUGGCUGUGCAGGUAAGCCUUGGGUCUUGAAAAUAUCCGUCCGUCUCUUUGAGNNNNNNNNNNNNNNNNNNNNNNNNNNNNNNNNNNNNNNNNNNNNNNNNNNNNNNNNNNNNNNNNNNNNNNNNNNNNNNNNNNNNNNNNNNNNNNNNNNNNNNNNNNNNNNNNNNNNNNNNNNNNNNNNNNNNNNNNNNNNNNNNNNNNNNNNNNNNNNNNNNNNNNNNNNNNNNNNNNNNNNNNNNNNNNNNNNNNNNNNNNNNNNNNNNNNNNNNNNNNNNNNNNNNNNNNNNNNNNNNNNNNNNNNNNNNNNNNNNNNNNNNNNNNNNNNNNNNNNNNNNNNNNNNNNNNNNNNNNNNNNNNNNNNNNNNNNNNNNNNNNNNNNNNNNNNNNNNNNNNNNNNNNNNNNNNNNNNNNNNNNNNNNNNNNNNNNNNNNNNNNNNNNNNNNNNNNNNNNNNNNNNNNNNNNNNNNNNNNNNNNNNNUUGUCGUCCCGGGGCCAAGUAUCGGGGUUGUUGUGUGCCUACCACAUGAUACUACAAUCUAUACCACAAUUUCCAAGUACCUAAGCAGCAUGCAAUUGGGCAUAGGAUGGUAGAACUACGAUGCAUAAAACAUAGGUGAUAGUAUGAUCAAAGUGACUUGCCUGGUAUUACUUGAUGAAGAUAGUCGCUCUCAAAAUCCUGAUAAUUCUACUCGCCACACUCCGAGCAAUCUAUCGUAAACAAAUAGCAUUCAAUAAACAUUCAUGCCAAAAAGGAAGAACCAAGAGAACAUAAGAACAAAACAUGUCUUUGUGCAAAAUAACAACAAACUAAGGUUUAAUAAAAAAAUAGGUUCUAAGUGUGUUGUAAAGUGAAGGUGCAUGAAUGAGAUCAAAAGAGGUAAUGGACGAUGAACUAUUGCUAAAUAAGCUCGACUUGCAUACACUGUGGGAGAUGAUCAAAAAUAUUGGGAGAACAACACGAAUGUUGUUUGACAAAUAGUAUAAGACAUAAGAAUUUAUUUGUAGAAAGAAUUUCUUGAAAUGGAGCACUACAACGCAAGUUAUAGCGAAUUGAAGUAUGAAUUGAAUUUGCAUUCAAAAGGUCAAGAGAAGUUGAACUGAAGUACGAUGGUUACGUACAAAAAUAUAUGACAUGAGUGUUUAGGGGUAAAAGGAAUCAAUUGAAAAGGUGGUACGAUUUGCAAGAUAAGAUCAAAUGAAUGUUCGAAUACAAAUUUGAAUCGCUCAAAUUUGUAAGGUUCAAAAGUCAAAACUAAUGAUGCUACUGGAUAUAGGAGAUCAAUAUGAGCGUGUAGAAAAAAGAAUUACUAGAUUUGAAAUAGCGGAUCAAAAGAUACAAAUACGUCAAUAUAACAUUGAAUCGGCUUAGAACGAUGUGAACACUUUUUGGCACUGAUAGAUAAAUCUGAUUUGAUCAAAAUUAUAAGUUGAAAAGUUAAAACUAAUGAUACAAACGGAAAGAUUACUUUGAUACGUAUCCGACGCAAUUGAAUUCAUCUAAAACGGAGCUACGGAUAAAAAGAUAUGAUCAAAAGAAGUUUGAAUAUGAAUAUGAACAAAUUUCGAAAUUUGAAAAUUUCAAAAAAGUUGAUAUGAUAGGUCAUCGGAUAGGUGGGAUCAAGACGAAACUCUAGGCGUUGGUUUCAUCUAAUUCGGAUAAACGAGUAAAAAGUUAUGGCUAUUUGAAAAAUCAAGGCCAAGCUGUUUUACAGAAGAAAAGUGCUAUGUCUAAAAGAAUUCUAGUACUAAUGUGUAAAUACGAAGACUAAAUAAUAUAUCUAAUUACUCUACCGUAUACUAGUGUAGGAAUACUAGUCUAGAAAUAAUAAACUACGGGAGUAUAAAAAAAAUACGAAGAGAAAUACCUUUAGAAUGCAGAGUAAGAAUUAAUUCCAAUGAGGAGACGACUUCGAGAAAUCCCGCCGAAGAGAAGAAAAAAUAUUUUUAUUUAAUAAAUCUAGUUAAACCAAAAGAUUGAUUUAACCCGAAAUAGAUGAUUUUUGGAUGCUCCUAUGGGUCUAUAUUUAUAGGUGGAAAGAAGGUUUAAUGGUCCAUAGAUAGGCGAUGUGGGACUAAACAUAUACGUAACGUGGAGAUAAAAGAAACAAAGCCUCUCAUGGGCCAGGUAAAGGUUCGGCCGGCUGCAAGAGGCGAUUCUUGCGAGCCGUGCCUUUUUUUUUGAACAAUGUUUUUUUCUUUUUUUUUUAAAAAGUGAAGAAAACGUAAAAAACGAAAAUAGAGAGAACAUUUUAUAUAGGUAUAUUAUAUAUCAAAAUUUUCAGAAUAAAAUUUCGUACAACAUGAACAUUUUAUUUUUCACAAAAUAAAAACUUUAUAAAAUUUUGUUUUUUAAAAAAUUCAAUAAAAUCCAAAUUUUGUCUUUAAAUUUUUGGCACUAUUUUUCUUCUGACUUUUCUUUUUUUUGGAGGGUGUCAUGUUACCUUCUCUCUUUCUUGCUUGGCAAGUAUAUUGUCAGGAAAAAAAAUUGUGGUUGAAAUAUUGUGCCAAAAAUAAAAUUGAAAUCAAAAACCAAAGGAAAAAAAAAUCAAAUGCCACAUUCAUUCAAAUUCUUUAUAGUUGAAGAAGUCAUGUUAUCUUCUCUCACUGAUUUUAAAUGGAUGAAUUUGAAUUCAAAAGAAAAAUGGGAAAGUCAUUUUAUUCCCUNNNNNNNNNNNNNNNNNNNNNNNNNNNNNNNNNNNNNNNNNNNNNNNNNNNNNNNNNNNNNNNNNNNNNNNNNNNNNNNNNNNNNNNNNNNNNNNNNNNNNNNNNNNNNNNNNNNNNNNNNNNNNNNNNNNNNNNNNNNNNNNNNNNNNNNNNNNNNNNNNNNNNNNNNNNNNNNNNNNNNNNNNNNNNNNNNNNNNNNNNNNNNNNNNNNNNNNNNNNNNNNNNNNNNNNNNNNNNNNNNNNNNNNNNNNNNNNNNNNNNNNNNNNNNNNNNNNNNNNNNNNNNNNNNNNNNNNNNNNNNNNNNNNNNNNNNNNNNNNNNNNNNNNNNNNNNNNNNNNNNNNNNNNNNNNNNNNNNNNNNNNNNNNNNNNNNNNNNNNNNNNNNNNNNNNNNNNNNNNNNNNNNNNNNNNNNNNNNNNNNNNNNNNNNNNNNNNNNNNNNNNNNNNNNNNNNNNNNNNNNNNNNNNNNNNNNNNNNNNNNNNNNNNNNNNNNNNNNNNNNNNNNNNNNNNNNNNNNNNNNNNNAAAGUCAUUUUAUUCCCUCUCAUUCAAAAGUUUUAAAUUUUUUCAAAUUCCACUCAAGUUUCAAUCACUCAAACAAACAAACUCUCAAUCUAAUAAUUAUAUUAACAUUCCAAAAUUUAUAAUUUUGGGAUGUUACAAGCUGAGUAUAAAGCCCUUGCUAAUGCCACUGAUGAGAUUAUUUGGGUACAAAAUCUGCUUACUGAAUUGGGUAUUCGUCAUCCUCCAUCAGCAUCUCUUUGGUGUGAUAAUUUAGGUGCCACUUAUCUGUCUGCUAAUCCUAUCUUCCAUGCUCGCACCAAGCACAUUGAAAUUGACUAUCACUUUGUGCAUGAAUGAGUUGCUCAGAAACUCUUAAAUAUUCGUUUCAUUCCUACUGGUGAUCAAGUGGCGGAUGGCUUCACUAAACCCCUCACAACUCGGCAUUUAGAAGUUUUUCGUCGCAAUCUCAACUUAGAUAAGUUGUGAUUGAGGGGGGAUGUUAGACAAUGUAAUUAUGGGUGAGUGUGUUUAAACUUGUAGGGAUAGAACGUUGGGAUUGAUCUUUGUAGUUAUUAUUCUCUUGUAGAUAAAGAUCAAUCCUAACAUCUUUCUAUCUCAUGUAAUCCUUGUGUAUUCGGUUGGCCUUUGAGCCUAUAUAACACGCAGUUGUCCCUGCCGACAAGGCAUACAAUUCUACCCCAUCUCUUCUCACACAUCGGGAGGGGUGUCACACCCCGGGAGGGGUGUCACACCCCAAGGGGCCUCAUGGGAUGUGGGAAGAGAUAAACCAGCCCCUAGUGGGCUGGAAUAAGUUCCCACUAAGGCCCAUGAGGUUUGAGAAGGAAAAAAACAAGGUGGAAAGAGUUUCCAAGUGGGAAGGAGGAAUCGUACUCCAAAUAGGAUUGGAGUAGGACUCCUCCUCCUCUCCCUUGUGCAAGGGAAGAGAAGGCUGCCCUAGGGCGCGCCCUCUCCCUCCUCUCCUCCUAUUCACACUAAGGGUUUUGAGGGUUUUUGGACAACAGAAAACAGCCAUGUGCUGCCCUCUCUCUCUAGAUCUAUUUCUCCUCUAGUUUCAGCGAUGCUUAGGCGAAUCCCUGCCGGAAUAGCACCACCACCACCACGCCGCCGUGCUGGAGAACUCAUCUACCUCUCUGGCCCCUCUUGCUGGAUCAAGAAGGUGGAGAUCGUCAUCGAGCUGUACGUGUGCGGAACGCGGAGGUGCCGUCCGUUCGACACUUGAUCGGGACGGAUCGUGGGACGAAUCGUGAGACGGUUCAUGGAACGGAUCGUGGGACGGUUCGUGGGACUCAUCAUGAAGACAUACCACUACAUCAACCGCGUUUAUUAACGCUUUCUCUUAGCGAUCUACAAGGGUAUGUAGAUUCACUCUCCCUCUCAUAGAUGAUCAUCCCCAUGGAUAGGUAUUGCGUGUGCGUAGGAAUUUUUUUGUUUCCCAUGCUACGUUCCCCAACAGUGGCAUCAUGAGCCAGGUUCAUGCAUAGAUGUAAUCUUGAGUAUUGUUAGAUUGAAGCGGCCCGGACCAACCUUACUCGUACGCUUACGAGAGACCGGUUUCAUCGACUAACAUGCAACUUGUUGCAUAAAGAUAACUGGCGGGUGUCUGUUUCUUCAACUUUAGUUGAAUCGGAUUUGACCAAGGCGGUCCUUGGAGAGAGGUUAAAUAGCAAUUUGCACAUCACCGUUGUUGUUUUGCGUAAGUAAGAUGUGAUCAUACUAGAUACCCAUAGCAUCCACGUAAAACAUGCAACAACAAAUUAGAGGACAUCUAACUUGUUUUUGCAGGGUAUGCAUGUGAUGUGAUAUGGCCAAAGACAUGAUGUGAUAUAUUGGAUGUAUGAGAUGAUCAUGUUGUAGUAGUUAAAUAUCGACAUGCACAUCGAUGCUACGGCAACCGGCAUGAUCCAUAGGGUUGUCUUUAAACUAACGUUUGUGCUUGCAGAUGCGUUUACUAUAUUGCUAGGUUGUAGCUUUAGUAGUGAUAGAAUUGAUAGCACGACAACCUCGAUGGCGGCAUGAUGAUGGAGAUCAUGGUGUGGCGCCAGUGACGAUGAAGAUCAUGCCGGUGCUUUGGUGAUGGAGAUCAAGAAGCACAAGAUCAUGGCCAUAUCAUGUCACUUAUGAAUUGCAUGUGAUGUUAAUCCUUUUAUGCACCUUAUCUUGCUUAGAACGACGGUAGCAUUAUAAGGUGAUCCCUCACUUAAAUUUCAAGAUAAAUUUGUGUUCUCCCCGACUGUGCACCGUUGCAACAGUUCGUCGUUUCGAGACACCACGUGAUGAUCGGGUGUGAUAGACUCAAGGUUCACAUACAACGGAUGCAAAACAGUUGAACACGCGGAACACUCGGGUUAAACUUGACGAGCCUAGCAUGUACAUACAUGGCCUCGGAACUCAAGAGACCAAAAGGUCGAGCAUGAAUCAUAUAGUUGAUAUGAUCAACAUGGAGAUGUUCACUACUGAAACUAUACGCAACUCACGUGAUGAUCGGACUUGAGUUAGUGGAUUUGGAUCAUGCACCACUCAAAUGACUAUAGGGAUGUCUAUUUUGAGUGGGAGUUAUUAGUAAUAUGAUUAGCUAAACUCAAUUAUCAUGAACAUAGUCAAAAAGGUCUUUGCAAAUUAUGUUGCAGCUUGCGUUGUAGCUCUACUAUUUUUAUAUGUUCCUAGAGAAAAUUUAGUUGAAAGAUGAUAGUAGCAAUUUUGCGGACUGACUCCGUAAACUGAGGAUUGUCCUCAUUGCUGCGUAGAAAGCUUAUGUCCUUAAUGCACCGCUCGGUGUGCUGAACCUCGAGCGUCAUCUAUGGAUGUUGCAAACAUCUGACAUACACGUUUCUGAUGACUACAUGAUAGUUGAGUGCGUAAUGCUUAACGACUUAGAAUUGGGGCGUCGAAGACGUUUUCAAACAUCACGGAACAUAUGAGAUGUUCCAAGAGAUGAAAUUGGGAUUUCAUGCUCGUGCCCUUGUUAAGAGGUAUGAGACCUCCGACAAGAUUCGUUGUCUACAAAGUAAGGGAGAAAAGCUCAAUCGUUGAGCAUGUGCUCAGAUUGUCUGAGUGCUACAAUCGCUUGAAUCGAGUGGGAGUUGAUCUUCCAGAUGAGAUAGUGAUGGUUCUCCAAAGUCACUGCCACCAAGCUACUAGAGCUUCGUGAUGAACUAUAACAUAUCAAAGAUACAUAUGAUGAUCCUUAAGCUAUUCACGAUGUUUGACAUUGCGAAAGUAGAAAUCAAAUAGGAGCAUCAAUUGUUGAUGGUUAGUAAAACCACUAGUUUCAAGAAGGGCAAGGGCAAGAAGGGAUACUUCAUGGAACAACAAACCAGUUGUUGCUCUAGUGAAGAGACGCAAGGUUGAACCCAAGCCCAAGACUAAGUGCUUCUGUAAUGAGGGGAACAGUCACUAAAGCGGAGCUACCCUAGAUACUUGGUAGAUGAGAAGUCUGGCAAAGUCGGCAUAAGUAUAUUUGAUAUACAUGAUAUUGAUGUGUACUUUACUAGUACUCCUAGUAACACGAGGGUAUUAGAUACCGGUUUAGUUGCUAAGUGUUAGUAACUCGAAAUAAAAGCUACGUAAUAAACGGAGACUAGCUAAAGGCGAGGUGACAAUAUGUGUUGGAAGUGUUUCCAAGGUUGAUGUGAUCAAACAUCGCACGCUCCCUCUACCAUCGGGAUUGGUGUUAAACCUAAAUAAUUGUUAUUUGGUGUUUGCGUUGAGCAUGAACGUGAUUGGAUCGUGUUUAUUGCAAUACGAUUAUUCAUUUAAAGAGAAUAAUGGUUAUUCUAUUUGCUUGAAUAAAUACCUUCAAUGGUUUAUUGAAUCUCGAUUGUAGUGAUACACAUGUUCAUAAUAUCGAUGCCAAAAGAUACAAAGUAGUAAUGAUAGUACCACUUACUUGUGGCACUGCCACUUGAGUCAUGUUGGUAUAAAAUGCAUGAAGAAGCUCCAUGUUGAUGGAUCUUUGCACUCACUCAUUUUUGAAACGUUUGAAGACAUGCAAACCAUACCUAUUGGUAUAAACGCAUGAAGAAACUCCAUGCAGAUGGAUCGUCUGGACUCACUUGAUUUUGAAUCACUUGGGACAUGCAAAUCAUACCACAUGGGCAAGAUGACUGAAGGCCUAGUUUCUAGUGAGAUGGAACAAGAAAGUAACUUGUUGGAAGUAAUACAUUUUUGAUGUAUGCACUCCAAUGAGUGCUGAGGCACGCAGUGGAUAUCGUUAUGUUCUUACUUCAUAGACGAUUUGAGUAGAUACAUGAGUAUUUACUUGAUGAAUCACAAGUCUGAAAUAUUGAAAAGUUCAAAGCUAUUUCAGAGUGAAGAUCGUCGUGACAAGAGGAUAAACUGUCUAUGAUAUGAUCAUAGAGAUGAAUAUCUGAGUUGCGAGUUUUGGUACACAGUUAAGACAAUGUGGAAAUUGUUUCGCAAUUCAUGCCACCUAGAACACCAUAGUAUGAUGGUGUGUCCGAACGUCAUAGCCGCGCCCUAUUUGAUAUGGUGCACACUAUGAUGUCUCUUACCGAAUUACCACUAUCAUUUAUGGGUUAUGCAUUAGAGACAACCACAUUCACUUUAAAUAGGGCACCACGUAUUUUCAUUGAGAUGAAACCGUAUGAACUAUGGUUUGGAUAAACCUAAGUUGUCGUUUCUUAAAAGUUUGGGGCUGCGAUGCUUAUGUAUAAAAGUUUAAGCAUGAUAAGCUCGAACCCAAAGCGGAUAAAUGCAUCUUCAUAGGACACCCAAAACAGUUGGAUAUACCUCCUAUCUCAGAUGCGGAAGCAAAGUAUUUAUUUCUAGAAACGAGUCCUUUCUCAGGAAAAGUUUCUCCCGAAAGAAUUGAGUGGGAGGGUGGUGGAACUUGAUGAGGUUAUUGAACCGUCACUUCAACCAGUGUGUAGCAGGGCGCAGGAAGUUGUUCCUAUGGCGCCUACACCAGUUGAAUUGGAAACUGAUGAUAGUGAUCAUUAAGCUGCGGAUCAAGCUACUACAAACCUCGUAGGCCGACAAGGCCGCGUACUGCUACAGAGUGGUACGCUAAACCUGUCUUGGAGGCCAUGUUGUUGAACAACAAUGAACCUACGAGCUAUGGAGAAGCGAUGGUGGGCUCGAAUUCUGAUAAAUGGCUGGAGGCCAUGAAAUCCGAGAGAGGAUCCAUGUAUGAAAACAAAUUGUAGACUUUGGAAGAACUACUUGAUGGUCGUAAGAUCAUUAAGUACAUAUGGAUCUUUAAAAGGAAGACAGACGAUGAUGGUGAAAAGUCACCGUUAAGAAAAGCUCGACUUAUCGCAAAGAUGUUUCCGACAAGUUCAAAGAGUGGACUAUGAUGAGACUUCCUCACUCGUAGCGAUGCUAAAAGUCUGUUGGAAUUAUGUUAUCAGUUCCUGCAUUAUUUAUGAAAUAUUGCACAUAGGAUGUCAAAACAUUGUUUCCUCGACGAUUUCUUUGAGGAAAGGUUGUAUGUGAUACAACCAGAAGGUUUUGUCGAUCCUAAGGAUGCUAACAAGUAUGCAAGCUCCAUCGAUCCUUCUAUGGAAUGGUGAAAGCAUCUCGAAGUUGGAAUAUACGCUUUGAUGAGAUGAUCAAAGCUUUUGGGUUUAUACAAGGUUUAUGAGAAACUUGUAUUUCCAAAGAAGUGAGUGGGAGCACUAUAGAAUUUCUGAUAAGUAUAUGUGGUUGACAUAUUGUUGAUCGGAAGUAAUGUAGAAUUUCUGGAAAGCAUGAAGGGUUGUUUGAAAGGAGGUUUUCAAAGGAAAACAUGGAUAUAUCUACUUGACCAUCGAGCAUCAAGAUCUAUAGAGGUAGAUCAAAAUGCUAAACAGAACUUUCAAUGAAAUGCAUGCCUUGACAAGUUUUUGAAGGAGUUCAAAAUAGAUCGGCAAAGAAGGAGUUCUUGGUUGUGUUGUAAGGUGUGAAUUUGAGUAAGACUCAAAGCCCGACCACGGCAGAAGAAAUAGAAAGGACGAAGGUCGUCCCCUAUGCAUUAGCCGUAGGCUCUAUAGAAUGAUAUAUUGUGUACCGCACCUGAUGUGUGCCUUGCCAUGAAUCUGUCAAGGGGUACAAAGAGUGAUCCAGGAUUGAAUCACUCAACAACAGUCAAAGUUAUCCUUAGUAACUAAUGAACAUCCAUUCUGCACCACAUGAGGCCUAUGAAGUGUGUGGCUUUCGAAUGCGCUUAGGCAUUUCUAUGGCUGACAAGUGCUUGUUAUAUGUUAAUCUUAUCUUUUUUACUAUUGCAGGUCCAUAUUUGAUUGCACAAUUUUAUUGAUACAUAUGGAUGUUUAGUACCACAUUUGAUUUCACUUUAAUAGGAUGUUUAGUGCACCACAUGAGCCAACAUUUUCAGUAACUGAAUUUGUUCUUCAUAUUUUAGUAAGUGAAUCUCUUUAGUGCACCACAGAGGCAACAUUUUCAGUUAACUGAAUUUGUUCUUCAUAUUUGCUGCAAAUCUUUCAAUAGGCAUAUGGAAGUGUAAUGAGUUAUCAUAUUUCAGUUAUCUUGACCAUUUCUAGUUUACAAACUUUACCAUGCUAGUGUAAUAAGUUUAUAAAUUCAUAAUUGUCAAAUGCAUGAAAAUGGUGUGAAUUGUGGGAUUGCAUAGUGGCUUGACAAGGCUUGGCCUCAUGUUCUUCAGAGAUGUUUGUUCAAGCUAUGGGAAAUGUUCCAUGAGCAGAACCAUGGAAGGGUACUUGACAUGCAGAAGCUUGAGGAGCGGUUGGCCAAGCUUAAGGCUGGGAAUGUCAAGCUUUGCAUUGAGUACAACAAUCUUGUUAAAGAUGUUUGAUUGGCGGGAUGAGAGCGUGGGAAAAAUGGAUUACAAGAAGGCAGUGGAGGAGGAAGAGUUUGAGAAGAAGAAUAAGGAGCUAGAGGAGAAAGCUAGGUUGGAGGUGCACAUGGGAAAGCUAAAACUUGCUUAGGAGCAAAGGUACAUUUUGCAAACCUAAGUUGACAUUAUCCAAAACACCAGGAAGGCUAUGAAGGAAGUUGAAGUGUNAGUCCAUCCUUGAGUCUUUAAGUGAUGGUUAUGGUGCUAAUGUGUUGGAAAUAUGCCCUAGAGGCAAUAAUAAAUUAGUUAUUAUUAUAUUUCUUUGUUCGUGAUAAUCGUUUAUUAUCCAUGCUAUAAUUGUAUUGAUUGGAAACACAAAUACAUGUGUGGAUACAUAGAAAAAACACAGUCCCUAGUAAGUCUCUAGUUGACUAGCUUGCCGAUCAAAGAUGGUUAAGGUUUCCUAACCAUAGACAAGUGUUGUCACUUGAUGACGGGAUCACAUCAUUAGGAGAAUGAUGUGAUGGACAAAGACCCAAACUAUAAACGUAGCGUAUGAUCGUGUCAGUUUAUUGCUAUUGUUUUCUACAUGUCAAUGUAUGUGUUCCUAUGACCAUGAGAUCAUGCAACUCCCGGACACUAGAGGAAUACCUUGUGGGUUAUCAAACAUCCCAACGUAACUGGGUGACUAUAAAGGUGCUCUAUAGGUAUCUCCAAAGGUGUUUGUUGGGUUGGCAUAGAUCAAGACUGGGAUUUGUCACUCCGUGUAAGGGAGAGGUAUCUCGGGGCCCACUCGGUAAUACAACAUCACAAUAAGUCUUGCAAGAAAUGUGACUAAGUAGCUAGUUACUGGAUCUUGUAUUACGGAACGAGUAAAGAGACUUGCCGGUAACGAUAUUGAACUAGGUAUGGAGAUACCGACGAUCGAGUCUCGGGCAAGUAACAUACCGAAGGACAAAGGGAAUAGUAUACGGGAUUAUAUGAAUCCUUGAUAUAGAGCUUCAACCGAUAGAGAUCUUCGUAGAAUAUGUAGGAUCCAAUAUGGACAUCGAGGUCCCGCUGUUGGUUAUUGACCGGAGAGUGUCUCAGGUCAUGUCUGCAUAGUUCUUGAACCCGCAGGGUCUGCACACUUAAGGUUCGGUGACGUUUCGGUAUAGUUGAGUUAUAUGUGUUGGUGACUGAAGGUUGUUAGGAGUACUGGAUGAUAUCCCGGACGUCGUGAGGGUUUCCAGAAUGGUCCGGAAAUGAGGAAUGAUAUAUAGGAAGUCCUGUUUUGGUCACCGGAAAAGUUUCGGGCUCAUCGGUAGUGUACCGGGAGUGCCAGGAGGGGUGCCGGGGACCAUCGGGAGGGGUGUCACGCCCAAGGGGCCUCAUGGACUGUGGGAAGAGAUAAAUCAGCCCCUAGUGGGCUGGAAUAAGUUCCCACUAAGGCCCAUAAGUUUGAGAAGGAAAAAAACAAGGUGGAAAGAGUUUCCAAGUGGGAAGGAGGAAUCGUACUCCAAAUAGGAUUGGAGUAGGACUCCUCCUCCUCUCCCUUGCGCAAGGGAAGAGAAGGCUGCCCUAGGGCGCAGACCUCUCCCUCCUCUCCUCCUAUAUAUACUAAGGGUUUUGAGGGGUUUUGGACAACAGAAAACAGCCAUGUGCUGCCCUCUCUCUCUAGAUCUGUUUCUCCUCUAGUUUCAGCGAUGCUUAGGCGAAGCCCUGCUGGAAUAGCACCACCACCACCACCACCAUGCCGCCAUGCUGGAGAACUCAUCUACCUCUCUGCCCCCUCUUGCUGGAUCAAGAAGGUGGAGAUCGCCAUCGAGAUGUACGUGUGCGGGACGUGGAGGUGUCGUCCGUUCGGCACUUGAUCGGGACGAAUCGUGGGACGGAUCGUGAGACGGUUCAUGGGACGGAUCUUGGGACGGUUCGUGUGACUCAUCGUGAUGACGUACCACUACAUCAACCGCGCUUAUUAACGCUUCCGCUUAGCGAUCUACAAGGGUAUGUAGAUUCACUCUCCCCUCUCGUAGAUGAUCAUCACCAUGGAUAGGUAUUGCAUGUGCGUAGGAUUUUUUUGUUUCCCAUGCUACGUUCCCCAACAUAAUGUACAUCCGAGACAUGUAUAAGCAUGUGGCUUAAUUGUGUGAAGUGAAGAUAUGGGUGUACAUUUUGGGGCAAUGUGAAGUCUAGGAUCUAAUUUGAACUCUAGUAGCUUAUGUAUGUAUGAACCAUAUUUGCUAUGUUCCUAAGUUUGUUGUAAUGGAUCUUCUAUGCUAUGUUCUUAAGUAUGUUGUAAUGCAUCUUUCAUGUUGUGUCUAUCUAUUUUCUGUCAUCACACCUUGUGACAUAUUGUUCUUAAUUGUGCUUUAUUGGCCCUACUCUUCCUUCUAGAAGGGAACCUUAGAACUUCUUCUUCAUUAGUAAGGCCUAAAUCACCUACAAAGCAGUAUUUAUGAGGUUGAGGCACAUAAUCUGCAAAGUUGGUGUGCUCAGGAUCACUAUGUGACUUGCUAGUUGGCCCUGGUUUUCUCACGGGUUUAAUCUUCUUUGUUCCUUUCUGAGGUAAAACUAAAGGUUCCUCCGCUUCCUCCUCGGAAAGGAUUUUACGUUCCUCCCAAAGCUCAGAAGUUUUUGAGUUAGCUCUACAAUAGUGAUCUCUUGUAUCUUCCUCUUCCCUCUGCUUCUGGCUUGUCCCUGUGCCAGCCUCAUCUUCACCACUAGCCCAAGCCUUGUAUGAUAUAUUCUGCCCUCUAUGAUCAUCCCUGAAAAACUCAAAGUCUGAAGAGGAUUUGUCCAUCUCAUCAUCAUCUUCAUCUUCUUCUUCUUCCACACCAUUUUUCCUUGUUGAAAUUGCAACUUUGCCUGUGUUAAGAUAGGGCUCAUCAGAGUUUACUGGUGGCAAAGUUGAAUCAGAGGCUGGAUAGAGGACACCUUCUUGGGAAACCUUGUGAAUAACUAGCUCACCGGCAUUAUUAAUAGGAAUUUGUUCCUCAAGGAAGAUGUGAUCCAUAUUAACAUCUGUUGGGCUAGGAUCAGUAGCUUUUCUGAGAGAGAUAUUGAGGAUCUUCUUAUCAACAAAUAGGUCAAACAUUUCCUCUACUUUCUCCUCACUAUCCAGGACCUCCACCCCCUCCAAGCCCUUCCCCUCUUCCUUUACAUAAGUGAGAAAAACAUCCAUUCCAUAAACCUCCAACUCAACCAAUGCCAUAUGGUCAGAUAACUAAUAUCUGAAGAAAUUGAAUAGUUUCUCUCCAUAUUAUCCAUUCCUUAAAAAUGUAGCCUCCUGUCCCAAAUUUCAUCAUCUAAGUUGUAGGAGAUUAAAUUGAAAAAAGAAGCAGAUUAAUUAUAAAGCACUAAAACUCUAUAACAACUGCUUACUGUAAGUUAAAACACUCACCAAAUGCACUCAACAUGGCUAUAAAAGGUACUAAUUACAGUGACAUAACCCAAAAUAUGCACUCCCAUGGCAACAAACAAUUACACUGCUCAUUUGCAAUAUUGCACUAACUUCUAACCCUGAUUACAGUACUUGUUUUCUAAUAAGUAAGUGUCUUCUAACGCUAAUUUCAAAAUUUAAACUUAAACUGUGAAUGCUACUGAAAUUACUUACCUCACUCCACCAAACGAUGACGUCCACCUGUGGCUGCUCUUUGGAUCUGCGUGAAUGCACUUCGACACUACACUCGCCGUACGGAAUGCCAGAUCUAGCUGGACCUCUCACGGUGACGGCUGGGGCGACCGCUGAGUUGGAAAACUCGAGUCGCCCAACCAUUUGUCAACCUCUUCAUGCCCAUCACCCUCAUCGCCGGUGCCGCCUUGGCCCAGAGGCUCGCCGCCUAUGACGUUUGGUUGGGCCGCCGUCGUCGCACCUAAGUCAAAGAGCGGGAGCUGGGGUGAAGAAGGGAAGGGGAGAGUGAGACAAAGGGCGGCCCAACCAGCUUCUUUGGUUCCAACCGCACCGGUCGGCGUAACGGUUGUUCACGACCGCGCCGUGAGCGUGAUGGGCCACGUGGCGUGAGUGGUGGGCUCAUUUGGUCAGAAAACGGAUUAAAAUGCUUGUGCCGAGAGUUUGGUUUUUUUUUAAACAGCCCAUCCCCGACUUGAUACUUAUGAGUGAAAACAUGAUAAUUUUUCAAAACGAUUUAUAAUACUCCAGGUUUAUGCUAUUUACUCCCGUUAGGAUGCUACCUCCAAAAGUGAGUCAAGAAACACCAUACUUUGUUUAGGAAUUUUCCAAACCCAUGUACAUACAUGUUCGUAUGGUUACAUGGAAUGGAUAGCUGGUAGGCGCAUGCGGCAUCCGCAUGCCGAUGGUCGAUAGAGAAGAGAGGAGCAAACGGAGGGAAGGCACGGCCUCUUGCUAUUAUUACACAGAGCUGAGAAGUCGAAGGCGAGUGACAGCCACCCAUGAAUGCGCGCCCUGGCCGCGGCGCGCGGGGGCUCCUCCGUUGACCGCCUCGGUAUUAAGCGCGAGCCGGACGUGUCACAGCACCGCAAGGCCUUGCUGCACGCACGCACGCACGCACGCACCUUGCUUGGAUCCAUCCAUGGACGCCUGUCGCCUGGUCCUAGUUCUCGGCCUCCUCGCGGCCGUGGCGCCGCUGGCCUUCGCCGAGCUCUCCGCCGACUUCUACAAGGACUCCUGCCCGGAUGCCGAGAAGAUCAUCGCCACCGUCAUCGAGAAGAACCUCAAGGCGGACCCCGGCACCACCGCCGGCCUCCUCCGCCUCCUCUUCCACGACUGCUUCGCCAAUGUACGCAUGCAUCCUCACUUGGUUCUUGAUUAGGAUCCGAUCCCAUCAAUGGAGAGAAAAUGUGAUCGAGUUGCUCUGCCUCUGCUUGCAUGCAUGAAUGCAUGGAUGGAUAUGUUAGGGGUGCGACGCGUCCAUCCUCAUCGACCCGCUGUCCAACCAAAGCUCGGAGAAGGAGGCCGGUCCCAACAUCUCGGUGCGCGGCUUCGAGAUCAUCGACGAGGCCAAGAAGGAGCUGGAGGCCAAGUGCCCCAACGUGGUGUCCUGCGCCGACAUCAUCUCCCUCGGCACCCGCGACGCCGUGCGCCUCUCCGGUGGCCCGGACUACGCGGUCACAACCGGCCGCCGCGACUCGCUCGUCUCCAACCGCGAGGAGGCCGACGACAACCUGCCCGGCCCGGACAUCCCCGUGCCCAAGCUCAUAGCCGACUUCGUAAAGUCCGGCUUCACCGCCGAGGAGAUGGUGCUGCUGCUCGCUGGCGGCCACAGCAUCGGCAAGGUCAGGUGCAUCUUCAUCGAGCCAGACGCCACGCCCAUGGAGCCGGGCUACCACGCCAGCAUCAGCAAGCUCUGCGACGGGCCCAACCGGGAUACAGGCUUCGUCAACAUGGACCAGUCCAACCCCAACGUCGUUGACAACUCCUACUUCGCCAACGCCAUCGCCGAGAAGAUGCCGCUCACCAUCGACCGCCUCCUCGCCAUCGACUCCAAGACGGGGCCCAUGCUCAAGGACAUGCUCAACAAGCCCACAGACUUCCUGCCAGCAUUCGGCAAGGUCAUGGAGAAGCUCACCACGCUCAAGGUCAUCACCGGCAAGGACGGCGAGAUCAGGAAGACAUGCACCGAGUUCAAUAACCCCAUGACCUCCGACGGCCCCUCGGUCAUACGGAUCAGCUCCGUCGACCCCGAGGACCUGGAUGGCUUGUCGGCCGGCAACAAGCAGGAGCAGGUGUCAAGCAUCGUCUCGCAGGGGACAAAGGAAAAGGACGCACAGCAGGCGGUCCCCGACGACAAGGCGGCCGGUGCCACCAAAGCGCACCACAAGAAGGCUUCCGGCAGGCACAUCAAGCUCCGCGGCGCCAACCCCGAGUAGAAGCAGUGCGCGUGAGCGCGUCAGUAUACUGCUGCACCACGUACGUAAUUACGAGCUGUCGUCCCGUCCCCCGCACCGGCGACGCGCGUAGGCCUCCAUCAGCAGUCUCUCCAUCAAAUUCGUUAAUUGCAUUUCGAAAUAUUCUUCUUCUUCAUCUCAGUACCCUCUCCCUUGAUUGUAGAAGGAAUGAGCGACGUACUAUACUACGGCUAGUUAAUUAUAACUAAUAGGUUUGGUUCAACUUUUCUGUAACUAAUGUCGCGUCGAGUUUUAAACAGCGACCAAAGCACUCUGGUUUGUUUCAUUUUUUGUUGUAAUUGUUCUUCUGACCAGUUUCUUUCGCUGGGUGCCGAAUAAAAAUGUGCCUGUUUUGCUUUUGGCUUCCCUGUAUACAGACAGAGUCAUACUCCCUCCAUAAUGUAGUACGGUUUUUGACACUACUACAUUAUGGGACGGAGGGAGUACAUUGUAUUUGUUUUGAUAGAUGCACUAUACUUUGUGCAUUAGUCCUUUCAUCCCAUAAUUUAAGAGUAUUUUUUUACACUAGUUUAGUACUUCCUCCGUCACGGUUUAGAAGGCACGUUUGAAAAAACUCUCAAACCAAGAUAGUCGUCGAUUGGUUGUAAGAUGUAACAUGUGUAAAUGCUAAUGCGCCUAAUCAACUGAGAAAAUAAUAGUACUAAUGUGUGAGCAACAAAUUGGGAGGGCGCAUGCAUGAGUAGUACUAUUACUAAUUAAUAGAAGUAAUUGCUUUCGGGCCUUAAACCUUGUCUAUUUUAGAAAUGCACGUAAGUUUAAGUGUGUCUUCUAAACCGUGACGUAAGAAGUAUCAAUAAUGCUAUUUUAUUACGGAACGAAGGGAGUAUAAUUUUAAGACUAAAUGAUAAAUGUGACGUGCAUCACACGAAGCACUCUCAUCCUAACAAUUUUCACAACUAAAGUUAUCUUCUAAAAAGAAAAAGAAAAAUGCAAAAGAAAAAACUUGCCACCGAGAAGAAUGUUGACAUGCUUGAGAGUUAAAUUGUCACCAUUGCAUCACUAAACUAAAACCGGUCGGAGUUGUCAUGUGUUCGUACCAUAUGUGUGACAUUCAUAAGGGUCCUUUGAAAGUUAUAGGGUGUGAAGGUGAGCGGGUGCAUACUUUUUUUUCUAACACAGGACAAACGCAACGCCCAUACAUACGUGCACAUACUCAUUUCUUUAAACGCUUACACACAUCCUAUCUCUAUGAGCACCUUCAAAAGAUUGAACGACACAUCAUCUUGAAAUUGACAAAGUCUUCACAAACGCCUUUGUAGUAGACGAGAACGUCUUUUUUAUGAACAUGCAUCAUCGGAUGGACUACAAUAAAUCCAGAAAAAUGCAAGCACCAGUCUAGAAAUUGAACUCCACUGCGCUGAAGAUACCACUAUCAUCCAAACCAUCCAACCAUAGAUCGGUUGGCGCGGGUGAUAGAGAAUAUUUCUUCAUGUGUGGUUUUGGUAAUUCAUGACAAUCCCUAUGGUAUGGUAAACACACAAAGACUGAAUCAAGUUGAUCAACACAUAUAAUAUACAAGAUGUACCGAGAGGGAUCAAGUGAUCCCAUGGUAUGGUAAUCAUUGUUCAUUACGCUUUGUGUACUAACCCAUGGUCUACGUGAGAGUUCCAUGUGGGGAUAGAUAUGUUUCCAUGUGUUUGCGUCAAGGGGAAGAUCUCAUACAACCCAUAGAGGAUGACAUCAAAUGGUGAUUGUCAUCAAGAUUGCAGUGUGCAAGUUCAAGUGGAGCAUCACAAAGAGAUCCUCUCCCNNNNNNNNNNNNNNNNNNNNNNNNNNNNNNNNNNNNNNNNNNNNNNNNNNNNNNNNNNNNNNNNNNNNNNNNNNNNNNNNNNNNNNNNNNNNNNNNNNNNAAAGUCAUUUUAUUCCCUUUCAUUCAAAAGUUCUAAAAAGUUUCAAAUUCCACUGAAGUUUCAAUCACUCAAACAAACAAACUCUCAAUCUAAUAAUUCUAUUAACAUUCCAAAAUUUAUAUUUUUGGGAUGUUACAAACUACCACACUUAAAAUGAAUCUCGUCCUUGAGAUUCGAAGAGGCUAGAAAGAAAGGUUUAGAUUUUGGAGGUCUUCUAACAAAUCCAAUCUCCUGCAAAGUGGGGUGCUACCACACUUAAAAUGAGUGUUACUGGUCGCUCAAAUUUUUAACAAUCCUCUGGGGUCUUGGCAUCUCGCUUGUCACAUUCUUCAUGGUAACUUCUUUGGUGAAGUUCUUCCAUUAUAUUCAUAAUGUUUUCUAUCAAAAUCGAGUACUCUUCUGUUGAUAUAAGCCUCUUCCGUCACUGGGUCUUCUUAACUGACAAGUCUCGUGACCAUUCUAAAUAACCUAUCGAUGAUUCUCAUGGUGGUCUACCAUUUGUGGUUAUCCUGCAGAGAGAAGGGUCUUGGCUUCAUCCUCACCGUAAAAUUUCCUACGCGUGACAACAAGUGCCAUGUACAUGGGCUUUCAUUAUACCAUUCUAAGGCUUAAAAAAAGGCUUCAAAGAACGUCGUCUCUCACUGUGGGUAACUCUCUCAGAUUUACCUUUCCGAAUAGCAAGAGAAUGAUAAGAGUAAGUCAUCAUGGUGGCCAAGCCAUGUCGCACUGAAAUCAUUACCUUGUAUAAGGUUUAGUGAAUCUCGUAUACUAACACUUGUGCAUCCUCACAAGCGUUGCAGAGUUUCUCUUGUCCACGAACGAAGUUCGGAUAAACCAUUGGUUCUGCAAGUUGAACAAAACAUCUAUCGUUUCUUCACCUCUCUCAGGUUGUCGUAUGCUCCUAAGAAAACGUUUGCUGAUACAAGUUUCCUUCUCCAAAAAUAUAGUACUUGAUCCUUGUUAGUCCCGGGGUCUGUGGGUUUCAGGCAUACUUGGGGUAAAUGUGACACGCCGCUGGGUAGUGGGUGGUUCCUUCACAAAGGAAACAAGUCACCUGACUGCUUGGGCACUCCUCAGCUGGGUGAUUUUCUUCACAAUGAGUGCAUCCAUCCUUGUGUUCUUCCUGGGUGUGUCCUAUUUCUCCACAGAUCUUGCAUGCACAAGUCUUCUUCUUCGGAUUAUCAUAGCACUUCUGAAUAAGUCGGGAUCUUAAUAGAGUCUUCUUGAAUUCGUCCCAAGUUUUUGCUCCGCUAAAUCCUUGUAUGGCAUGAUGCAUUUUCCACCUGAUAGCAGCACUUUGGGUAAAGUACUAAAGAGCGUGUUCCACUUCAUACUUCCUUGAGAUCAAGUUGCUCCCGAAGUGGUUCUCCAUGGUUUGAAUCCAUAUAUCAGCCUCCAGCUGGGUCAUUGGUCCAGAGACUACAAGUCCAGCUUCAUACUCCAUCUGGUAGGAUUAAGGUUUUGGGGAUGAGACGGGUAAGAGAGGGAGGGAGAUACACACAAUACAAACAAUAUUUUUGAGAAUAGGUUUUAUUUGUGGCCGUCGGAAAACACACACCAAAGACGGCUCACAAAUCAUCGUAUCUAACGUGGGUAUAUUACAGGGGUUUGGACUUCUAAUGGUCAUAUAAAUAUUUGAACGCUUCAGGGUCUUCGAAUUCUUCGGGUCUUGAGAGUCUUCAAUUGGUGUAGCUUCAAUUGCAUGAUGAAAUCCUCUUUAUUUUGAAGUAGAACUCCGUUGAUUCUUCAUGAGGUCAAAGGGGUAAGGGUAUUGUCUAACUAUUGGAGGUGAGAGAGGACAUUUGAUGAAGUCAGAAGAGAUGAGAGGUAAAGAAUGUUCUUGGAAAUAAAAUUUUAGAGAGAUCCUUUCCUAAGAGAUUUCCAGUUUCUAGGGUUACGUCCUAUAGUCAACAUGUGCUCUGAUACCAUUUCUGUAGCGACCCGACUCAAAACGAGUCAAGCCUCUGUGUUUCUGUGCCAUCCCUGGAUCAGUAUGCUGGCACACACAGUACAUCAAUGUAUAUAUNNNNNNNNNNNNNNNNNNNNNNNNNNNNNNNNNNNNNNNNNNNNNNNNNNNNNNNNNNNNNNNNNNNNNNNNNNNNNNNNNNNNNNNNNNNNNNNNNNNNCGACGCUCUUCCGAUCUGGUGGGGGGUGGGGAAAGGGCGCUGACUGAAAUGUCCGCCCCGCCAACCGCUUUCCUGGGAUACAAGGCACCGUAUAGGCGAGGUGAAAACCUGUGUUUUCACGGGUCGGGGAGAGGAUUUUGCCGCGCCCUUCAAAACAGUCUACGGUUCGGACGCGUUUUCGGGGUUUGAUCGGACAACAUUUUCCGUACAAACCCGUAUUUUGACGGUUAUUUUGCGGGUCGGGACAUUAUACGGGAUCUGCUAGAAUGCUCUUAAUUGUGUUUUUGAAAAAGGUUGUGCAAGCUUAUAUUUUUUUAUUAAAAGUAUUUCACUCAAUUGAUAUAUCAGGUGAUACAACCGUAAUGAAAGAAUGUUCAGUCUCUGCACAGCGUGAUGCACACAGCCAACAAGCCCAACUAACCUAAAAAAGAAUAUCGCUUUACAGCAAAAAUAAACCAAUCCAGUCUAUGAUGGGGCAAAUCAUAUCCGAAGAUUACACGUCAUUCAUAUCAAAAGAAAACCUCCUAGUUGUAUGCUUCAGCCGGUGUAGUUAGAGAAAAAAAUUUACUAGUGUAAAAGUGACUUGCACCAGCAAAUCGAGGCGAUUUACAGAUAGUCACUCCCUCAUUUGACACAUAUCUAAAAAAAAGUGUUCGUAAUUGCGUCAAUUAUUUUAUGGACUACAAGGAGCAAGAAAAUAUAUACUGACACAGAUAGUCUUGCAUGUGUUGCCUAAAAAAAAAAAGAUAGCCUUGCAUUGCAUGUGUUGCCGUAAUAAAAAAUACAACAGCCUUGAACGGAUGAUGGGCAACCGUCCGCGCCCAAAUCAGAUCGGUCAAAUCACGCGUAGUACUCCUACACAGAGACAAAUAAAGCCAAGACUGUACAGCAAUCGCGAUAGCGUCAGGACUCGGCGGAGCUCGAUCACCACAGCCCUCCUCUCCUCCUCACCCAUCCCAGCGGCCCGGGUUUGGGCUCGGCGCCGCGGCCAAAUCUUUCGCGGCCGCAAUCGCACGGGCCAAACGAGCAGUCCAGCCCCAGCCCCGACGAUGGCGGCGCCGGCGGCCGGGUACGGCGCGGACGGCGUGUACCGCUCGCUGCGCCCGCCGGCGCGCAUCCCGUCCGACCCAGGCCUGUCCGUCGCCGACCUCCUCCUCCGCCGCGCCGACGCGUGCCCGUCCGCGCCCGCGCUGAUCGACGCCGCCACGGGCCGCGCGCUCUCCUUCGNNNN